ACUUUGGUAUCAUCCCAGAUAAAUUGUUAUUUCCAAGGUCAAGAACAAUUAGGCUAGAGCAAUUACCUAUGGUAUAAGGAAUGCUUCCAAUCAAAUUAUUCCUUGAAAAAUCAAUGACUUGAAGAGAGGUGAUGUGUCCUAUGGAAUCUGGGAUGGUCCCUGUUAUUUGAUUUUUCGAAAGCAAAAGGUGAUGCAUGUCUAACAUAGAUUCACCUUUGCUCAGUAGGAUAGGGCCAGAAAAUUUAUUGUAGGAGAGAUCUAGUGAAUAGACCCCUUUGAUUGAAAAAGGAAUAGGUCCCUCAAAGAGGUUGUGACUGAAAUCAAUAUAUGCAGAUUGAAAUUUUAAUGAAUUUGGUAGCUGACCUUGUAACUGAUUGUGAGAAAGAUUUAAGUACUGCAGAUUGAAAGAAAUAUUCCAAAACCACUUGGGUAUGGAACCUGAGAUGCUAGCAUUUGACAAAUCCAGCCAGGAGACCUCAUUUUGAGACCUAAGCCAAGUCGGGAAUGAAGGGCCUAAAUUGCAUGAAGCCAUAUAAAGAUCAGUGAGUUGGAAUGGGGGGACCCAGGUGGAACUAACAUUCAAAAUGAGACCAGAAUUUCCGCCCAUGAACAACAUCUUUAGCUUACUCAACUUUGAAAAAUGCUCUUCAGAAAGAAUUCCUGUCAAGGUAUUAAGAGUAUUAAAAUAAUUUCAUUUAUUUAUUUAUUUUAUGAAAAAUAAGAAAUUUCAAGAGAAAUGAAUUUUCAAAAAAUGUAUAAUAAAUCAAAUGAGUGGAAAAAAGAUAAUUUAAAAUAUUUUUUAAAAACAAGUGUUUACAUGGAAUCAAUAUAUACACAAUUACCAGAAGAAAAUUUUAAUGAAUUUGGUAGCUGACCUUGUAACUGAUUGUCAUAAAGAAUUAAGUCCUCCAGAUUGAAAGAAAUAUUCCAAAACCACUUGGGUAUGGAACCUGAGAUGCUAGCAUUUGACAAAUCCAGCCAGGAGACCUCAUUUUGAGACCUAAGCCAAGUCGGGAAUGAAGGGCCUAAAUUGCAUGAAGCCAUAUAAAGAUCAGUGAGUUGGAAUGGGGGGACCCAGGUGGAACUAACAUUCAAAAUGAGACCAGAAUUUCCGCCCAUGAACAACAUCUUUAGCUUACUCAACUUUGAAAAAUGCUCUUCAGAAAGAAUUCCUGUCAAGGUAUUAAGAGUAUUAAAAUAAUUUCAUUUAUUUAUUUAUUUUAUGAAAAAUAAGAAAUUUCAAGAGAAAUGAAUUUUCAAAAAAUGUAUAAUAAAUCAAAUGAGUGGAAAAAAGAUAAUUUAAAAUAUUUUUUAAAAACAAGUGUUUACAUGGAAUCAAUAUAUACACGAUUACCAGAAGAAAAUUUUAAUGAAUUUGGUAGCUGACCUUGUAACUGAUUGUCAUAAAGAAUUAAGUCCUCCAGAUUGAAAGAAAUAUUCCAAAACCACUUGGGUAUGGAACCUGAGAUGCUAGCAUUUGACAAAUCCAGCCAGGAGACCUCCUUUUGAGACCUAAGCCAAGUCGGGAAUGAAGGGCCUAAAUUGCAUGAACUCAUACCAAGAUCAGUGAUUUGGAAUUGGGGGACCCAGGUGGAACUAACAUUCAAAACGAGACCUGAAUUUUCAUCCAUCUGUAGAGUCUUCAGUUUACUUAACUUUGAAAAAUGUUCUUCAGAAAGAAUUCCAGUCAAGCGAUUAUAAGAAACAUCCAAGACAACCAAUUCAGAAAGUUGUCCAAAACUAACUGGGAGACUCCCAUUCAGUUCAUUCAUUUUAAGCCGCAUCUCAUUCAGAUCUUUGAAUGUCCCAAAAGAAGUAGGGAUAGGGCCUUGAAGCUUGUUGCCGGAUAGAUCGAGAUAUGUAAGUUUUUCCAGCUGACUCAAUCGUUCUGGCAAUCUGCCCACUAAUUGAUUCCAGGACAAGUCCAAAUACCUCAGUUUUGGUAAAGGACCUUCAAAACUGCAGUUUUUGAUCUCUUUGAGAAAUUCAGGGAAACUUCCUAUCAAGGUAUUGGCACCUAAAUCCAAAUGUUCUAAGUUGCAAAAAUUUCCGAUGGAGGUUGGAAUUGUACCUGCAAUCAUCAUCAAGAGUAUUAAAAUAAUUUGUUUUUAAUAAAUUGUUUUAUGAAAAAUAAGAAAGUUCACGAGAAAGGUAAGAAACUUUGCCUUCUUAAUGCAUUAUCAAAUGAACGAAGAAAAGAUAAUUUAAAAUAUUUUUAGAAACAAGUGUCUGCAUGGAAUAAAUUGAGAAUAUUGUUUUUAGAAAUUAAAGUUUCCAAACAAAAUUUUGUUUCAAAAUAUAAUAUAAUAUUUGUAAAAAUUAUUUUAAAAAUGUUUACAAGAAAACAAUUACAUUAUAAUAUUUGUAAAACUAUAAUAAAAAACUCAAAAAAUAAUUUUAGAAAACUAUUUUAAAAAUUGUUUACAACCAAAACCUAGAUUUUGUAGUGUAAUCUUUCAAAUACAUCAAAAGCCCUAAAAGGUCCCCUUUAUUGGUCAAUUGUGCAAUGAAUUUAUGACAAAUCAUGCAUCAUCAAGAGUUAAAAUAAUUUAAUUUAAAAUAUUUUUCAAAAAAAAAAAAAAAAGAGUUUAUGAGAAACAAAUUUGAUGAGUGGUGAGAAGAUAAUUGAAGUUGCUUUGAUGGUCUAAUGAUAAAAGUAAGAGAUUAUUGGAAAGUCAGAAUAAUUUAAUGCGAAAUAUUUUUUUAAAACAAGUGUUAAACUGUAAAACCACUACAUUAUUUUGAUGUAUCAAAAUCAAUAGGCAAUAAUAAUUUUUCUAAGCCAAAAACGUACCAAGAAAUUUAUUGAUUGCCAAAUUCAAAAAUUCUAUCUUCUUCCAACUUCCGCUUAACAGUUGAGAGCAACUACCUGUGAGAUUUUCAUUUGAAGAUAGAUCCAAGUGCUGCAAGUUAGGUAGUUCCCCAAGGGCAAGUGAAAUCUGCCCAUAUAACUUGUUAGAGCUUACAUCAAUGUAUACAAGGUUGCUAAGGUUUAGAAGCCAUAUUGGGAACUUUGACUGGAAAGAGUUGCCACUGAUGCUUAUGACAGACAAUGAAGUAAAAUUGAUAGAGUUUAGAGAUGAAAUGGAACCGGAGAGCCCACAAUCUUGUAGGUGCAACUCUGUUAAAAAUGAAAGCUUGUUGAAUACUUCCAUCCAGUGAGAUCCUACCAUUGAUAGGUCGACAUAGUUCAAUUUGAGAUGCCUUAAGGAAACAAGAUUAGUCAUCCAUUCAAGGUGCUUAACAAAUAAUUGAGAUUCAUAGGAAGAAAGAUCAAGAAAUUGCAAAUUAGAAAGGUUUCCCAAGGUUGGAGGAAUUGCACCUUUGAAUCCACAAUUUGAUAAGUUUAGAUAUUGUAAAUUUCUCAAAGAUCCGAAGAAUUUAGGAAUUGGGAUAUGCUCAAAUGAGUUGCCACUCAAAUCUAAAGAUCUCAAAGAUUUGAGUUCUAUCAAAGAAGGUCGAAUCUCCCCGCUUAAGUUCAUUGAACUCCAAUUUUCAUAUGCUUCUUCAAGAUAAUAUGGGUUAUGAAGAUCGAUUGAAAUAACAACUCCUGUGUUAUUUUCACAACCAAUUCCCUCCCAUUGACAACAAUUGCCUCCUAUCCAUGAUGAAAGUCGGUUGUUAGAAGAAUCUUUGAGACCAUUUUUGAAGUCAAGAAGAGCUUCUCGAUUAGCUCUUAAGCAAUUUCCCUCAAGGGUUUCACCCUUGCAAGCAAGAUCUCUUGUUAUGAAACAUAGAAUGACCAAAAGGAAACCAAGAAUUGAAAUUUUCUCCAUCUAAGAACACCUAUAAAAACAAGUAAUUAAUAUUAAGUUCCGAUAGAAGAAUCAAAAUAGUGAUGAAAUUUGAUAAGUAAUCAAAACUUCAAGUUAUUGGAUAUUAAAUAACAUAUAUAUUUUAAUCAAUCAUAAUUUUAAUAAGAUUAAAACAUGUCAAGUGGAUGGCAUACUUGAACUUCCAUAUCAAAUAUGGUCUGAUGAUUGUUGUUUAUCAAAACAACAGAAAUCACCCACAAGAGAAGCUUAGAAGCAUUAGGUAGAGGAAAACACUAGAGACAACUUGGCAUUAUUGGUAAAGUAAAACAAGAUUAGUCAUCCAUUCAAGAUCAUUAACAUAUAAAUCAUAAGAUUCAGAAUUAACAAAUAAAUCAAAAGAUUGAUGGCUAGAAAGAUCAAGAAAUUUCAAAUUAGAGAUGUUUCCCAGACCAUGAGGAAUUGCACCAUUGAACCCAUAAUUUGAUAAGUUUAGAUAUCGUAAAUUCUAAAAAAUACAAAGAACUCAGGAAUUGGAAUACGUUAAAAUGAGUUGUCACUCAAAUCUAAAUAUCUCAAGGAUAUGAGUUCUAUCAAUGAAUGACCAAUCUCUCCACACAAGUUCAUAGAGGUCCCAUUCUCAUAUGCUUCCUUUGGAGAAUAUGGCUUAAGAAGAUCGAUUGAAAUAAUAGCUCUUGUUUUAUUUUCAUAAUCAAUUCCUUCCUAUUGACAACAAUCAAGGCCUCUCCAUGAUGAAAGCCAAUUGUUAGAACUUUUGAGACCAUUUUUGAAGCGAGUAAGAGCAUCUCUAUCAGUUUUUAAGCAAUUUCUCAAAUUGGUCUCACCUUUUCAAGCAAGUUCUCUUAUUAUUAAACAUAAAAUGAUCAAAAGGAAACCAAGAAUUAAAAUUUUGUCCAUCUAGGAACACAUGUAGAAACAAGUAAAAUAAAGUUCCAACACAACAAUAAAAAUAGUGACAAAAUUCAAUUAGUGAUGGAAUCAAGGCAUCGGCCAAUUAAUAACAUAUUUAACUUAACCACUCAUUUGUUUAGAAAGAUUAAAAAUUGCUAAGUAAACAACAUACUUGAAUGCAUGUCAAAGUAAAUAUAAUUGAAAUCAUCUCAACAAAUAUCAAAUAUGCUUUGAUGAUUGCUAUUGAUCAAAACAUUCCAACUAUAGAAAUCACCUACAAAAAAAAAAAAAAAAAAAAAAAACCUUGCAGCAUUAGGUAGAGAGAAACACUAUAAAUAACUUGGCAUUAUUAGUGGAGAUCUUACCAAUUAUCUUCCUUUUUUUUUUUCUGGUGUAGUCAUUCCUUUGGAUGUAGAGACAUAUAUAGAAGAUAAUUCAACUAGAUACCAUAUGGAUGAUAGUGAUAGGCUCCUUUCCUUUCUUUUUAGCAAUAUUUUGAAAAAUGGAUCAGACCAACCAAUUGAACCAAUUCAAUUGCUAACCAAUUCACUUUCCAAUUUAGGUGACCUUUUCCAACCAUUUUGGGUUUAAAACGAUGGGAAACCGAUUACCACUACUUGAUUAUGAUCAAAUUGUGCAUAUGAAGUAAAAAGUUGAAUUUGCCAUUAUCUUUCUAAAAUAAAAUUUCCAAGAAAAAAAAAUUUAGGUGAUGUUUAUCUUUUUAACUUAAUAUAAAAUGAAAUUUAAUUUCAAACUUCAACUAUUUGUUUUAAUUUUUUUUAUAUAUUUUUAACUUAUUUAUUAAUAUUUUUAAUUCAAUAGAAAACAACUAAAAUACGUAACUUUUUACGUAAUUUAAAAAGUUAACCAAUUCAUACUUCUAACCCCUCACACCUAACUCACAUUGUGAAAAAAUAAUUAAAUUAAUACUUAAUACUUUUAAUUUGUAUUUAAAAUUAAACUAAAUUAAGUUCUAUUUAUAUUUAAGAAAAAAACACCAUCUUAAUCUAUUAGCUCUUAAUUUUUUUUCUUUUUAAAUGAGAGAGACUUAAUCUAUCAUGUUCACCCAAACUAUAACUUUGCAUAAUGUCAAUGAUAAUAGUAAUAGUAAUAACAAUAAUAAUAAUAAUAAUAACAAAUAUGCACAUGUAGAUGAUAAAGUCAUUAGUUCUAUGAAUUGAGUCAUAGAAAAACCUUCCUCAAAAUAUCACAAUCUUUAUGUUGUCCUAUCAAUAUGUAUAUAAGGGAUACCAAUAUGUUUAUAAGCAAUGUUUCACAAUCUUAUGAAAAAUUAAGGGAAAAAAAUAAAAUAACCAAUAACACAUCAACAAUUUUAGCAUACCAUCCAAAAUAAAUAAAAUCUCUUAAAAAUUUGAAAAAUUCUAUCUUGAGGUUAUCAUUUCUGAUAGAAUGACCAUGCCCAUCAAAGUUGGCUCUGCGUUAAUCCAGUCCAAUCAAUCAAAUCAACUAUUUAAAGUGAUCCAAAGAUUGGGACCACUUUUUAAAGACAUUUUUGUCAUUUCAUGUCUUGGGAAAUUUAAGGACAUUAUUUUCCUCAUUCAUGUAUUCAAGGUUUAUGUCGUGUCUACCAAGGUGGCUAUUUUUCCUUCAAUCAUUUUUAAUACAUUUUCUUUCAUGUCUUGCAACCUUAUCAAGAAAAUUUUGCAUUACCUUGACUUUGACUCCAUGUUUGGGUCAUCCAGAUUAGGGUCCUAUAAUUGUUGUGACUUGUCAAUUGCAUUUUAAAUUUUAUAGAACUUUGGUGAAUAUUUGCAAAUAAUAGAUAUUUUAUAUAUUUUAAUUUUUGUUGAAAAUAAUUUUUCUUUUUUUGGUAAAAAGAAUUUUACACUAGCAAUUCAUUUCCUCACAUGGAAGUGCUAGAGUUUUUUUAAAAUUACCUAAUCCAUUAGGUACUUUUACAAAGUAUACAUGAUUUAGUUGUGCUUCAAUGAAUCAAUUGCUUUAGAUUAAUUAAUUUUCAACCAAUUGAAUUAUACAUUCAGAUAUAAGGUAAUUUGGGUAACUAACAUUUAAUAGCUUAAUAAUUUCUUUAUUUAAAUCUUAUAAAAUUAAAUAUAUAACUUAUCAUAAACAAGUUGGAAGCAAAUAGUCAUUCAAGCCUUCAUUUUUCCUUUUCGAUUUGCUAUAAAGCUGAUUUUUUUUCCUAAGAACAAAAUAUUUGAGAAGAAAAUAAAAAAGUUACAAAUUAAAACCACAAUGAAAAAUAAUAAGAAAAAUAAACAAUAAGAAAACAGAAACAAAAAACACAUAAACGAUUUAUGUAGUUUGCUCUAAAGCCUACAUUCAUAAAUGAAGAUAGAAAGGAACUUCCACUAUUGUUUAAGAAGAUUAUAAUCCUAUAACUCUUAAAUUCUAAAGUCUAAAUUAAUUAUACCAAGAAAAAUGAUUAUUUCUUAUUCGCUAAAAUGUCUUCUCAUAUUUUCUUGGUUGGAAUAUUUAAUAUAAGGAACUAAUUAUCUAAUUAUUAGAGAUACAUAAUAUUUGUAGAGAUAUUACUACUAGUUUUCCUUAUUCUAUUAAAGAAAUUUAAUUACAAUUAUGAAAUAUUUUAUAUAAGGUGGUGAGGACUAUGCGUGGUAGAUAGAGAUAUAAGGAAGAGUGAGAGACACUUGGUGGAGUAAGAGGGCUCACUAAGGUGUAGAUAUGAGAAUGAGUGAAAGAUAUCUGGUGGAACAAAAAGACUCAUGAUUCAAGGUGGGGAUAAAGCGUAGGGAAACUUGAGAUGUUUUGACACCCAAUAGUUGUAUCUAUUUCUAUUCUCUAUACUAUUUUAUAUGGCAUUGUAGAAUGUUAUUUCUCAUCCAUUAAGGUAGGCAUGGUUGGUUGAAUCUUUGUGCGUGGUUUGCUUUAUUUUUGUAUUUUUUUUCUUUAACAUAUCUAUGUUGAAGUUGUUGUUGGCCCAAUAAGUGGUAUCAAAGCUUCUGAUGAUAUAACAAGUAUUUGUUGGGAAACUUGAAACAUCUAAAUACAAUAAGAAAAAAAAUGAAAUAAAAAAAGACAAAAUAUUUACCUAGUUCGAGAUAAUCGCCCACAUCUAUGGGAAAGAAAGAUCAAAUUUAUUAAUAAACUUUACACACUUCAAACUAUCUUGACCAUUCUUUACCCAAAACUCAUACACCUUUUGACUAUCUCUAUUCAUUCUUUGCUCAUUUUUUCUUUCUAUCCUAAAAUCAUAUAUAAAACCACAUAUCUAUAAAGUUCUAAUCUUGAUCAAACUUAAAAGGGUCAUUUACCCAAAUAAAAACUAUACAAAUAUUAAAUUUUCACAAAAUAAAUAUAAUAAAUAAAUUGAAUUUAUAUAUAUAUAUAUAUAUAUUAAAAGAAUUUUUUUCUUCCAAAUGCAAGAGACCAAGUACCCCGACAAGGACUUAGAUAUCAUUUUUAAGGUAGAAAAUUUAUGACAAUGAAAAAUUUUCCACAUUUCCUUUCAUUGAAUUCCACAUCCAUACCAAAUGAAGAUUGUGACCACUUUUUAAAGAUGUUUUUGUCAUGCCAUGUCAAGGGAAAUUUAAGUAUAUUAUUUUCUUCAUUCAUUUAUUCAAGGUUUAUGCCAUGUCUACCAAGGUGGCCAUUUUUUCUUCAAUUUUUUGUCAUGUCUUGCUACCUUAUCAAGAAAAUUUUGUAUUAGCUUGACUUUGACAGCAUGUUUAGGUCAUCUGGAUUGGGGCCCUGUAAUUGCCCGUGACUAAAAAAAAUACAAAAAUAAAGACUUAGAAACUAAAAUUCUAGUUCAUGUCAACAAAUUUUAACAAAGCACUCCAUAAUAUAUGAAAUUUCUUAAAAAUUGUAUUUUUGUAAUAAUAGUUCUAAGCUUUUUUCUCCCUUUAUUUUAAGAAACAUUUGAAAGUGUCAACUGCAUUUUAAAUUUUGUAGGACUUUGAUGAUUAUUUGUAAAUAAUAGAUAUUUUAUAUAUUUUAAUUUUUAUUGAAAAUAAAUUUAUUUUGGUAAAAGGAAUUUUAUAGUAGAAAUUCAUUUCCUCACAUGGAAGUGCUAUAAAAAAAAAAUUUAAAUUACCUAAUCCAUUUGGUGCUUUUACAAAGUAUAUAUGAUUUAGUUGUGCUUCAAUGUAUCAUUUGCUUUGGAUUAAUUAAUUUCCAACCAAAUGAAUUAUACAUUUAGAUAUAAGGUAAUUUGGGUAACUAACAUUUAAUAGCUUCAUAAUUUCUUUAUUUAAAUCUUAUAAAAUUAAAUAUAUAACUUAUUAUAAACAAGUUGGAAGCAAAUAGUCAUUCAAGCCUUCAUUUUUCCUUUUCGAAUUGCUAUAAAGUUGAUUUUCUUUCCUAAAGAAUAAAAUAUUUGAGAAAAUUUUGAAAAGAAAUAAAAGAAGUUAUAAAGUAAAAUCACAAUGAAAAAUAAUAAGAAAAAUAAAAAGAUGAAAAAACAAAAACAAAAAACAUGUAAAACACGAUUUAUGUAGUUUGCCCUAAACCCUACAUUCACAAACAAAGAUAAAAAGGAACUUUUACUGUUGUUUAAAAAGAUUAUAAUCCUAUAACCCUUAAAUCCUAAAGUCUAAAUUAAUUAUACCUAGAAAAAUGAUUCUUUCUUAUUCGCUAUAAUGUCUUCUCAUAUUUUCUUGAUUACAUUGGAAUAUUUAAUAGAAGGAACUAAUUAUUUAAUUGUUAGAGAUACCUAUGAUAUUUUCUUUAUAAUUUGCAUGAGAAAAACCUUAUAAUAUCUUAUAAAGUUAAAAAUCCACAAUAAUAAAUCAUAUUAAAAGUCUCACUACAUCUCUGACAAUGAUUUUUGAAUUAUUUUAAAAUAUAUACAAAAUCGAACUCCCAAUAACAUCAAUAGGAUUGUAAAUAUUUCUCUUCUAUCAUUUAAAAUAAAAAGGAAAGAAAGACCAAAUUAUUGCUUUGGAAACCCAAUUCUUCUGUAGUUUAGUUUUAUAAAAUCAAUUAGAAAAUAAAAAAAAAUUCUUAGAAUAUUCAUUUUGCAAUCCUUUGUUGUUUUUACAAUCCAAUUUGACAUAUUUUAAAUUGUAGGAAUUCUUUGGAGGAAUUUGAAAAUCAAUUUCUGGUUUAUAGCUUAAAACAUUACUCUAAUCACUUAGAGCAUGUUUGACAAUGAUAUUAGAAGUUUGAAAUUUUCUAUCAUGACAUUAUUAUUAGGAUUAUAUAAAAGAAAGGAAAAUAGUUAUCACCUAAUCCAAUCAUGUCAACUUUAGAUAGUUGGAAGUGAUCCAAAAAUUGUGCAACUAGUUUAUGUCAUGUAAUUUUAUAAUGUUUCUAUCACUAUGACCACUUUUUCUUCACUCAUUGUUAAUAUAUUUUUUCGCUUCUUGGUACCAUAUUAAGGAAAAUUUUCAUUGGAUUGACUUCAACUUUAUGGUUAGAUCAUCAACAUUCAAGCCUUUUCAAUGGCCUCUAACUAAAAAAUAUACAAAUAUAUAAAUUAAAAAUUCAAAGUCCAAAAAAAUGUUGCUAUCUUCACUUAAAACAUUAUUUUUGAAGUCGUGUCCUUUUGUCCUCUUGCACAAAACAAAAAGUACUCCUUACUCCAAUCCAAGGAUGUAUAGAAAAUAAUAAAAUAUGAAUUGACUAACCUAAGUAUGAAGUCAAGAACCAUCUUCUCAUUUAUUAAAGGAACCAUUUUUAAUCAUAUCAACUACUUAAAUAGGGUUAGAGCUUUAACAAUUAACUUUAUUUGAACUUUAUUAUCAAUUGGCCAUAUUCUUUCCAUUAAUUAAUUACCUUCAAAUUAGUUAUGUAUUAAUUAACAAAAUUUUCUAUCUGAAUUUAUAAUUGAAUAAUUACAACUAAGUGAUACAAAAUUCAAAUUAGGUUCUAUUUGGAUUAAAGUAAAAUAAAAAUAAAAAAUCACCAUCUUAAUCUAUUAUCUCUUAAUUUUAAUUUUAAUUUUUUAAAUGAGAGAGACUUAAUCUAUUAUGUUGACUCAAACUUUAACUUUGCAUUAUAUCUUGUUAUCCUAUUAGCAUGACUUUGCUACUACUUGUCCCACACAAGAAAUAAUAUGCACAUAUAGAUGAUAAAAUCAUUAGUUGUAUGAAUUGAGUCAUGGAAAAACCUUCCUCAAAAUAUCACAAUCUUCAUGAUGUCCUAUCAAUAAGUAUACAAGUAAUAUUUCACAAUCUUAUAAAAAUUUAAGGAAAAAUAAAAUAAAAUAAUCAAUAACACAUCAACAAUUUUAGCAUGCCACCUCGAAAUAAAUAAAAUCUCUUGAACAUUUGAAAAUUUCUAUGAUGAGGUUACCAUUUCUGAUAGGACCAUGCCCAUCAAAGCUGGCUCAGCACUAUAAAAUCCAAUCCAAUUAACAAAUCAACUAUUUAAAAUAAUCCAAAGAUUGUGGCCUUUUAAAGACAUUUUUGUCAUGUCAUGUGUAAUCAAGUCAGCUUUGAAUAAGAUGCAAGGGAAAUUUAAAGACAUUAUUUUCCUCAUUCAUUUAAUUAAAGGUUUGUGCCGUGUCUACCAAGGUGGCCAUUUUUUUUCAAUCAUAUUUAAUUUGUCAUUUCUUGUUAUCUUAUCAAGAAAAUUUUGCACUAGCUUGACUUUGACUCUAUGUUUGGGUCAUCUAGAUUAUGGCCUUAUAACUGUCUAUGACUUGUCAAAUAUUACAUUUUAAAUUUUAUUGAACUUUGAUGAAUAUUUGUAAAUAAUAGAUAUUUUAUAUAUUUUGAUUUUCAUUGAAAAUAUAUAUUUUUUUUUUGGUAAAAUAAAUUUUACACUAGCAAUUCAUUUCCUCACAUGGAAGUGUUGGAAAAAAUUUAAAAAUUACCUAAUCCAUUUGGUGCUUUUACAAAGUACACAUGAAUUAGUUGUGCUUCAAUGAAUCAAUUGCUUUAGAUUAAUUAAUUUCCAACCAACUGAAUUAUACAUUUAGAUAUAAGGAAAUUUGGGUAACUAACAUUUAAUAGCUUCAUAAUUUCUUUAUUAUAUAUAUAACUUAUUAUAAACAAGUUGGGAGCAUAUAGUCAUUCAAGUCUUCAUUUUUCCUUUUCGAUUUGCUAUAAAGUUAAUUUUCUUUCGUAAAGAAUAAAACAUUUGAGAAAAUUUUGAGAAGAAAUAAAAGAAGUUAUAAAUUAAAACCACAAAAAAAAAAAAAAAAAAUGAAAACAAAAACAAAAAACACGUAAAACAUGAUUUAUGUAGUUUGCCCUAAAGGCCACAUUCACAAAUAAAAAUAAAAAGGAACUUUCACUAUUGUUUAAGAAGAUUAUAAUCCUACAACUCUUAAAUCCUAAAGUCUAAAUUAGUUAUACCUAAAAAAAAUUAUUCUUUCUUAUUCACUUAAAUUUCUUCUCAUAUUUUCUUGAUUACAUUGGAAUAUUUAAUAUAAGGAACUAAUUAUCUAAUUAUUAAUAGAGAUGCCUAAGAUAGUUUCUUUAUAAUAAUAGAAAGUCUCUAUAGAAUAUAUCAUAAUAAGAAAAUAUCAAACGCAUACAAAUUAAUUCAAAUGUUAAUUUAACAUACUUUCCAACAAUAUAAAUCCAUCUCGACUCAAAUUCCCAAGAUUUAAACAUACUUGAAAGUCAUCUUUCAUGUUUCUUUACUCCACACACUUAAACAAAUUUUAGGUACAAUAAUCUCCAAUUGAGUUUAGACAAUUCUUGAGCUUAAAUAUAGAAAGAAAUUUAGUAAUUACAUCUAUUAGACUCUCUAAUACAAUGAUCUUUUUACUAGUGUCUUUUGUACUAAGUAAAGAAGCAACAAAAUCAUCAAUAGCAUACCUAUGAGAUAGUUUAAUCCACUUUCUUAUUUUGCCCCUAACCAAAGUAUAUUAUUGCUUUUAUGACACAUUUUCUUUAUCAUCAAUAUUUUGCAACUCUUCCUCAUUUAAUUUUAUUGAAAGUUUCUUUUCUAUAGUUGAUGAAGCAUUAAAUUGGAACUCCACCUUUUUUCUCGCCUUAGAAUUGUUUUAUGUAUCAAAUUGCUCUUUUCUAUUACUCAACUUUGGAGGCUCAUCAAAGAUCACAUAUUAGACAAUUAAAGGAUUUUGAACGAGGGUACCACAACCUAUACCCUUUCACACUAUCUACAUACCGUGAAAAUAUGUGCUUCCUUAUCCUUGCAUCUAAUUUAUCUUCAUUGAAAUAAGUAUAAGUAGAACAAUUAAUUUUUUUUUAAUUAUCCUUAGUUGUAAUUUAUCUUCAUUUGAAUGAGCAUAAAAAGAACAACUAUUUUAAAAAAAAAUUAUAUACAUACUUCUUGAGAAAACAAAUGGUAUUUUAUUAAAAUUGAAAUAUGAGGAGUUCUUUUUUUAUAUAAGAAAAAAACAAAUCUUGAACAAUUACAUAAUGGAUUUUUAAUGCAUCGAUUUCCUAAUAUAUAAAUAUAAUACAAUAUUUAACUAGGUUAUUAAUUUGAAAUUUAGUUAUAUUAUAAUAUGAUUUUUUUUUUUUUCAUGUCAUAUUCUGAGCACUACAUAAAAGCUAUGGUCUUUGGGUGUAAGGGCAAAUGUGUAGAAUUAAAUGAUUUUUUCAUGUUUUUUUGAAAAUUAAAUUCAACAUUUAAAUUUGAGAAAUUAUAACUUCAACACUUAUAAUUUAGCAAUAAACUUUUUUAUAUUUAAUUUUUAGUUUUAUUAGCACCAUUUUAAUCUUUGUAUAACACUAAAACCUUUUUUUUUUUUUUUUUAACUUGUGUGCUUAAAAAUGUUUUUAUUAAAUAUAAGAAUAAUUAUAAUGUUUCUAAAAAUUUUAAUUAAAUAAAAAUUUGCUUCCAAUGUUGCAUUUGACAAAAAUCAAGAGUAUCCUUAUUUAUCUGAAAAGCAAAUAAAUCAUAUGGGGAAGUGUGGUAUCCAAGAUUGAAAGUUUGGAUGCUUAUGGUAUUGUAUAAGAUUUAGCUCUAUCGAUCUAUACAUAAUAAAUGCUAGUUACUAAUAGGUAAGAAAAUCACCAAAACCGUGUGUCCAUUUCGUUUUCAAGAAAAAUAAACUAUGUGCAUCAUAGUAAUCAAAGUCUAUGGUUAGGGCUAUCCCAAGUCAAGGUCUUGCUAAAAGGUAAAUUAAUUAUAUAUCAUAGCUCAUAAACUUAAUUUUAUAUAAACUAAAAAGUAAAUUAAUGAUAUAUCAUGGUUCAUAGUGGUUAGAAAAAUUGAUAAAUUUCUUUGAGUUAUUAUAAGUAAAUCUCAUUACUAACAAUUGGAAAGAACUUUGUUUUUUGUUUUUCUAGUUGUUAGUUCACUAGACCUCUUGAGGUCACUACACGAAAAGUACUUAUAUAUAUCAAAAGAUUUUUUUUCUUCAACACCCAAGAGACCAAUGCCACCAACAAGAACUAGAUAUAAUAUCAUUGAAUUUUUAUGAACGAAGCACAACUUGCCUAUGCAAGAAGGUAGAAUAGAAGAAUUUUCCACAUUUCCUUUUAUUGAAAUCCACAUCCAUACCAUGAUAAUUUGUGCCUUCAUCCGAGAAGUUGUAAUAUUAUAAAUAUAAGAAAAUAUUAUUGGUUCUUGCCUAGUAUUCUCUUUUCGCUAUCAGUUGGAAAAGAGACAAUUUUCACAAUAAUGUGUGCCAGGACUUCUACAAUAUCCUUUGCACACUUAUAAAUGUUAAAAAAAAAAAAAAAAAAGUUUCAAAACCCCAAGACUUCAAAAAAAAAAAAUUGUUAAACUAAUUAUGGAACUUAUAACUUUUUAGAUGAGUGUAUUUACUAACUAUGCAAUCUAACAAAAUCUAUAAAAGUUCAUUAAGGAAAAAAAUAUUUAUGAGAUGUUAUAUUUUAUACUACAUAACAUUAUGCUUUGAGGAAAAAUUCUCUAGUUGUAGAACAAUUUCUUCUAAAUUAAAAGAGAAAAAAAUUGUCACUCUCUUGUAUAAUGAUUGAUUUAAGUGGUUAGAAGAAUGAUACUUGGUGAUAAAUAAUAUGAGAAUCAAUUUUUAUAAUAUAAUAAAUAUCUCAUCAAAUCAAAUGGCUAGUCUCAUACUUAUCCAUCAAUAACACACUAAAUAUCCAACCACCCCACCAAUCUCAUUAAAACCCUAUAAUACCCUAUAAAUCAUCUUUAUCAUUCUUGAAAAAAUCCACAAUAAUAAAUCAUAUUAAAAGGCUCACUACAUCCCUAACAAUGAUUUUUGAAAUUAUUUUAAAACAUAUACAAAAUCGGACUUCCAAUAACAUCAAUAGGCUUGUAAAUAUUUCUCUCUCCUACCUUCUUAAAUUUUUCGUCUACGCUUGUCACCAUAUCAAGUCAAAAUCAUGUUGAAGUGUUAGCCAAACAAAAAAAGACUUGAGCCACUAUCUUCACUUAAACGUCAAGUUUUAAUGGAGACAAAUGAAUUAUGGGGCCAUGGAACAGAUUUCUUCAUCUUGAUAAGUUGUAGGUCAUGAACCAAGUUGCUUGAAAAGGACGGUAGAGGACUGAAAUAUUUCCUCACAAGAGCCUUAUAAUAUUAUAUCUUGAUGACUUCCAAUAAGUCAAUACCACUUUCCCCCACAAGAUGUCUUCAAUGGGUCGAAAUUCAAAAUAAAUGAUUCACCUAAUGUGAUGGAAAUAGAAAUAAUUUGCAUGCAUUUCCUUUACUUUAUUUAUUUGGCAUAUCAUAACUCAAACUUUUUUUUUUUUAAUCAACUUACUGUUGCACUAUUCAUUUAGUUUAUCUUAUACAAAUAUAUACACUAAAUAAUAAUAAUUUCAUAAAUAAAAAAUUCACCACCCAAAAAUAUAAAAAAAAAUUAAUGUUUAUUUCUAAUUUUUUUAAAAUUUAUAUUAUCAAAAUUUCUAAGCUUUGGACAAUUUGACUAAAUUACGAAGUCAAAAAUUUAUUGAAAAAAACUAAUUACAAAAAAUAUUAAAAAGAAAUUCCAAGUGACACAAAGACAAAUACAAAAAAAGAAAAAAAAAUGAGGACUUUAACAAAAGAAAGUUUUUAUUACUUAUUAAUGUAAAACUUGAUUAAUAUAUUGUAAAAAUAAAAAGAAAAAUAGUUGUUAAAGUAAAUUUGUAAAAGUAUAUUGAAAAUAAAACAAACUCUCUCUACACUCCUACUUCAUCUAAUUUCUUGAAACCCCUGGUUUCUCUACGAUCUUUGCAAAUAUAAGUUAUUUGCUUAUGUUCUCAAGGGUCAUAUUUGGUUAGAGUUUUUUCUUUUUUCUUUUUUUUUUGGUGGAUAAAAAACACAGGAAAAUGAGAAAGGGAAAACGAGAAAGCAUUAGUUUGUGGGCCUAAUGCUUUCUCCACUGUCCAUGAAUUUAAGGACCAUUAAAGAAUCAAAUUUAUGUAAAUCAUGUGUAAAUGUUGGUUAAAAAAGAUGGCAUUGCCUGAAGGGAUAAACACAAAGAAUGCACAACCAUGUUUUAUCCCCUCUUGUGAGAACCUAAUAGGAAUCAAUCAAAUAGAGCAACAAGAAUUCACCCAAUCAACAAGUAUAUGAACACCAAUAAUUUUAGCGUGGAAAACCUUCUCCAAUAUGAGAAGUAAAAACCACGAGACCUUUAAGCCACUUAAAAACUCCAGUAAUAUAAUUAAUGGGUUGCACAAUUCUCUCUAGAUAAAACUACAGGCAUACAUCAACCAUAUCUCAAGAUCAAUUAAUCUCGGCAAUUUCAAUAACUUUGGAUAAAAAUAAUGGAAAGAUCUCACCAAACACACCACUGUUCUCGGACUAAAAUAUAACUGUUCCAAACUCCAAAUCCAAUCUCCACCGUUCAGAAUGAAGAUCAAUAAGUCAUGAACGUGCUAUCCAAAAAUCGGCUCAAUCGAACCACGGAUUAAUCUUGAUCGGAGCUUAUGAUCAAAACUAUCCGGAUAGAAAAUGCAUCAAAACAGAGGCUUUGUUCUCGGACUGAAAGACGACCGUCCAGAUCUCCAAAUCCGAUCUCCACCGUUCAGAUUGAAGAUCAAUGAGUUAUGAACCUCUCCUCCAAAUUUCAGGUCGAUCGGCCCACAGACGAAGUGGGAUCGUACCUUUGAUGAAAUCUGGGCAAUGAAGAAAAAACUGUGUUUUUCUCUUCAAAAAUGGUGGUUCUCCCCUUCUCUCUCUUUUCUCUCUCUCUUUUUCUUCUACCUCCGGUGGCUGCAAAAAAUUGGAAGAAGAAGAAGAAAAGGGAUUCUUCUUCUACCCCUUUUAUAUAAAGGCUUAAGAGGCCUUAAAUUUUGGGCUCUCAAUUUUGGGCCUUCCACAUGAGGAAAAACCCAACAAAUCUCCCCCUUUCCAAUUAUGUGGAGGGACUCGCUAUUCCGGCGAUUGAAUAGCAAACUUCAAGCUUCUCCCUUGGUAAGGACUUCGUUAACAUAUCUGAGUCAUUGUGAUCUAUAAGUAUCUUCUCAAGUUCAAACAAGUUGUCAUUGAGAGCAUUUCUCAUCCAAUGAUACCUCACAUCAAUGUGCUUCGAUCUUACAUGAAAGGUAAAAUUCUUACUAAGGUGAAUGGCGCUCUGGUUAUCACAGUAUACCACAUAGCGUUGCUACUUAAACCCAAACUCAUGUAUGAAACGUUUCAUCCACAACAACUCUUUACAUGCUUCUACUGCUGCAAUGUACUCUACCUCUAUUGUAGAAAGUGCAACACAUUUCUGUAGUUUUAAUUGCCAAGACACAACACCUCCUGAGAAUGCCAUUAAAUAGCCUAAAGUAGACCUUCUAUUAUAUACAUCCCCUACCAUAUCUGAAUUAGUGUAGCCAACAAGUACUAGUUUCCCACUUCCAAAAGUGAGUUUCAACUUAGAAGUGCCUCGCAAAUAUCUCAUAAUUCACUUGAUUGCCUCCCAAUGUAGUCUUCCUGGAUUAGAUAGAAAGUGGCUAACAACACCAACUGCAUAAGUUAUGUCUGGUCUAGUACAUACCAUGACAUACAUCAAACUUCCUACUGUUGAGGCAUACGGAACUCUUCUCAUGUCUUCCUUAUCCUUAUCUAUAGAAGGGCAAUGUCUACUGCUUAGCUUAAAGUGACUAGCUAGAGGAGAACUAACCACUUUAGCUUUGCUCAUGUUAAAUCUUUCAAGCACCUUUUCAAUAUAUUGCUCCUAUGACAUAUAUAGCUUCUUGGAUGCUCUAUCUCGCUCAAUUCUAAUACCAAGAAUUUUCUUUACUGGCCCCAAAUCCUUCAUGGAAAAGGAUUUACUUAACUGCUUCUUCAGCUUAUCAAUUCUUGAAACAUUUCUGCCAAUAAUCAAGAUAUCAUCAACAUAGAACAACAAUAUAACAAAAUCAUCAUCAGAGAAUUUCUGCAUAAAUACACAAUGGUCAGAAGUAGUUUUUCGGUAGCCUUGCUCUCCCAUAACUGAUUCAAACUUCUUAUACCACUGUCUUGGUGCCUGCUUUAACCCAUAAGGACUUUCUUCAACUUACACACAUAAUCCUCUUUUCCUUUUAUUGUGAAACCCUCUGGCUAUUCCAUAUAAAUUUCUUUGUCUAAAUCACCAUGGAGAAAUACAGUUUUAACAUCCAUCUGCUCAAUCUCCAAAUCAAGACUAGAUGUCAAGCCCAAAAUAACACGAAUAGAUGACAUCUUAACAACAGGAGAAAAAAUCUCAUCAAAAUCAAUACAUUUCUUUUAACUGAACCCUUUAACAACCAAUCUAACUUUGUAACGUGGCUGUAAAGUGUGUUCUUCUUGCUUCACUCUAUAAACCCACCUAUUCUUCAAAGCUCUUUUUCUCUUUGGCAACUCGACAAGUUCAAAAGAAUGAUUCUCAUGCAAUGACUUCAUCUCAUCUUGCAUAGCAUCAACCCACUUCAUCUUAUUUUCAUCUCCCAUGGCUUCCUCAUAACUUUCAGGUUCUCCCCCGUCAGUUAGUAAUACAUAAUCAUCAACAAAAUACCAUGUGGAAGGAUGUAGGUCUCCGUUAGACCUCCUGAGUGGAAUAUCUAGUGGAGCCUUUGCUACUGGUGACUACUCAUGAACAUCAUCAUCCAUCUCAACCUGUGUGGGAGUUUCAACAUCACCAAUGUCAUGUUGGUCAUCAUGUGCUUAAUCUUCAACCUGUGUAGGAAGAUGUGUCAAAGGAACUGGAUCUAAGUCAAUCAGAUUAUCACUAUACUGAAACUAUGUUGCAUCAGUCUUCUCAAUGUGUUUGACAUUCUUCAAAAUCAACACAGUACCAUUACUAGUCUCCAAACACACAUCUCCCAUACCAAUGGCUUUAGCUGAGCCAUCAUUACCCAUCUUAACACUUCCAAAAUCACCGGAUGUGUAGGAUGUAAGGAAAUCUUUCCAAGGUGUAGCAUGGAUUGAGGCACCACUAUCAAUCACCCAACUGGUCUCCUGGCAAACAAAAUUAACAACAUUACUAUCAUAAACAAUAAGGAAAUCUGAAGUGGUAGUGGCAACUUGAUCAUCUUCACCACCAUUGUCAUUAUUCUUGUCUUUCACUUUCCCUUGUUUCAUAUCUAUCUUCAAUUGGCGACAAUACUUCCUUAUAUGCCCUUUCAAAUGGCAAUAAUGACACUCAACAUUGGCAAACUUGUUAGUCUUGAUUUUGCUUCUGUCUCUGUUCUUCGGACCUCUACUCUUACUCAUCCCCCUCUUUUCAGUAAUUAGGACAUAUGACUGUGAAGAAGAACCCUGUAACUUUCUUCUCAUCUCUUCAUUCAAAACACAACUCUUAACCAAAUCCAUAUUCAUCUGGGGCUAAGUUAGACAAAGAAGUUCUAAACAUCUCUCACGAGUCCGGCAAUGUACCAAGAAGUCACAACCCUUGCACCUCUUCCUCAAACUUGAUAUUCAUUCCAGCCAACUGAUUAAUAAUACCUUGGAAUGUAUUCAAGUGAUCUGUCAUAGGAGUUCCAUCUAGAUACUUCAAGCUAAUCAUCUUCUUGAUUAGAAACAAUUUAUUGUUACCAGUCUUUCGAGCAUAUAACUGUUCAAGCUUGUUCCAUAGACUCCGUGCAUGUUUCUCUUCACUAACAUGAUUGAGAACAUUAUCAUCUACCCACUGUCUGAUAUAACCACAAACCUGUCGAUGAAGUAAAUUCCAUUAUGCAUCAGUUUUAUUUUCUGGCUUUUUAGAAGCAAACACAGGCAAAUAAUUAUUAUUCACAUACAAUAGGUCUUCCAUCUUUCCUUUCCAAACAUGAUAAUUGGAGUCAUUCAAAGUAAUCAUUCUACUUGUAUUGUUUUCCAUUGUUCUACACAAGGCACAAAUUAUCUUGAACCAAUGCUCUAAUACUACUUUGAUGGGAUAAACACAAAGAAUGCACAACCAGGUUUUAUCCCCUCUUGUGAGAACCUAAUAGGAAUCAAUCAAAUAGAGUAACAAGAAUUCACCCAAUCAACAAGUAUAUGAACACCAAUAAUUUUAGCAUGGAAAACCUUCUCCAAUAUGAGAAGUAAAAACCACGGGACCCUUAGGCCACUUAUAAACUCCACUAAUAUAAUUAAUGGGUUACACAAUUCUCUCUAGAUAAAACUAGAGACAUACAUCAACCACAUCUCAAGAUCAAUUAAUUUUGGCAAUUUCAACAACUUUGGAUAAAAAUAAUGGAGAGAUCUCACCAAACACACCACUGUUCUCGGAUUGAAAUAUAAUUGUUCAGAACUCCAAAUCCAAUCUCCACCGUUCAUAAUGAAGAUCAAUAACUCACGGACGUUCUCUCCAAAAAUCAGCUCAAUCGAACCACGGAUUAAUCUGGAUCGAAGCUUAUGAUCAAAACUGUCCGGAUAGAAAACGCAUCAAAAAAGAGGCUCUAUUCUCGGACUGAAAAACGACUGUCCAGAUCUCCAAAUCCGAUCUCCACCAUUCAGAUUGAAGAUCAAUGAGUCAUGAACAUCUCCUCCAAAUUUCAGGUCGAUCGGCCCACAAACGAAGUGGAAUCGUACCUUUGAUGAAAUCUGGGCAAUGAAGAAAAAACUGUUUUUAUCUUCAAAAAUGGUGGUUCUCCCCUUCUCUCUCUUUUCUCCUUCUCUCUCUUUUUCUUCUACCUCUGGUGGCUGCAAAAAAUUGGAAGAAGAAGAAGAAAAAAAAGGAUUCUUCUUCUAACCCUUUUAUAUAAAGGCCUAAGAGGCCUUAAAUUUUGGGCUCUCAAUUUUGGGUCUUCCACAUGAGGAAAAACCCAACAUUGCCUACUAUACAAUGACUCCUUUAAACAAGUCUCACAUCAAGCAUCUGCUUGGGGUAUGCUUUUAGAAUAAAUUUAACGUAUUUUUAGUUGUUUUUGUACAAUGUUGUGAGCAUUGAUCAAAAAGAUGAAACGGAAUUUUUACAUUGUAGAAUUUUUACUAAAAUCAAUUAUCAAUUAUUUUUAAGAACUCGUAGAAUUGUUUUCAAAUACGUUGUUAAAUAGACCCUUAUUUUUUAUGAAGUAUAUACCAUGCUACAAAGUUUUGUGGUGUAAGAAAGCAUAAUUGUGCUACAAUGUACAUACCAUUGAACUUCACAAAUGGAUCAACCGCCCUUGAGCCUUGAAAAUAGCUAGAGAAACAUGCCUUGUUUUCUUCUCUUCUCUACCUCUUUUCUCCUUUCUUUUCACUCCGCACGAUCUCUCUCCGAAAUGGUCUUCUGCUGUCUCUAAAUACCAGCCCUAGCUGCUAUCCAAGAAUGGGCUUAAGAAUACCAAAGAACCAGCCCUAUAUGUGGGCUUAAGAGAGUCUUUUCAUUGGCAAGUCCAACAACGAUAAUAAUAUAGGAUUAAAAAAAUUAAUGAUUAACAAAGGUAAUUAUGAUUAACAAAGAAACCAAUUAUUUUUUUACCUUCUAGGCAAAGUCAUACUCAAUAACCAAUAAUGACUUGUCCAUUUUUUAGCACCCUUUCUUCUUCCAUUCUUUCAACAUUUUUAGCCUCCCUGCCUUGCUUCAUUUAACAUCCCCUCAUCUUCGUAUCGAUAUAUUGCUCCUUCUACUACUUCUCUUUCAUCAUAUUCUUGUACUGAUUUAACUUACACUCCUCCCUCUUCAAUUAUCACUUCUUCUAACACAACAUUAGUUUCAUUAUCUAUCAAUCUUUCAACAAUUUCAAGUGUUGGUUCCUUAUAAAUGCGUUGGCAUUUGACUCUAAUUAUUUAUUUUUUAUUUUUAGGAGAGUCAAUAUUUGUAAAGUUUGUGUUUGGACAAGUUAUGGUUUUGAAUUUGACUAGAAUUAGGAAACUAUUAGAAAAAGGUUUAGCCAAUAGAACUUUAUAAAUAUGUGGUUCUACGCGAGAUUUCCACAAAAGAGCAAAAAAAAAAAAAAAAGUGAGCAAAGAGUGGAGAGAGAUGGUGUAUUAGGUUUUGUGUAAAAAGAAGUUAAGAGAGUUUGAGUUUGUAUUUCUAAAAUUUAUUAAUAAAUUUGAUCUCCCUUUCUAGUGGACCUAGGCGAUAAAGUAGAACAGUAUAAGAGAGUGUUGUGGUUUUCUUAACAACUGUAUCAAAGCUUUCAUUUUCUUAAAAAGUGAUAUCAAAGCUCCUAUUUUCCCAACAAGUGAACAUCAAAACUUUUGUUUUCUCAACAAGUAGUAUAUGAUAAACAUCAAGAGUCUUCACCAGAAUAGCAACUGAUUUGUUAGAUAGUUACCCUUAGAUAGGUUGCAACUGAUCUAUUAGAUAGUUACCCUUAGUUAGUUAGGUUGUUGAACCCAUAGUUUGUUAAAUCAUUUUUGAAAUAGCUUGUAUAAAUAGAUUGAUAACAAAAGUUCUUGGAGUGUUGUUCUUCUUUGUUGGCAAUCUUUUAUGGUAUUAAAGCCAAGUUUUUCCCUUUUAUCAUUUCUAGAUUCGCUUUCUUCCUUUUUGUUGGCCUGAUUACAGUCGUUCUCCUCUCAAAGAACAUCCACCGUCACAGGGCUACUUCAACCUAAUUUUCCAAUCCAUAAAACUCUCUGGACAUAACGUCCUCACAAUCUCUUAGAUUGGUUCAACCAUUGCAUAUGUUGAAUCAUUCUCUUCCUAUCAAACUAAAUAGGAGUAGUUACAUUAUCUAGUGGAGAAUAUGAUAUUUGACAAAGGGUUUGAAGAGCAUAUUAAAGGAGUUCCGUCCUCCCAAGACAACCACCAUUAGUGAAACCAAUCUAGACUUCCUUACUUGGCGACAUUUUUAUUGCGUGAUCCUGAGUUGGAUCUACACUUCCCUUACUCCUGAAAUUAUGGGACAAAUAAUUAGAUAUCAUACUUCUCAUGCAACAUGGACUGCUUUAGAGAAGAUCUUCUCCACCUCAUCAAAAACAUAAGCAAUGUAGUUUCGGUUAGAAUUUCAAACAGCUUGGAAAGGCUCCCUCCAUGAUGGAAUACAUACUCAAGUUGAAGAUGCUCAUUGAUUAACCUUGCUACCAUUGGAGAGUCAGUAUAAAAAAGAAACCAAAUCUUGAAACUUCUUGGCGGUCUUGGAGCAGAUUACAACUCCAUAGUUGCAUCCCUUAUAGCUCAUGAAGAUGAUAUACCCCUACAUUAGUUCACAACAUUUUACUCACCUAUGAACAAAGACUCAACUUUUAGAGUUCAGUAAUAGAAAACGAAGUUAUCUUUACUCAUAUAGCCACACAAGGACAAUUUGCUCACCUAAGAAGAUACCAAAACAGGGAAACUAACUCCUACUUCAACAACCAAAUUAACUCCCACCAUCAUCAAGGAAGAGGAUGUUCAGGUGGCCAUGGGCAAGAUCAUUGAACAAAUCUUAAUGGCAACGGUAGUAGACCUCAAUGCCAACUUUGUGGUAAAAUCAUAGGUUUGGUAUAAAUUUUCAAGGACCUAAUCCCUUGCCUACAAAUCCUAUCAAACCUUCAUCAAUCACUCCUAAUAGCAAUGAUAUACAAACGAUGAUGGUCUCUCCUUUAAUCUACAAUGAAUCUUGGUUUCUUGACAAUAUUAGGGCAACACACCAUCUCUCCCUAAGUGAUAAUACUCUCUCAAACGCUCAUCCAUACCACAACAAUUACAAAGUCAUAGUUGGAAAUGGUAAGAAAUUAUCCAUCUCACAUGUUGGUUCUAAGUCAUUUCAAACUUCUCACAAGUCCUUUCAAUUACGAAGCAUUCCUCAUCUUGCUACAAAUCUUAUCAAUGUUCCUAAAUUUUGCACUAACAACAAUUUAUUAUUGGAAUUUCAUCCUACUUUCUUUCUUAUUAAGGACUAGAAUACAAAGAAGAUUCUUCUUCAAGGAAACAUUGAGCAUAGAUUGUAUAAAUUCCCCAAUAACCACAUUGGUACCUCUUCAACAUUCUUUCCUUCUAGGCACUUAGCUCUCAUUAGAUAAUAAAAUAAGAAUGAGCUAAUCAACUGAUGAAUUCAACAACCAUCUUAUUAAAAAAUAUAAAUAAUUACUCAGAUAGUGUGAUGGCCAGAUAGGAUAGUCUGAUGGAAGAUGGUGACAACCUCUCUUUUUUUAACAUAAAGCAUAAUAAUUCCAAGUCCAGGAUACUUUUCUUCUAAUAAAGUGCUUGCUUUAAACUUUCCUUUUGAUAAAGUUUUUGCUUUAAAGUUUAGUUACUUUUAGAGUCAUGAGGUCUUGUCCUCUUAUACAAAAUCUUUUUCUUACCCAAUUGCAAGAAAUGAUAUGAGAUAAUGAAUUAAGAAUGAACUAAUCCAAUUAUGGAUCAACAACCAUUCUAUUUUAUAUAUAUAACCAAUUCUAAUCACCCCAUUACCUAGAUAAUGUGAGAGUUAUAGCAAUUAAGUAAUUCAUUUAAUGUUAAACUUGUAAUCCUUCUAUAAAUUACCUUUAAAUUAGUUAUAUAUUAAUUAACAUAUUUUUCUAUCUUAAUUUAUAAAAAGCUACUCAAUCAAUCUCAUUAACUCCACCCAAAAAAAAUACUACCAUAAGUUCUAAGAGAGUUUGAAUUAAUGAUUAUCAAUUCUUUUAUAUUUCAUCCAAGUUGUUGAGUCUUUACAUCUAGCCCCUACAAGAUGGAAUGAUCUUAGAAUUACUAUUUGAUUAUAAAUUAAAUGUUUUUAAAUUUGAUUCUUAAAAAUUUGCUCUAUUAAGCUAAUAAUUUGAUCAAAACUAUAAGGGAGUUGGGUUAAGACUAUAAUAUUUCACUUAAGUGGUUCCUCCUCUAUACUGAAGUGGAAUAACUUUCUAUAUGUUAGGAGCCAAAAGAAUUUGAUUAAGAUUUAAGAAUCCAAACUUCCAGUUGACGGAGAUUCUAUAGGAGUCCUAUGUUUAGGUCAAUAAGAAAGGGAGAGUUUCAUGAAAGUCUGAUAGGUUGUUGCACCCAAUUUUUGGUAUUGUUUUAGAUUUAUAAGGUUGUUCUAUUGGAUUCAUCAAGCCAUUGUGUGGAUCUACUAACAAAAGGGAGAGCCAAUUGUUCUCUUUAAUUUGUUGGAUAUUUCUAACUUUUUAAUUUUGAGUUCAUAGUUGGUAAAUAAUAGUUGUGCAUUUCCACCAAUAUUUAGAUUUUUUUUUAUUUUGCUUUUUUAACUUUUGAUCAAAGUUAUGUAGUGGUUGUAUUUUUUUGGCAAGAUUUCUUAUGCAAUGAAUAAUCCAACUUCGGUGAUAUUUUAAGUUACCAACCAUGCUAAAAUCUUCAAAGGACUCAAUGUUGAGGUGAUACGGCUAUAAGGGAUUGAGAAUAAAAGUAAAAUACCAUGUGAAAGAGAUGAAUCGAAUCCUAACAAAGUGGGAUUUGAUUUAUAUAAGAAUAAAUUUUGUAUUUCUAUUCUCAUUCCAAAAAAUAAUAUAUUCAACUAUAAAAUGAAUGGAAAAUGAAAUAAUAGGUAAAGGUCGCCUACUUAAAAGAAACAUAAAAAGGAAGUCUGUGUAAGGUAGGGAAUUUUAUGCAACUAUGGUGUAUCUGAUUUCUUUCCUUGAAACAUUUAUUGGAAAUUUCAUGUCAUUUCUAUGAUUUCAUUAAAUGUUUUAAUGUGUCAUUACAUCUCGGUUUAUUGUGUUGAAAUGUUACAUUGAGAUUGGAACGCAUAUUGGUGUGGAGAUUCAUGGUUCUGUGUUAUGGAAAUAGUCUAUGGUGUGGUUGCAUGGCAAGAAGGAUAUGGAAUAAUCACGGAUGAUAUUUAGAGAAUUGGUUGGUAGGAAGUGUCUAUGUGGUGCUACAGGCAUUAUCUUUUGAUAUAUUGUUUAUGUGGGACCGUGGGUCCUUGGGUGAAAGUCCCUAAAGCCCUCGAGGAAGACACUCCGAUGUGGGUGUAUGGGGUUGGUCCUGCCCUUGGGUUUUAGUCCCUAAAGACACAAGAUUGGUCCUGCCCUUGGGUAUGAGUCCCAAAAGACACGGGGUUGGUCUUGCCCUUGGGUAUGAGUCCCAAAAGACACGGGUAUGACUUGCCCUUCAGUGAUGUCCUAGAAUAGUCAUCAUUAUAUUGAUCGAGUAUCUUGUGGAGCAUUGAUAUCUGAUGUGUAGAUUGUUGGGGGUCAGCAGUUUAUCAGUUGUGAAAGGAUGGAUGGGGAAAAGCAAUGAUGAAACUAGCAAACACAUGCAUACAUGUUUGACAUGAUUAUACAUUGUUUAAUGGUUAUAAAAUGUUUAUCAUCCAUGUUUUUAAACAUUUAAUUCAAGGUUUUUAAGGGUAUGCUUUGGAUUGUUAUAAACUUUUCUACUGAGUUGUGAACUUACCCUAUCCCUUCCACCUUUAGAUGUAGGUCAGAAGACCUAUGCAGGAAAUAAUGCUUGAGCAAUGCUUUACUGUGAUUGGAUUAUGUUUGCUCAAUUAAAAGUCUUUUGAGGCUUUGCCUUUGUAUUAAGGACUAAAUAUUUUUGUAGGAAUGAUGUAAUAUAUAUACUUGUCAGGUACACUUGCAGUAAGGGCUACUCGUAGUGAACAAUGAGGUUUUGGUAUAUGUAAAUUAACGUAGUAUAAGUUUCUUUUAAGAAACGAACCAUAUUUUGUUAACUACAAGUUACAAAGUUUAAUAUAGGAUGUACUCUUUAUAACAGGUUUUGCAUAUCCUCUUUUUGCACAAAAUCAAGUAGGAACUCAACAUUUAAUUUUUUUGAGAGCACUUAUAUUGUAUUUGAGUAUCAAUUGUUUGGUUUGAAGAUUAACAAAAAAAAUUUGGGGUGUGACAUUCUCUCUCAUUCUUUUUUAUAGGUAAUAAAAUAAAAGAAUAGUAUUCGUAAUUUUUCUAUUCUCCUUGUUCCAAACAUAAGGAAAUCAUUUUUCAUUGCCAUAAUAGCCUUUAAAGGCAACUGUUGAUUGCCCAAUGAGAAUUAGCAAUACAAGAACAAGUUUAAACUUGAGGACACCUCUAUUCUUCAGACUAUAUGCCAAAGAUGGGUUUAUAUAGAGUUCAAGAACAUAUUUGAAAAUGACUUGUUUGAAACAUUGGAAUAAGAAAUAGGAAUGAGAAAUCAAUUUCAUCCAUAUAUUAUUUAUUACCUUGUUUAAAUUACUUAUUACAAAAGAAAAUGAAAUAAAAAAUUAAUUUCCAUUAAAACUAAAAAUAAUUUCUAUUAGAGUUUUGAUUUCUCUCUUAUAAUGUUUUCAAGAUUAGAUUGAUCAUUGAAUUGGAAAGUACUUAUUGUGUCACGAUUCAAUCAUUGAAUCAAUGGUUCAACCAUGAUUGAACUAUGAGGAAUAUAACUUCAUAAAUAUAUUAAUAAUAUUAAAUUAAAAAUAAUCAUUAAUAUUAAGAAUAUUUAUAAAUAAUUAAAAACUUAUCAAUUAUUUGCUACCAGUUAGGGGGUAGCUUGUUAACAAUGCCUUAUGGCAAUGAGUGAGUUUGAGCCCCCUUGUUAUAUAAGUAGUGUAAGGUAGAGGUGUGACCCAUAUCACCAAGAUUUGGUGGUUGGGUUAAGCAUUGAGCACUAUUUUAACUUGAGUCUUCGGAAGUAAAAGGUCCAACAAGACUUGAGAACAAAAUCUGAGCCAAAUUUAGGGUCUUCAUGUGAAGUCAAUGUAUGAAGAUGGGUUUAGACUAGGCUAAGCUAGAUUCUAAUACUCGAGAACACCUUGAUAUUGUUAACUUGAUCAUAUUUCAUACCGAGGGAGUGCAAUGAGCACAAGAUUUGAGUGUUCAAGUUGAAUGAAUUGGUUUUUUUGAAUUUCAAAUAUUUAAUGGUUCACUUUACAUAAAUUUAGAAUAUGAGAAGUUGAUGGUUUUAAUAUGAAAAAGUACUCUAUGUUUACAAUAUUCCAAGCCUCAAUGUGAAGUAGAUUUAUUAAUUAGCCCAAAUUCUAGAAUUCUAAAAAGACUGGAGAAUUAUUCACUUCCUUGAAUUUUAUAUUUGAAGAUUGCCUUGAAUUACACCAAGUUCUAUUGAAACUAGUGAGAAUAUAAGUCCAAUAUAUCAUUUUUAUUGUUCUCAUUACAUUUUUCUUUAUUGGUGUUUAAUUUUUCUUUUAGAAAAAAUAAAUGUUUUUCUCAUUAACAUAUCAACAAGUUUUAGCAUACUUAUAGACCCCAAAAUUUGUCCCAAUUUUAAUUUUACAUUAAUUUUGAGCCCAAUUUUAAAUCCCGAUUACAUGUGUUAUUUUAGGCUCACUCACCCUUUAAUUUUUAGUUUUCAUUAUUUUAUAAAUUAUUUUUUAUUUUUAUUUAUUCAUUUUAUUAUUAUUAUUAUUAUUAUUAUUAUUAUUAUUAUUAUUAUUAUUAUUAUAUUCUUUUUUUAUUUUUUUAUUCUUUAUUUCAUUAUUUUAUUUUUCCUCUCUCAUCUCUUUUCCUUUUUCUCCUCCACCUACCCUCACCCACCCACUCUUCUCUCUCUCCCCCAAUUCCCUUUCCCCCCCCCCCCCUAUUUUUUUCCCCCCAAGUUUUCCCUCAUUUUCUUCCCCAACAUCUCUCCAUUCCUCUCUCUUCUCUUACUCUUACACUGCGGGCCCCCAUCCUUCUUCCCUUCCCCUUCAUUUUUUCCCUUCCCCAUCUCCCCACUUCUUCUCCAACACGGCGGGCUCCAUUCCCACUUCCAUUUUUUUUCUCUCAUCCUCACAACCCUAUUUUUUUUUUCUUCCUCCCGCAACACCCAUUCUGGACGGCUAGGAACCUCCCACUUCUUCCCCUAUUUUUUUUUCUCAUUUUCUCCUACCCAUUUUUCUUCCAAUAUUUUUUCCACCAUUUUUUUUUCUUUCUUUCUCAUUUUCUCCUACCAAUGCUUCCAAUAUUUUUCCCACCAUUUUUUUCUUUCUCUCUCUUCCUCCAUCAACCCGACUUCCAAAGGCACCAGAAUCCUUCCUUUAUUAUUAUUAUUAUUAUUAUUAUUCACCAAUCUCCCACUACCGCGGGCAAGCCCUUGCUAGUCGCCGCUUUUCUGUUAUUAUUAUUAUUAUUGUUUUAUGUUAAUAGUAAUUGUUGUUUAUAAAAUUUGGAUUGUUGAAUUAAUAUGAAAUUUGAGUUAAUUUGUUGUCGGUAAAUUAAUAUGAAAUUUGGGCUAAUUUAUUGUUGGUGAAUUAAUUUGGAAUUUGUUAAUUUGGGCUAAAUUAAAUGAUAAUUUAUAUGGUUAUACUCAUUUGAAUUAUUUAAUUUGGAUAUGAUGUAAUAUUGUAAUAUAUUUUGGAUGUGAGUUUGCAUAUUAAAUUGGGUUAAUUUUGGUUGUGGAUUUAGGUUUGCAUGUUAAAUUGGGCUUGAAUGAUGAGAUAUUAAAUUUAGGCCUAACGAUAUUUAUUUUAAUUUAUCAUAUUUUAGGUUUGAUUAUUUGAGCUUAUAUUUUGGCUAUUAAUUUGGAAACUUUAGAUUAUGAUCUAUGAUACGUGAGAUAUUUUUGUUGGGGUAUAUUUGCUAAUUUGGGUUUUUUUUUUUUAAUUGGUGAAAUUUAUUGGGCUAAUUUGAAGUUUGAAUUUGGGUUUGAAUAUCUAUUGUGAAUUUUAUACUUUUUUAGAUAUUUAUAUUUGGGCUAUUUUUGUCUUUGUAUGGGCCCAUUAUGCAAUUAUGUUGGUUGGAUACAGAUUUAUGACAUGUGGAGCACAAAAUUUCAUGGAAGAAAGUGAGAAUAAAAAAGUAGUAGGAAGACGUCGAGCUUGUAAGUUUAUUUGGGUACAUAUUUUAUUUUCCACUUUUAUUUGGUUUGAUUUUUAUUAGUUCUUGUAAAUAUUUGUUUAUAUAUAUUUAUUGAGUGUGUACAGAAUUGAACAUCGAAUAAACUAGAAAUUUUGUUUAAAUGAGAUGAAGAAUUCAGUAAAUGUGUUUUGAUAAAACAAUAAUUUUAAAAUAUUUUUUUUAAUAAAAGAAAGUUUUUUUUUAUUAUUUAUAAAAAUUCAGAAAAAUACAUUUAGAAAAAUCCAAAAUAAUUGUUUUUAAUAGAAUUCGAAAAAUUGUUUUUAAUAACAUUGUCCAAAAUUUUCUUUGUUUAAUAAAAAUUGUCCAAAAAUUGUUUUGUAAAUAAAGUUGUCCCAAAAAAUUAAUUUUUAAUAAAAUUGUUUAAAAAUAUUUUUUUUAAAUGAAUUCUUUCUCUUUAAUUAAAAUGGGAUUAAAAGUGUUUUUCAGAAAUAGGGGAUUCAAAUCUUUGUUUUUCUUUUUAAUUAAAAUUUAUUUUGCAAAUAAAGUUACGUCGUUUUAAAUAAUUUGUUAAAAUCAUUUUUUUUAAAUGAAAAUGAAUCAAAAUACUUUUGUAAAUAAAAUUGUAAAAAUUCAUUAUUUUCUGAAAAAAAUCAAGUAAAAUAAUUUUUGUUGCCAAAUUAAAAUUUUGUAAUAUUUUUUUUUUAUACAAUAAGUACAAAUAACUUUUUUCGAAAAUUAAAUACAAAUGAAAUUGAAUCAAAUCAUUAAUUGAAACUUCUUUUUUGUAAAUAAAUAAAUUGAAAUCAUUAAUUCAAAAUCAUUUUUUUAUAAAAUCUUUUGAAAUUUCUUGAAAACCAUUUUUUUAAUACCUUUUUUUUUAGUUCAAUAAAUCAUUUUUGAACAAUUCUCUUGUUAUUCAUUUCAUGUAUUCUUAUAAUUAGAUUUCAUUAUUAUUUUUGUGUACGUUGAUUUUCAUCAUGACUUGUACAUUAAUUAUUUUUCUUGAUAUCCAUAAUUAAUUAAUUAAUUGUCACAAUUCUCUUGAUUUGUUUAGUAAAGACUGUAUACGGGCUUAGAGGGGUGCUACGUCUUACCAUCUUACCUUCCCAAUAAGUAACUUGACCCCUAAACCCGACUUUGGUUUUCCAAAGACCUGUUUUUCUUUCGGGAAUCACACUUAGGGUUUUUCUUUCUUAUUUGUUUUUCCCUUUAAAAAAAAAAUUAAAAUAAGUGGCGACUCCAAGUCUUUUUAAAAAAAAAUUAAAAUUUCAUCAAAUAAAUAAAAAAAACGAGUUUCUCCAUCAAACGAAAAUGUGGGGUCCACAAUACCACUUCAAAAUAUAUGAGAUUUUUUAAAAAUUGUACUUUAUUAGUAAGAACAAUUCUAAAAUUUUUCUUUUCUUUAUUUUAAGAGCGAUGUGAAAGUGACUACCAUUUUAAAGUUUAUAGGAAUUCCACAAAUAUUUAUAAAUAAUUGAUAUUUCAUAUAUUCUUUUUAAAAAGUUUAAUUUUUUUGGUGAAAUGAAUUUUAUAUCGGUAAUUCAUGUAUUAGAGCUUCCCUCUCAUAGAAGUGCUAGAAAAAUUUAUGUUGUGUUUUGUUCUAUGAAAGAAUGAAAGAAAAAAAUGUUAAAGAAAAUAAUUUUCUUAUAUUUGGUUUUAUUAUGAAAAACAUGAAAUAAAAUUAAAUAUAAUUAAUAUUAGUUAGAAACUUAUUCAUUACAAAUUAUUUAUUCUUUCUAUAGAAGAAGUAAAAUAUGUUAAAUAAGUUUGAAGUAGUAUAUAAAAAAUAAUUUAUUGAUCUUAAAUAUUUUUUUAUUUUCUUUCACUUUUUUCCCUCAAUUUUUCUUCUCUAUUUUAUUUUCCUCUCACAUUCUCUUAGAUUUUUCAAACCUAAAAAUCACCUAAUCCAUACAACGUUGUUACAAAAUAUCAAUUAGUUAUGGUGAAAUAAAUCAAUUGCUUCAAAUGAAUUAGUUUCUCCGACCUUUGAAUUGUGAAUUGGGAUAUACGAUAAUUUGGGUAACUAACAUUUAACAAUUUAACAUUUUCUUUAUUUAAGUUAUAACAUUUAACAUUUAACAAAAUUUUUAGUGUAAAAUUUCUUUCAUGAAUAAGGCUUGAUCAUCAAUUUAAAAAAAAGAAUGACAUUAAUUAAAUGAGAAAUUUCUUCACAAAUUGUGUGAUUGAAUGACAAAAUUGAAAGUUUUGUAUACAUCUAUCUCAAUCAUUAAAUACAAUAGCUUGAUAAGGAGGAUUUAUAAUAUUUGGAAUUGCAAUAAACUUAUUUUUAUAAGACAAUAAAAUAUAAAUUGACAAAUUAAUUAUUUUUUUAUAAACACAAUAAAAUAAGUGGUUAGAAUAUCAUUGUCUACACAUAUAUAGAUUAAGAUAAAAAUAUUUAAUAAUUUCAAAUUUAGAUAAUAGAUGUUAAACCACUUUGCAUAUUUAAUAAUUCAAGUAAAAAAGUUACAAGUAUUUUAUUAAAAUAGGUGGCAAUGCAAUUUAAACUAAUUCAACAAAUUCUUUGCAAGUCAAAAAAUUCCUAGUAUUUUAAUAAAGUCAAUGAGAAUAAAAUUUAAGCUAAUAUAUAAGACUUUAAUCAUAGUGUAAUUGUCCUCUUAAAAUAAUAUUAGCAUUAUAAUUUUAAUAAAAUAGAUGGUUAACAACAUACAGCCAUGUUAGGUUCUUCACUUUUUAGUCUCUUGUUCAUGCUAUGAGGUUCCUACCUCUUGGUCUUUGUAAUUUUAAUUUCUUUUCAUUCCUAAACUUCAAAUAUUGAAAUCAAAAUUUGUAUACAAAAUUAAAUGAAAUUUAUUUUUAAAAAUUUUAGAUAACUCUUGUUUUAUUGAUUAAUUAAAAUACCUUAAUAUAGCAUAAUGUGAAUAAAGAAAUGAAUUUACCAUAAAUUAAUAAAAUUGUCAUUGGUAAUUUAAAACCUUAAUAUGAUUAGAAUAGAUUUUGUUUUUAUCUAUUUUUUCUUUUGUUUUUCAAGAAAGUUUGGAUCUAAAUUUUCUCAUCAAUUAACUAAAAAAAUGAAAACAACAAUAUAAAAGUGAAAUCAAUAUAUAAAAUAAAUCCUCAAAUUUCAAAAUCAUAAGACUAAAAUUCUACUAUAUUCAAAUACUAUUUUGACCUUCAAUUUCACUUUUUUAAUAAAAUUUUACCUUAACAGAAAUAGUGAUUUUUUUUUUUUUGUUUUUACCUUAAUAAGAAAGUCAUUUUUUUUUCUCUUUUGUUUUUUCAAUCUUCACCUUUAUCAUAAUACUCAAAUCUAAUUUUAUAUAUAUAUAUAUAUAUAUAUAUAUAUAAAAUUAAACUAAAUUUAUUUUUGAAAAUUUUAGAUCACUCUUGUUUCAAAAACUAGUUAAACUACUUUAAUACUAUAUAACUUCAAUAAAAAAAAUGAAUUUAUCAUACAUUAUCAAAGAUGUCAUUAAAAAAAGACUAAAUAUGACUUAAACAAAUUUAAUUUUUGUCCAUUUUCUUCUUCUAUUUUUUUGCUAAGGUUAGGUUAGUAUUUCUAGCCCGAGACACAUUAGCUGACAAAACCAUGACCUUUCGAAAAUUAGGCUCAGGUCUGAUCCAUUAAAUUGACAAGCCUCCAAGACAGGCCCUGAUUAGCUUACCAACAUGUUUGUGUUGGACUAAGCCCACCUUAAGUGGGAUUAAGGAAAUAAUAAGAAAUGUUUGUUGCUUAACCAAGGAGAGAUGGGUGUUGAUUUAUAUUGGGUUUUCCAUUGUAUUGGAUUAUUGAUCUUUGAAACUUCUUUGAAAGUUUAUUUUUGUAAACUAGUAAUAACUAGUCUUGAUUUUUGUUUUCAUUCAAGUUAGACAAAACUUUUGAAAAAACGCCCUUAUGCACAAAAGUGAGCCUAUAUUGAAUUCGACUCUCAUAACCCAUGCCAACAAGGUAUAUAAGUUCAAAGUGGGGACCACUAAGAGCCAUAUGAGUAUUAGCUCCUUCAGAUUCCAAUUCUAAAGUUGAAUCAACAUUCCAUUGCAGAGAAUCAACUAAACUCCAAUAUCCUAUGUAAGUAACAAUGAGACAUUAUGUGCUUAGGUCCAUGACUUGCUAUCCAUUACGUUUAGUCUCUCCAUGAACUAACGUUCAUAAUCUAACAAAGUGAAAGUUAUCAACCUUUUAAUACUACCUCUACUAUCCUUGAGUUAUAUAUAUCCUCUUAUUGUGUGUUUAACUAACAUGCCUUAACUUUUAAAGAUCUUAUGUCAAGUUCCAGUUAAGGAAUUACCAUGACCAUAGUUUCCAUGAACACACCUCCUUAGAUCACUCAAGGGGACACACUGUCUCGAUUCCAUUAGAUAUCAUGGUGCCUCUAUUGAGAAUACCUAUUGUCAUUGACUUCCAUCAAUAGUGACCCAAUCUAUAAGCUGUCAUUAAUUAGCUUAUGAUCUCACUCGUAGGUCAAAGCCACUGUUAACUUUAACAUAAACUCAAUAUUCUCUCAAAGUUGAAAGACAAUAUAAUAAAACAGCUUGGUAAAGUCAUGACUACUUGAUAACCAUAAGUCAUGACUCAUUGUAGGUCCUAUCUAAUGUGUAACUAUACACACUAGUGCACUCACCAUAUUCCCGAUAGCCAAGAUCAGUCAUCCCUUCAAUUAGGAGGUAAUGCACUAUACCCUCUAAUGGGUAAUCUAGUCCUACGAACCGGUUGUGAAUAAAUAAUCUAUUUACAAAUAACCAAUGACUUGGAUCUUUUGUGCAACUCCUAAUACACUUGUAGACCCUCGUUUUUCAUGUGUGUUUCCACUUGAUGACAAGACUCAUUUUUUAGUGAAAAACUAAUUUUUAUAAAACUGAUUUUUUAUUUUGAAAUUCCAUUUUAUUUAUUUCCAUUGAUUCAUUAUUUUAUGCUAACAUUACUAAUGUGUUUUUAUUUCCAGUCAUUUCAUUAUUUUAGCUAACAUUACUAAUGUAUUUCAUUUCUAGUCAUUUCAUUUCAUCUCCACAUGCAGCUGGUGGAGAUGACAUCCACCAUAUACUCCCGUUGCUGUCGUGUUUCUGAUUGUAUUUGUGCGCGUGAUGCGAAACUAUAUUUGAUGAUCAAGUCAAUGCCAAAGAUGGAAGACUGAUGAUCUCACCGAGAUGGAGAAUCCAGAUGAAGAAGUAAGAGACCACCGAUUACGGCUUCCAAUAUGGUGAUGUUGUGGGUGGAUAAAUGGAGAAGCUGUCUAGGUGUGUUGCGAGACCAAUGGAGAUCAUGAGCAGUGAUCUGGUGUUGUCGAAAAUUUUCACUCCAGAUGAUGAAGAUGAAGAUUUGGUGUCGAUGAAGACGAGCUUUUGAGAUGAAUUGUUGCACGUACCAAAAUGGCGAAAUGCAGGUCUGAAGAUGGUGACUGCAAGAUGAAAUGUGGACCGAAAUCCAAAGUCUAAUUGAAAACCUUCUAGUGUCGGAAAUGGAAAGCUCUAAUGGCGGUGGUGACUUGUAGCACUGCUGAUCUUCAUGGCGGUCACGGCAAACUCAAAUGGUGGACCUAAACCUGCAGCAACGAUGAUAUUCAUGGCGGUGAUGGAGAGCUCUAAUGGCGGUGAUGAAUUUCAUGAAGGCGGUGAUGGACUCUGAUGUCGGUGAUGAAAUUUUUUCUCAGAGAAAAGAUCAUGCUCUCUUCCUCCCCAAGUCGAUCAUGUAAGUGGAGUCUUCCAGAGGACUCCACUUACAUCCAAAUUACAUGCGGUGAUCAUCUACCCACACGCACCUACAUGACCCUCUUAGACUGCAUGAUAGUCGCGUGAUGGAGCACUUCUCUUCCCAAGCUUAAAUAACCUUCUCCAAGUUACAUAAUAGCCAUGUGAUGGUGCUUCUCUCCUAGAACCUAAGUGACCUCAAAAUUCCACAAUAGUCACAUGAUAAUGCCUUUCUUCUAGAAGCCUAUGUCAUGAAACCUUGCCUUUGGACCCAUGCAUGAAUAUUCCUAAUGUUAAUUAUGCACUACCUCAUAUCUAAAAGUGACCUCAUGCAAAAAUAAAAUUAAAACACUCUCAAAAUUACACAACUAAAAAUAAAAAAUCAAAAGUCAUAUAUUUAAGGAUAAAAAUCCAAAUACAUGCACACAAAAAACAAAAAUAAGUUUCAUACAAUUAAAAGAAAAUCCAUAUAUCCCUCGCAUGCAAUCAAAUAUCCAAAAUAGCCUACAUACAAUAAAAAAAAUCAAUAUCAAUCCAAACUCACCUAAUCCUAAAACUAUGCCAUGGUAAAAUAAACACAAACCUAAAUGCACUAGAAAUCAAUCAAAAACAAAGUCCUGAACUGGGAAUCAGGGGUCACUAAAAUCAAGGUUGGGAUCCACCUAAUCCCUCCUAAAUAUCUCUCAUAGAAAAUCCAAAAAUAGUGAUUGAAAUAGUUAUAGUGGACCACCAAUGAGAGCUCAAAAAUAGCUUAAAAAAAGACCAUAAGUGGAUAAUAAGACAAUAGAGAAAAUAGAAAGGCAAUCUUGGAUGGAAUGUGCCAAGAGGAUAAAAUAGAGGGUUUACAACACUCAAAUCACAUACAAUGCAAAAGAUGUAGGCAAGAAUGCUCAUAAAGCAUAAUGCAUGGAAUAAAGAUAGAUAAAAGUGAAACUGGAAUAUCAGUAAAUAAAUAACGAAUUCCAAAUUUAUUACAUCAUGUCAUGCUUUUAAAGACUCUAUAAUAACAGUAGGAACCUAUGUCCCUAUCUUCGCUUGAAACUUUACUUUAGGAAUUUAUUAUCUUGUCAUCUCAUAUAAAAUAUACUCCUUAAUUCAAUACAAGGAAGGAUAUAAUAUGAUAAUAUAUGAAUUAGCUAAUCAUGUUAUGAAGUCAAUAACCAUCUUAUCAUUCAUAAAAGAAUUAUAGUGUUAGAACUUUAGCAAUUACCUAGUUCAUUUGAUGUUACUACAACUUGAUCAUUAAUUAGUAAUCCUUUGUAAAUUAAUUACCUUUCAAUUAUUUAUAUAUUUAUUAACAUAUUUUUUCUCUCAAUCUAUAGAAAGCUACUCAUUCCAUCUCUUUAACUCCACCUAAAUAAUACAUAAUACCUAAAGCUAUAAGAAAGUUCAAUGAAUGAUUAUCAAUUCUUCUAUGUUUCAUCAAAGUUGUUAGAUGAGUUGUAGUGAUCCCUACAAUAUUGAAUGCUUUUAUAAAUACUUGAUUAAAAAUUAAAUAUUUCUAAAUUUGAUCCUUGAAAAUCGGAUCCACUCUAUAAUUUGAUCUUAUUAAUAAUUUUAUCAAAUCAUUUAGGGACUUGGUUUAAAAUUAUAACACUUCACCUUGCACCAAGAUGAGGAAAAUAAACAUCUAUAAAAUUUAAACUCAUGACUUAUCAUCAGUUAAAAUUUUAACAUAUUAUUAAGCUAAUAAUUUGAUUUGGUGAUAUAAAUAGUUGAUUGGUUAAUUAACAAAGAAUAGAAGCAAAUUCAAGUUCAAACUAUGUAUAUCAUAGUGAUCCUUUUUUGUCCUUUUAUUUUGGUCUUUAUUUAGGCAUAUAUCAAGUAAAAAUCAAAUUUACAAUUAUCUAUGUUUCUAAAAUUUUUCUUCUACAGAAAAAGAUUUAAGCUAUAUUUCCUCAAUUAUUUUGAAAGAAAAAGUACUUAAUAUGUAAUAUAUAUAAUGGCCCAAACUCUAACUUUGUGUGAUGUACUCCACUUAUCCCUUGAGCAUGACCUAUGAUGAUAAAUCAUGUGUAGAAGUCAUGUUUGAUAAUAUUAUAAAAAGAAAAAAAAAAUACAUAUGCACAAGUUUUAGCAUACCGCUUCAAAAUAUAUGGGAUUUCUUAAAAAUUGUAUGUUAGUAAAAAUGUUUCUAAGAUUUUUUUUUCAUUGUUUUAAGAAUCGUUUGAAAGUGUCUGUUGCAUUUUAAAGUUUAUAGGAGUUUUAAUGAAUAUUUGUAAAUAAUGUAUACGAACCCGAGCCGACCAAAGAGGAGGCGGAGAGACUUGCUGAAAAUGGUCCAUUUUACUUGAAGCCAAAAAAGAUCGAAAUCAAUGUCAAUCAAUAGAAAUAAAUGCCAAGUAGAAAAAAAUAAGGAAGAAGAAAACGAUCGAAAUUCUGACCAAAGAAUUAGACAUUCGAAGACCUUUGUUACUCAUAUUAGCACCAUAUUUUCUUUUUCUUUUUUUAAAAAAAAAUAAAAUUGGUAGAAAGAAUUUUACACCAUUAUGCUUCUAGCUGGCCUAAUACUCUCCAUAUUCCACUCAAUUUGUAGAAGCCAUAUCAGAAACACAUCACCAUUCACUUGCGAACCUUUCUGCCUUCUUUGAUAUUUUUGUGCAACAAACCCAUCAAAUAAAUCCUCUAAACAAUCACAAAUACACAAUAGAAAAUCCAAGAGAAAGAAAUGAACCAAAUAUGGGAGACAAGCGAAAUGGAAGAUCAUGAGUGUAUUUCGAGUGUUUGAUAUGGGAGAAAAGGUGAUAAAAAGAGAAGGAGCUCGAGUAGUUGAAAGGCAUCUUCACUGCAAUUUAUGUGUGUGUUGUGUCCUAAUCUCCCCCAAAACCAAGACCAAGUUCUUUUGCUCCAUCUGUUCUUGUUCCCUAAUCCUUGCAUUUUUUUAUUUUUAUUUUUUGCAAGCAUUUUCCUCAUUACAACACCAUAAAUAAUAGUAAUGUGAGUAUGGAAACUUAGGAAAUUUGAGGUUGGUGUUUGUUUUAUGUAUUUGGUAAUAAUUUAAGUGGUGUUUUGGAUGUAAUUUGAAUGAAUGUAGAAUCUUGUUGUUUAGGUUAUGAAAACCAAGAGAAUUUGAAGAGGGUGUUUUUGGUUUGCAAUUAUUUACCUAGUGUAGUCAUACACACACAUAUAUAUAUAUGAGAAAAUAUUGUUUUAGAUUUAUUAAAUUUAAAAUGUAGAAAAACUAAGGAAUCAAUAAAUUUGUUAUUCCUAUUGGAAACUCUGCACUAAAGUUAUUGGUGGAUAAAUCAAUACUGACUAUGAGAGAAAUAGACUUGAUAUAUUCUAGAUCUUGGUCUUUCACUUUCAAGAUCAAACUAUAUUCAUAGGAUCGGGCCUUAUCAGGUGUUGGGUAUAGAUAGCGGCUUAUAUUUUGCUUUUAAGUCAUUGGAUCACCCAAAGUGCAUGGACUACUACCACUCAAAUUGUUUUCAACAAGGUAUGAGAUAUGCAAUGAACUUAAAUUUGACAACUCAAAAUGAAGUCCUCCAAAAAAUGCAUUUGAACUCAACUUAAGAAUUCAAACCAAUGUGAAAACAGCUCCAAUCCAUACUGGAAUAUCACCUGAAAGCUUGUUCUUGUUUAAGUGAAGUGAUUGAAGCCAUUCUAACCGACCAAAAGAUUUUGGAAUAGUCCCCAAUAAAUUGUUCUUUCCAAGGAUUAGAAAGUAUAGGUCCGUGCAAUUAUUUAUAGAUGAAGGAAUGCUUCAUGUUAGACUAUUCCUUGAAAAAUCAAGGAUUUGAAGAUGUCGUAUAUGUCCUAUAGACUUUGGGAUGAUUCCUAUCAUUUGAUUGCCUGAAAGAGAAAAUACAAACAAAUUUGGGAUGGAUUCACCUAUUUUGGCUAGGAUAGAACCAGAAAAUUUAUUGUUGGAUGGAUCAAGUGAGUAGCACUGAUGAGGAUGAGUUUUCAAGAUAUAUAUCAAGAAAGGGAAUUAGUAUUAGUUUUAAUUAAAGUAGGAUUAAUAUUACUUGGAAUUAAAUUAGGAUUAAUAUUUGCUGGAAUCAAAUUAGGAUUAGCUAGUUGAGUUAUAAUAUAAUUAGAAUUUGAGUCAUGAUAGGUUAUUAGAGUCUUAGUAGACUUUGGAUGUUAUAAUUAGAAUUAGAAUCAUAAUAGGUUUUUAGAGUCCUAGUAGACUUUGGAUUUCUUAGAGAAGCCUAUAAAUAGGCUAAUCAAUGUAAAUCAAAGGAAUAAAUUGAUGAAUAAUAUUAUACUUUCUUUCAUUGCAAGGUUGCAACCCUCAAUGGUGAGACUCCAUUGAUUUUCUUUUAGGUGAGACUCCUAGAAGGCCUUAGCGAGACUCUAAGGUUUUCCAUCUUUUCUUCAUUGUUUCUUCUUUCUCUCUAUUUCUUAUCUUAUAAUUUUCUCUACCAUAAAAUUUAUUCCUUAUUCCUCUCCUUACACCCUAAAAAUAAAACCCUAACCCACCUACCCUUAGGUGUAGGCAACCAUCCUAGGGUUAUCCUACAUCAAGCACCCAUGGUGUGGUAGAGGAAUUGGACCUUCAAACAGGUUGGAGCUGAAAUCAAUAGAUGCCCAAGGGGCCAUAUUUAACUGAUUUGGUAAUUGACCAUAUAACUGAUUCAAAGGAAGAUUUAAAAACAAUAGUUGAGAAUAAAUAUUCCUAAAACCAAUUGGGUAUCAUCCUUGUUGUAGAAUUAGGAUCUUUUAAGACUAUAUUAACAGUCUCAUAUGCAAUAACCUGAAUGAUUCAAUUUGGGUGGUUUUUCAUGGGCUUCAAAACAAAGAAAGUGGGUCUAAAUUGAUGAACAGAUAUUACCCCAAAAUGAGUUUUAAGCUUUUAGCAGAUGAUAAUGCUAGUUACUUUUAACCUAGAAAGUGACCAAGAACUUUCGGGGUUUUUUUUUCCUCUUUUCAUCACAAUUGUGAAACAUCAAAUUUGUCAUUGUUUUCCUACAAUUUAGAUUAUGGGGGUGGGGAGAUGUAUGCUCCUUUGCCCACGUUAGCAUUGGAGUGAACUAUGAAUUUCAGUUCUUGGAACCUGUCUGGAUAUGUUUCUAGAUGCUAGAAGGUUGGGGUGGGGGAAGAUAGCGGCAAGACCUGGUGUAAUUCCUUAUGGGUAAUUUGGGGAAAAAUGAUAGUAGUAACUAUUUUGCCUAUUUAAUUUUUCAAUCUAAUAUGCCUAAAGAAUUUGCAUAUCAAGUUUAAAAGUUGGCUUAAAUACCCAAGUCAACCUACUAUCGAUUGUGCGAGGAAAAAAGAAGAUGGGCAACAGGUAAGCUGUUGGAUUAAUUGGUAACCAACAUUUGCUAAUUAAGGUCGGAAUUUCUAUCUUAUAUUGGUGAGGUAGAUGACUUUUUUCUUAGUUUAUGGGGCCAAUGGAAGCAACCUACAACUAAGGAAAAUGGUUUCUCUCUACUCCCAGCUUACUAAGUUAAUUUGCUAAUGCAAAAAAGGCUUUCCCUUUCUACCAACAAGUUAGAAGGGUACUUCUUUCACUUAUUGUGCUUCUUGUUUCCAUGUUUUAUCUAUAAGGUGAACAUGAGGUGUCAAUCCCUUCCAAUUUUGUUUUCAUGUAUUAAUAUAGUUGAAGAAUCUAAUUACAGACUGAAAGAAUAUAGUUGGAACCUUGGAGGAGUGGUAGAUGAAGGGAUGGCCAUGCUAGGAGGAAUGAUAGUUGAAACAUCAACUCCAACUAGCUGAUCUGAGUGCAUCAGAAAUGGGAAUGAUAAGGCGGCCUCUCCUCUUUUUGGAAUGGAUACCGGCUCUAAAGACAUGAUCUUAGAAUAGGAAACCUUGUGUGUUUCCUAUAAACCAACUCAGCCUAAUCCACCUACCUAGGUUUCGUCUCCUAGGGCAACAAGCAUAUCCUAAAUGGUCUCAAAAGGCAAUAGAGUCCUGUGGUGCAUUAGUAUGAAAGUAUAGUUGAUUAUCUCGUUUCUUCUUAUGCACUAAACUCUGGAAAAACUGGCAGAUCACUUUCUAGUAAAAAGGAAGCUUUUUCUCCAGGAAUCUGUUGUUCAAUUUUCAAUUUUACAAUACUUCUCAUCUGACUCUCAUUGUAGAAUUAAGGUUUUUUUUAAGACUGCAUUAACAGUCCCUUAUGUAGAAACCUAAAUUAUUUAAUUUGGGUUUGUCUAGGGCAGAUUUUUAUGGAGUUCAAAACCAAGAAAGUGGCUCCAAAUUGAUAACCAAACAUUGCCGAAAAAUGUGUUUUUAACAUAUGAGACUGGUAGUUACUUCAAGUUACUGCUAACCUAGAAAGUGACAAAGAAUGCUACUUUUGGAUUUUAAGGAAAUUUUUUCUUUUAUUUAUUUACUUUUUUUUUUUUGUGCAGGUGCCACAUUUUCUCUUUUGGUUGGAAUUGUGAAGUAUCAAAUUCAUCGAUGUUUCCUACGAUUUAGAUUUUGGGGGUUGGGAGAGGUAUGUUCUUUUGCCCCACUUUGCAUUAAAGUGAGCAAUGAAUUCUAAUUCUUGGGGGCAUGGGUUGUGCAAGGUGGAUGCCCACACCACUUGGCGGGUGCAAAUGGAAGUCCUCUAAUGUGUUUGAUAAAGUGUUUCACCAAAAGAUUUUCUUGCUGAAGAAGGGAAAAUCCCAUUUUACUUUUGUUGUUAAUCAUGUCAAUAUGCCUUGUUUGUCAAUUACCUUGUUGCUUAAACUUUUUAUUUAUAUUUAUAGUUUAAAAUGGUGCAGAAUCCUUUGCUUCUGAGAGGUCUUAGGUUUGAACCUCACCGCUUAUGUAUUCCCUUUGUAUUGAAUCCAUGUAUGAAAGAAUGCCAUGGAGGCUAGUGUUGAGGCAAUUAUCUGUACUAUUAACCAGCUUCAUUUAAUAUACAUUGUUGAUCUAUUAUCUAAUCGCAUAAGUUGUUGGAUUAAGUGGCAAUCAACAUUUACUAAGGUUGGAAUUCCCAUAUUAUCUUGGUGAGAUAGAUCAUGACUUCUACCCUCAAUUUAUGGGGCCGAGGGAAACACCCUACAACUAUGGUAAAUGAUUUCCCCAUUCCCGAAGUUCUAAGUUAAUUUGCUAAUGCUAACGUAGAAAGGCUUCCCCUUCUACCAACAAGGUUAAGAGAGUGCUUCCUUCACUUACCUUGCUUAUUGUUUCCAUGUUUGAACUAUAAAGUUAACAUGGGGUGCUAAUCUCUUCCAAUUUUGUUUCCAUGUAUUAAUAUAGUUGAAUAUAGUUGGAGGAAUGGUAUAUACUCUAGUGGAAGGUGUCUCAAACUCAAUUCCCAUGGAUGGAGUAAGAUUCAGAGACACAACAAAUGGAAUUGGCAAUAAAACAGGUUGUGAAUUUGCUUGAGAAAUAACCAACCUCAUAGCAAAUGAAGGAACAAUUGUGCUAGGAGGAAAUGAGGUUUUGUCUUAGACGUAGUUCUCUACAGGUUGAUGACUUCUUCAGUCCAAUAACGUGUGAUUUUCUCACUUCUGAAACUUCAGUUUUGGUUUUGAUCCAUUUUAGAGAGGAUAUGUGACACAAUCCAAAAUGGGGUUACAUUGUCUCUUGUUUUUCGCUGAUGUUAUCAUUUGUUGCCUUCAUGUGCUAGGAUGACGUUUGUUAAUGAAAAUUUCUAUGACCAAGUUGAAUUUGAUACUUGGGUGGAGCUGGUUUGUUUAAAUAUUCAUGUUUUGGUGAAUAAAAGUUAUUUUAAUUGAGCAAAACUAAUACAUAUAAUGUAGAAGAUGGAUAAAAUUUAAGUUAAAUAUUUAACAAAAAAAAUAUGAUUUUAGGACUUUUCAAUUUAAUAAAAGUUUUGUUGUAGUUAUGGGUUAUGUAUUCAAUUUUGGGUAGAAGGAAAAGACUAACCAAGCAAGUGCUACAUAUAAUCUAAAGCAUUCCCAAACCCUGGAAGCUUAAGGGAUGGAUCAUAUUAAUAGUGUGUGAUAGUGAUUCUUGAAAGUGUUUUUAACGUUUAUAGUACUUGAAAAAUGAAAUCUUAAAGUGUUAGAAAUGUUAAAAACACUUCCUAGAAUAACUAUCAAAUGCACUCUAAAUAAGUUAGCUUAAGAGUGAUGCAAAAAAUGGGUAUGUUGUAUAAGAACACAUAUUUUCUUUUUGUCUUUCACCCUUCAAAAAGUUAUGAUCUACUUGUUUGCUUGGAAAAAAAAAUACUUUUUUUCCCCAAUUAUAAAUAUUAGCCAUUUUUCAUCAAAAGUAACUAGAAUUAUAUAGACCCCAAAAGGGCAAAAAAGGUCAUAGAUUUAGGUUAAUAAAGAAAUAUAGUUGGGACAAACAAUUAAAACAUCUUACAUUGGAUGAUCAUCAUAUCCUACUCAAAUUUUAUAAGGUAGUGGAAACAUAACUAAUAAUUAUAUUUUUCAAAGAGAAUCUAAAAAUUUGAAAUUGGAAAUUUAUUCUAUUCAUUUUUAAUAUUUUUUGGGGUCUACUAUAAAUUUUAUCCACAAAGGGAAAACAUACACUAUUUAUCUUAAUAAAGGCCCCUUUUAUAUCAAGAAAUUUCUCUUUGAAUGAAUUAAAAGAGAAACCUUGUCUUUUAUUACAACUAUAAUGAAAUUCACUUCCAAAGCCUAUAAUUAUACAUAGAGCAUAUAACGAUCUACAAACAAAAUUUAUCACCUUCGCGGGUGAGCUUUGGCACAGGUUGCUCUUCCUCUCAACAACCAUUUGACAAUUUUAUCCACAAAAUCAAAGUAGGCCUCACACCAAGAUUUUCUUGUUGCCAAAACAAAAUAUGGAAUUAAAAUACCCAUUGAAAAUCCCAAGCCAACACUCAAGUAAAACCAUUGAUCAAUGUAGCCACCAUCAUUUUUGUCCUCAAUAGCACUACGCUUUUUAUCUAGAUCUUCAUCUUGGCAUUUUGUGACUAGUGGAGCUCCACAAAGAUUAGGGUUUCCAACAAAGCCUGACUCAGUGAAGGUUGUCAUUUGCCCUAUAAAGGGGAUCUUACCAGAGAAAUUGUUAUUUGAUAGAUUCAAAUAACUUAAGAAUGUCAAUGAAACCAUACUUGAAGGAAGGGUGCCAGAAAGCUUAUUAUUUGACAAAUCAAGAGAUAACAACUGCUUCAACAUUGAAAUGCUUUCAGGAAUUUGGCCAAUGAUGUGAUUCCUCGAUAAGUUCAAAACUAGCAAACCAAACAAUUUUGUUAUUUCUUGGGGAAACUCUCCACUUAAAUUAUUGUCGGAUAGGUCUAUGCUUACAACAAGAAAAAGAGUUCUGGUGUACUCAAGACUUUGGCCUUUCAUAUUCACAACCAAUCGUUCUUCAUACCAAGAGUUGCUCCCAUUGCCAUGCAAAGGAUAUAUAUUCUUAUUAUUCUCUUGAGCCAUGGCUUUAAGCUCAACAAAAGUGAUUGGAAUUUCACCCAUUAGAUUGUUUUGUGCAAGGUCUAAGACACGCAGGGAGCUUAAAUUUGAAAGCUGUGGGGGAAGUCUUCCAAAAAAUACAUUUGACCUCAAGUUGAGUAUUACAAGAUUUAUGAAAGUAGUUCCAAUCCAUGAAGGAACCUUACCCAAUAGUUGGUUAUAACUGAGAUCAAGGAGUUCCAAUCUUGAUAAAUUUUGGAAAGAUGAGGGGAGCCCUCCUGAAAGCUUGUUAUCAUUCAGGUGUAGUGAUUCGAGCCAUUGUAACUGGCCCAAUGACUUUGGUAUCGUCCCAGAUAAAUGGUUAUUUCCAAGGUCUAGAACAAUUAGGCUAGAGCAAUUAUUUAUGGUAUAAGGAAUGCUUCCAGUCAAAUUAUUCCUUGAAAAAUCAAUGACUUGAAGAGAGGUGAUGUGUCCUAUGGAAUCUGGGAUGGUCCCUGUUAGUUGAUUUUUUGAAAGGAAAAGGUAAUUCAAGUCUAACAUAGAUUCACCUAUGCUCAAUGGGAUAGGGCCAGAAAAUUUAUUGUAGGAGAAAUCUAGUAAAUAGACUCCUUUGGUGGAAAAUUUUAAUGAAUUUGGUAGCUGACCUUGUAACUGAUUGUGAGAAAGUUUUAAGUAUGACAGGUUAAAAGAAAUAUUCCAAAACCACUUGGGUAUGAAACCUGAGAUGCUAGCAUUUGACAAAUCCAAAAAAAAGACCUCCUUUUGAGUCUUAAACCAAUUUGGGAAUGAAGGGCCUAAAUUGCAUGAAGCCAUACUCAGAUUAGUGACUUGGAAUGGGGGGACCCAAGUGGAACUAACAUUUAAAACAAGACCUGAAUUUCCAUUUAUCCACAACUCCUUCAACUUACUUAACUUUGAAAAAUGUUCUUCAGAAAUAAUUCCAGUCAUGCGAUUCAAAGAAACAUCCAAUUUAACCAAUUCAGAAAGUUGUCCAAAACUAACCGGGAGACUCCCAUUCAGUUCAUUCGAUCCAAGCCACAUCUCUCUCAGUUUUUUGAAUGUCCCAAAAGAAGCAGGAAUAGGGCCUUGAAGCUUGUUGCCAGAUAAAUCGAGAAAUGUAAGUUUUUCCAAAUGACUCAACCAUUCGGGAAUUGUACCUGCAAUCAUCAUCAAGAGUAUUAAAAUAGUUUCAUUUAUUUAUAUAUUUAUUUUAUGAAAAAUAAUAAAUUUUAGGAGAAAGGAAUUUUCAGAAAAAAAAGGUAUAAUAAAUCGAAUGAGUGGAGAAAAGAUAAUUUAAAAUAUUUUUUUAAAACUAAGUGUUUACAUGGAAUCAAUAUAUACAUGAUUACCAAAAGAAAAUUUUAAUUUAUUUGGUAGCUAACCUUGUAACUGAUUGUUAGAAAGACUUAACAACCACAUAUUCAAAGAAGUAUUCCAAAACCAAUUUGGUAUGGAACCUAAGAUGCUAGCAUUUGACAAAUCCAAAAAGAAGACCUCCUUUUGAGACCUAAGCCAAGUCGGGAAUGAAUGGCCUAAAUUGCAUGAAUCCAUACUCAGAUUAGUGACUUGGAAUGGGGGCACCCAAGUGGAACUAACAUUCAAAACGAGACCUGAAUUUCCACCCAUCCACAACUUCUGUAACUUACUUAACUUCGAAAAAUGUUCUUCAGAAAGAAUUCCAAUCAAGUGAUUCCUAGAAACAUCCAAGACAACCAAUUCAGAAAGUUGUCCAAAACUAAUUGGGAGACUCCCAUUUAGUUCAUUCGAUCCAAGCCACAUCACAUUUAGAUUUUUGAAUGUCCCAAAAGAAGCAGGGAUAGGGCCUUGAAGCUUGUUGCAAGAUAGAUCGAGAUGUGUAAGUUUUUCCAGCUGACUCAAUGAUUCAGGAAUUGUACCUGCAAUCAUCAUCAAAAGUAUUAAAAUAAUUUUGUCUAUCUAUUUAUUUUAUGAAAAAUAAGAAAUUCAAGAGAAAGGAAUUUUCAAAAAAGGUAUAAUAAAUCAAAUGAGUGGAUAAAAGACAAUUUAAAAUAGUUUUUAAAAACAAGUGUUUACAUGGAAUCAAUGUAUACACGAUUACUAGAAGAAAAUUUUAAUGAAUUUGGUAGCUGACCUUGUAAUUGAUUCUGAGAAAGACUUAAGUCCAGCAGAUUCAAAGAAAUAUUCCAAAACCACUUGGGUAUGAAACCUGAGAUGCUAGCAUUUGACAAAUCCAGAAGGGAGACCUCCUUUUGAGACCAAAGCCAAGUUGGGAAUAAAGGGCCUAAAUUGCAUGAAGCCAUACUUAGUUUAGUGAUUUGGAAUGGGGGGACCCAAGUGGAACUAACAUUCAAAACGAGACCUGAAUUUCCAUUUAUCCACAACUCCUUCAACUUACUUAACUUUGAAAAAUGUUCUUCAGAAAGAAUUCCAAUCAUGCGAUUCCUAGAAACAUCCAAGAGAACCAAUUCAGAAAGUUGUCCAAAACUAAUUGGGAGACUCCCAUUCAGUUCAUUUGAUCCAAGCCACAUCUCUCUCAGAUUUUUGAAUGUCCCAAAAGAAGUAGGAAUAAGGCCUUGAAGCUUGUUGCAAGAUAGAUCGAGAUGUGCAAGUUUUUCUAACUGACUCAACGAUUCAGGGAUUGUACCUGCAAUCAUCAUCAAGAGUACUAAAAUAAUUUCAUUUAUUUAUUUAUUUAUUUUAUGAAAAAUAAGAAAUUUCAGGAGAAAGGAAUUUUUAGAAAAGGUAUAAUAAAUCAAAUGAGUGGAGAAAAUAUAAUUUAAAAUAGUUUUUAAAAACAAGUGUUUACAUGGAAUCAAUAUAUACACGACUACCAUAAGAAAAUUUUAAUGAAUUUGGUAGCUGACCUUGUAAUUGAUUCUGAGAAAGGCUUAAGUCCUGCAGAUUAAAAGAAAUAUUCCAAAACCACUUGGGUAUGGAACCUGAGAUGCUAGCAUUUGACAAAUCCAGGAGGGAGACCUCCUUUUGAGACAUAAGCCAAGUCGGGAAUGAAGGGCCUAAAUUGCAUGAAGCCAUACUCAGUUUAGUGAUUUGAAAUGGGGGGACCCAAGUGGAACUAACAUUCAGAACGAGACCUGAAUUUCCAUUUAUCCACAGCUCCUUCAACUUACUAACUUUGAAAAAUGUUCUUCAGAAAGAAUUCCAGUCAUGUGAUUCCUAGAAACAUCCAAGAGAACCAAUUCAGAAAGUUGUCCAAAACUAACUGGGAGACUCCCAUUCAGUUCAUUCGAUCCAAGCCACAUCUCUCUCAGAUUUUUGAAUGUCCCAAAAGAAUUAGGAAUAGGGCCUUGAAGCUUGUUACCGGAUAGAUCGAGAUAUGCAAGUUUUUCCAAUUGACUCAAUGAUUCAGGAAUUGUACCUGCAAUCAUCAUCAAGAGUACUAAAAUAAUUUCAUUUAUUUAUUAAUUAUUUUAUGAAAAAUAAGAAAUUUCAGGAGAAAGGAAUUUUCAGAAAAGGUAUAAUAAAUCAAAUGAGUGGAGAAAAGAUAAUUUAAAAUAGUUUCUAAAAACAAGUGUUUACAUGGAACCAAUAUAUACACGACUACCAUAAGAAAAUUUUAAUGAAUUUGGUAGCUAACCUUGUAAAGAAAUAUUCCAAAACCACUUGGGUAUGGAACCUGAGAUGCUAGCAUUUGACAAAUCCAAGAGGGAGACCUCCUUUUGAGACAUAAGCCAAGUCGGGAAUGAAGGGCCUAAAUUGCAUGAAGCCAUACUCAGUUUAGUGAUUUGAAAUGGGGGGACCCAAGUGGAACUAACAUUCAGAACGAGACCUGAAUUUCCAUUUAUCCACAACUCCUUCAACUUACUUAACUUUGAAAAAUGUUCUUCAGAAAGAAUUCCAGUCAUGCGAUUCCUAGAAACAUCCAAGAGAACCAAUUCAGAAAGUUGUCCAAAACUAAUUGGGAGACUCCCAUUUAGUUCAUUCGAUCCAAGCCACAUUUCUCUCAGAUUUUUUAAUGUCCCAAAAGAAGCAGGGAUAGGGCCUUGAAGCUUGUUGCCGGAUAGAUCGAGAUAUGUAAGUUUUUCCAAUUGACUCAACGAUUCGGGAAUUGUACCUGCAAUCAUCAUUAAGAGUAUUAAAAUAAUUUUAUUUAUUUAUUUUAUGAAAAAUAAGAAAUUUCACGAUAAAAGAAUUUUCAAAAAAUGUAUAACAAAUCAAAUGAGUGGAGAAAAGUUAAUUUAAAAUAUUUUUAGAAACAAAUGUCUACAUAGAAUAAAUUGAGAAUAUUGUUUUUAGAAAUUAAAGUUUCCAAACAAAAUUUUGCUACAAAAAUAUAAUAUAAUAUUUGUAAAAAUUAUUAUAAAAAACUCAAAUUUGAUUUCUAAAAAAUAUUUUUACAAUGUUUACAAGAAACAAAAUACAUUAUAACAUUUGUAAAACUAUUAUAAAAAGCUCAAAAAAUUAUUUUAGAAAUCUAUUUUAAAAAUUGUUUACAACCAAAAUCUAGAUCUUGUAGUGUAAUCUUUCAAAUCCAUCAAAAGUCGAGGAGGAGAAGAUGAGCCAAAAAGCCCUAAAAAUUCCCCUUUGUUGGUCAAUUGCACAAUGAAUUUGUGAUAAAUCAUACAUCAACAAGAGUUAAAAUAAUUUAAUUUAAAAUAAUUUUCAAAAAAACAAAGAGAAAGUUUAUGAGAAAUAUAAUUUCAAGACAAGGUAAGAAACUUUACUUUCUUAUUGCAUUAGUGAAAUGGAUACAAUGAAUGGUGAAAAGAUAAUUUUACUUGCUUUGAUGGUUUAAUGAUAAAAGUAAGAGAUUAUUGGAAAGUCAUAAUAAUUUAAUGUGAAAUAUUUUUUAAGAACAAGGGUUGCAAUGCAAAACCUCUACAAUAUUUUGAUUUAUCAAAAAAAAAUAAGUGAUAACAAUUUUUCUAAGCUAAUAACGUACUAAGAAAGUUAUUGUAUGCCAAAUUCAAAAAUUCUAUCUUCUUCCAGCUUUUGCUUAACAUUUGAGAGCAACUACCUGUGAGAUUUUUGUUCCAAGAUAGAUCCAAGUGCUGCAAGUUAGGUAGUUCCCCAAGGCUAGGUGAAAUAUGCUCAUAUAACUGAUUAGAACUUACAUCAAUGUAUACAAGGCUGGUAAGGUUUAGGAGCCAUAUUGGGAACUUUGACCGGAAAGAGUUGCCACUAAUGCUUAUGAGAGACAGUGAAGUAAAAUUGAUAGAGCUUAGAGAUGAAAUUGAACCAGAGAGCCCACAAUCUUGUAGGUGCAACUCCGUUAAAAAUGGAAGCUUGUUUAAUACCUCCAUCCAAUGAGAUCCAUUGAAAGGUUGACAUAGUUCAUCUUGAGAUGCUUUAAGGAAACAAGACUAGUCAUCCAUUCAAGGUCCUUAACAAAUAAGAACUUCUGAAAUUCAUUGGAAGAAAGAUCAAGAACUUGCAAAUUAGAAAGGUUUCCCAAUGUUGGAGGAAUUGCACCACUGAAUCCACCAUUUGAUAAGUUUAGAUACCAUAAAUUCUUCAAAGAUCCAAAGAAUUUAGGGAUUAGUAUAUGCUCAAAUGAGUUACCACUCAAAUCUAAAUAUCUCAAGGAUUUGAUUUCUAUCAAAGAAGGUCGAAUCUCCCCGCUUAAGUUCAUUGAGCUCCAAUUCUCAUAUGCUUCUUUAGGAGAAUAUGGGUUAUGAAGAUUGAUUGAAAUAACAACUCUUGUGUUGUUUUUGCAACCAAUUCCCUCCCAUUGACAACAAUUGCCUCCUGUCCAUGAUGAAAGUCGGUUGUUAGAAUCUUUAAGACCAUUUUUGAAGUUAUGAAGAGCAUCUCGAUCGGCUCUUAAGCAAUCUUCCUUAAGGGUUUCACCCUUACAAGCUAGAUCUCUUAUUGUUAAACAUAGAAUGACCCAAAGGAAACCAAGAAUUGAAUUUUUCUCCAUCUGAGAACACCUAUAAAAGUAAGUAAUUAAUAUUAAGUUCCGAUAGAAGAAUCAAAAUAGUGAUGAAAUUUGAUAAAGAACUAGAACAUCAAGAUAUUGGAUACUAAAAAACACAUUUAUUUUAAUCAAUCAUAAGUUUAAUAAGAUUAAAACAUGUCAAGUGGAUGGCAUACUUGAAUAGUUAUCCAUAUUAAAUAUGGUUUGAUGAUUGUUGCUAAUCAAACACAAGAUAAGCUUGGAAGCACUAGAUAGGGGAAAACACUAUUGAACCCAUUCGAGGCUAAUCAAACAACUUGUCAUUAUUGGUAAAGUAAAACAAGACUAGUGAUCCAUUCGAGAUCAUUAACAUAUAAAUCAUAGGAUUCAAAAUUAACAAAUAAAUAAAUAAAUUGAUGGCUAGAAAGAUUGAGAAAUUUCAAAUUAGAGAGGUUUCUCAUACUAGGAGGAAUUGCUCCAUUGAACCCAUAAUUUGAUAGGUUUAGAUAUUCUAAAUUCUUCAAAGAUACAAAGAAUUCAGGAAUUGGAAUACAUUAAAAUGAGUUAUCACUCAAAUCUAAAUAUCUCAAGGAUUUGAGUUCUAUCAAUGAAAGUCUAAUCUCUCCACACAAGGUUGUAGAGGUCCCAUUCUCAUAUGCUUCCUUGGGAGAAUAUGGGUAAUGAAAAUCAACUGAAAUAAUAGCUCUUGUUUUAUUUUCAUAAUCGAUUCCUUCGCAUUGACAACAAUCAAGCCCUCUCCAUGAUGAAAGCCAACUAUUAGAACUUUUGAGAUCAUUUUUGAAGAGCAUCUCUAUAAGUUUUAAAUCAUUUCCCAAAUUGGUCUCACCUUUACAAGCAAGUUUUCUUAUUAUUAAACAUAGAAUGAUCAAAAGGAAACUGAGAAUUAAAAUUUUCUCCAUCUAGGAACACCUAUAGAAACAAGUGAACUUAAGUUCCAACACAACAAUAACAAUAGUGAAAAAAUUCAAUUAGUAAUGGAAUCAAGACAUCAAACAAUUAAUAACAUAUCUAACUUAACCACUCAUUUGUUUAGAAAGAUUAAAAAUUUCCAAGUAACCAACAUAAUUUAAUACAUGUCAAAGAAAAUAUAAUUGAAAUCAUCUCAAUAAAUAUCAAAUAUGCUUUGAUGAUUACUAUUGAUCAAAACAUUCUAACUAUAGAAAUCACUUACAAGAAAACUUGAAGCAUUAGAUAGAGAGAAACACUUUGAACAAUCUCCUUUUUUAUGGUGUAGUCAUUCCUUUGGAUGCAGAGAUAUAUAUAGAAGAUAAUUCAACUAGAAACCAUGUGGAUGGAUAGUGAUAAGCGCCUUUCCUUUCUUUUUAGCAAUAUUUUGAAAAAUGGAUUGGACCAACCAAUUGAAUAGAUUCAAUUGCCAACCAAUUCACUUUCCGGGUUGGGUGACCUUUUCCAACCAUUUUGGGCUUAAAAUAGUGGAAAACCGAUCACUAGUAUUUGAUUAUGAUCAAAUAUUUCUAUCACAACAACCACUUUUUCUUCAAUCACUUUAAUAUAUUUUUGUCGCCUCUUGGUACCUCAUUAAGCAAAAUUUGCAUUGGAUUGACUUCAACAUUAUGUUUGGGUCAUCAAGAUUCAAGCCUUUUCAAUUGUUUGUGAUCCUCAACAAAAAAAGAUAUAUAAAUUAAAAAUUCAAUUCAUAUCAACAAAUUUUAGCAAACCACUUUAGAAUAUAUAAAAUUAAAAUUUGUGUUCUUGUAAUAAUGAUUCUAAGUUUUUUUUUCUCUUCAUUUUAAUAACCAUUUGAAAGUGUCAAUUGUGUUUUCAAUGUUAUAAGACUUUGAUGAAUAUUUGUAAAUAGUAUAUAUUCAUAUAUUCUUAAUUUUUUGAAAAAAUAAAAUAAAAAUUAGAAAAAAGAUUUAUUUAUUUAUUUAUUUGGAUAUAGAAGAUAAUUCAACUAGAAGCCAUAUAGAUGAAAGUGAUGGCCUCCCCUUUCUUUCUCCUUUCUUUCUUUAUAGUAUUUCUUUUUUAAGCAUACGCAGUCAAAAUUUUGCUUUUGGUAAAGUCUUCCACCUGUAAUUGAAAUGUAAAGAAUAAUAAUUCAAAGUCCAAAAAAAUAAGGACAAAAAAGUUGCUAUCUUCACUUAAAAACUUUGUUUUUGGAGUCGUGUCCUCUUGUCCUUUUGCACAAAACAAAACGUACCCCUUACUCUAAUGCAAGGAUGUAUAUUAAAUGAUAAAAUAUGAAUUCAUUAAUCUAAUUAUGAAGUCAAGAACUUAAUUAAUUAUUUAAUUAUAUUAAUUAAUUUAAUUGAAGUGUAAAGAAUAAUAAUUCAAAGUCCAAAAACAUAAGGACAAAAAGGUUGCUAUUUUCACUUAAAAACUUUAUUUUUGGUGUUGUGUUCUCUUGUCUUCUUGCACAAAACAAAAAGUUCUCUUUACUCCAAUGCAAGGAUGUAUAUCAAAUGAUAAUAUAUGAAUUAAUUAAUCUAAUUAUGAAGUCAAGACCUUUAUUAAUUAUAUUAAUUAAUCUAGUUGAAAUGUAAAGAAUAAUAAUUCAAAGUCCAAAAACAUAAGGACAAAAAAGUUGCUAUCUUCACUUAAAAACUUUAUUUUUGGUGUUGUGUCCUCUUGUCUUCUUGCACAAAAUGAAAGAUACUCUUUACUCCAAUGUAAGGAUCUAUAUUAAAUGAACAAUCUUCUCAUUCAUUAAAGGAACCAUUUUUAAUCAUAUCGACUACUUAAAUAAGGCUAGAGCUUUAACAGUUACCUUUAUUUGAACUUUAUUAUCAAGCAUUAAUUAACAAAAUAUUCUAUUUGAACUUGUAAGUGAUAUGAGAGUUUGAAUUAAUGAUUAUUAAUGCUUCUAUAUUUCAUCUAAUUUGUUGGGUUAGCCGUAUCUAAUCCCACAAUAUUGAAUGAUCAAUCUUAUUACUACUUGAUUAUAAAUUAAAUAUUUCCAAGCUUGAUCCUUAAAUAUGGUCUAUUAAGGCAAUAAUUUGAUCAAAACUAUUAAGGACUUAGGUUAAUAAUGUAACACUUCAUUUCACUAAUAGCAUAUAUAUAUGAGAAAAAUAAACAUUGAUGAAAUUUAAAUGCCUAACCUACCCUAAGUUAAAAUUUUGAUAUCAUGCAUGGUAAGCUCUGAUAAUUUGACAUGAUAAUAUAGAUCACCAAGCAUUUGGUUUAAAAAGAAUAAAAUCUUCCAAGUUCAAAUUGUGUAUAUUUGACAUGGUGAUAUAGAUCACCAAGCACCUAUUUGAAAAAUAAUAAAAUCUUCCUAGUUCAAAUUGAGUAUAUGAAGUAAGAAGCUGAAUGGGCAACCCUUUUUUUUUUUAAAAAAAAAAAAUUCCAAGGAAAAAGAUUCAGUUGAUGUUUGUUUUUUUUAACUUAAUUUGAAUGCAAUUUACUUUCAAGACUUCAAAUAUUUGUUUUUAAUAUUUUUUUAAACUUUUAACUUAUUCAUCAAUAUUUAGAAUAGAAUAGAACAAGCUAAAAUAUGUGACUUUUUACUUAAUCUAAAAAGUUAACCGAUUCACACUUCUAACCCCUCAUACCUAACUCACAUUGUGAAAAAACAAAUAAUAUUAAAUACUUUUAAGUUGUAUUUAGAACUAAGUUAAAUUAAGUUCUAUUUAGAUUUAAAUAAAAAAAAUCAUCUUAAUUAUGUUGAUCCAAACUUUAAUUGUGCAUGAUGUCUCGUUUUCCCUAUGAGCAUGACUUUGCUACUACUUAUCCCACACAAGAAAUAAUGGGCUUUUAGUUAAUUAACUACUAAGAAUAAUAAUAUGAACGUAUAGAUGACAUUAGCCCUAUAAAUUGAGUCAUGAAAAAACCUUCCUCAAAAUAUCACAGUCUUCAUGUUGUCCUAUGAAUUAGUAAUAUUUCACAAUCUUGUAAAAAAUUAAGGAAAAAUAAGAUAAAAUAAUCAAUAAGGCAUCAACAAUAGCAAACCACCUCGAAAUAAAUAAAAUAUCUUAAAAUUUUGAAAAUCUCUAUGAUGAGGUUAUCAUUUCUGAUAAAUUGAUCAUGCUCAUCAAAGCUAGCUCAGCACUACACAAUCCAAUCCAACCCAAUUAACAAAUCAACUAUUUAAAGUAUCCAAAUAUUGUGACCAUUUUUUAAAGACAUUUUUGUCAUGUCAUGUCUAUCAUGCAAUUUAAAGUAAUCAACUCAGCUUUGAAUAAAGAAAUUAUGUUUAUGCCCAUUCAUUAAUUUAUUAAUUUAUUCAAUGUUUAUGCCAUGUCUACCAAGGUGGCCAUAGAAAAUUUUGCAUUAGCUUGACUUUAACUCUUAUGUUUGGGUCAUCUAGAUUAGGGCCUUGUAAAUUAAGAUUUCAAUUCUUGUCAACAAAUUUUAGCAAACCACUCCAUAAGCUUUUUUCUCCUUUCAUUUUAAGAAUUAUUUGAAUGUGUAAAUUGCAUUUUAAAUUUUAUAGGACUUUGAUUAAUAUUUGUAAAUACUAGAUAUCUUUGUAUUUUUAACUUCUUUAAAAAUAAAAAUUUUUUAUUAAAAAGAAUUUUGCACUAGCAAUUCAUUUCCUCACAUGGAAGUGCUAGAAAAUUUUAAAAAUUACCUAAUCCAUUUUGUGCUUUUACAAAGUAUCAAUUAGUUGUGGUUAAAUAAAUUUAGUUUCCAAUCACUAAAUUAUACAUUUAGACAUAAGAUAAUUUGGGUAUCUAACAUUUAACAACUUCAUAAUUUCUUUAUUAAGUUGUGAUGACCCAAUUUAUUUCUAUGCUAAAUUUUUAAUUUUUAAUUAUAAUUCUAUCUUUAGUGUAAAAUUUCAUUCAUGCAUGAGGGUUAAUAAUCAUUUUAGAAGACAAGAAUGACAAGAUUGUGUGAGAAAUUUCUACAUGAAAUCUUGAGAUUGAACACCAAAUUGAAAGUUUGGACAAACCUAAGAAUAAUAACUAAUGCAUCAAGAUUUUAGAUACAACUAUUUCAAUAAUUAAAUAUUGUAGCUCAAUAAACAUACUUCAUAAUGUUUGGAAUUACAAUAAAUUUAUAUUUAUAAACUAAAAAAAAAAAAAAAAAACUUAGACAAAUUUUCCUAGAAACAUAUUCAAAUAAGUGGUUAGAGUAUUAUUGUCUAUGUAUACAUAGAUUAUAGUUAGAAUGUUAAGUGAUUUCAAAUUUAGACAACAAAUGUCAAGCCACUUAACCGUCUGAUUAGUCUUAUAAAUUAAAUAUAUAUAACUUAAUAAAUAGGAGUUGGAAGCAUAUGGUCAUUCGAGUCUUUGUUUUUCCUUUUUCACUCACUAUAAGGAUGGUUUUCCUUCCUAAAAAUAAAAUGAUGUAAAAAACCAUGAUAGAGAAUAAUAAUUAACAUGGAGAAGAAAACAAAGAGAAUGAAAACCAAAAAACAUACAAAGCACAUAAUGACUUACAUGGUUUUGUGUAAGGUUUACAUAAACAAGUAAAAUUGAAAAAGUUCAAAGGGAUUAUAAUCCUAAAACUCUCAAAUUCUAAAGUCCCAAUUACCACCUCUCCUCCCAACCCCUUGCCACUCUUAAAAAAAGAAAACUCUCUUUGAGUAAAAAAUUGUUCUUAUUUUCUUGAUAACAUAGAAAUAUUCAAUAUAAAAAAAUAUCUAGUUAUUAAAGAUUUCUAGUAAAUUUUCUUUAUAAUAAUAGAAAGUCUCUUGCAAAAAUGUAUUUUGAUGGGAAAAUAUCAAAGAAUUACAAAAUUGUCUCAAAAGAGAAUUUGAGAUACUUUCUAACAAUUUCCACCUUGGCUUUAAAUCCUAAGAUUAAAACAAAUUUGAAAGUCUUUCAUGUCACUUUGCACUCAUGCUCUUAAAGGAUCUUCAGAUGUUGUCAUAAACAAUUAAGUUCAAAACACAUUAAUUGGUUUCUCCACUACAAUGAUCUUUUUACUAGUGUCUACCAUCACUAGCAUACCUUUAUCUACCUCUUUGUUUCAUCUUGGUUAAAUUGUAUUGUUACUCUUGUUAUGCAUUUUCCUUAUCAAUGUUGAACCUCUUCUUCAUUUGGCGUUACUAAAUUCUUUCCUAUAGUUCCUCAAGCUUUAGGUUUGAGCUCCAACUUUUUCUCACUUUGAUGUUGUUGCUGUUUUUUUUUUUUUUUUUGGUGUAUCAAAUAGCUUCUUCCUAGGAUUAAUCAUUAUAGCCUCAUCAAGGGUCACAGCCACACUAACAAGAAAAAUGAAAGAUUUUGAAUUUGGGCACACAACAUAUACCCUUUAGAGUACAUUUUCUCCAUACCCUAAAAAUAUGCAUUUUCUUACCUUUGGUUCCAACUUACCUUUAUUCACAUGAGCAUAAGCAGGACACCAUAAAAUUCUUAAAUCUAUACAGUUAGCAAGGAAACCAAACCAUUCCUCUUAAAGAGUCUUAUAAUUAAUAUGUAGGAUGUCCUUUCACAAUAUAACAAGUUAAAUUUAUUGCUUCAACUCAAAAUUCCUUUCAUAACCCUACAUUCAAAAGUGUGCACCUUGCUCUCUUUGAAAGAGUUCUAUUCAUCUUAUUUGCAACACCAUUAUGUUGUAGAGUAUGUCUAACUAUGUCUCACAUUAUCUUUAAUAUUGCACUACUCAUUAAAAUAUUUUCCACUAAAUUCCAUAUCAUUGUCGAUUCUCAAGCAAUUUGUUUUCCCAUAUGUUUCUCCAUUAUCUUUUAUAUUGCACUACUCGUUAAAAUCUUUUCCACUAAAUUCAAUGUUAUUGUCAAUUCUCAAGCAAUUUGUUUUUCCAUACGUUUCUCCAUCAUAAUUUUCAAUUGUUUGAACUUCUCAAAGACAUCACUCUUAUGUUUAAGAUAUAUACCCAAACCUUUCUAAAGUAAUCAUCAAUUAAGCUCAAUGUAUAUGUUCCACCAACAUGUGAUAUAACCUAAUAAGGACCCCAAAGAACUAGAUGAUGUAAUCUAAAGUACCUUUAAUAUUGUGAAUAGUUAUACUCCAUCUAAUCGAUCAUUUUUCUCAAACAUAUAAUGCUCACAAAAAUCUAGCUCUUCCAUUUUCUAACCACCAAGAAAAACUUGUUUGCUCAAAAUUGUCUAAUGAAAAAGGAAGACUAAGUUUUUGAUAUGGAGUUUAUGUUUGAAAGUUUUGGGAUUUAAGAAUAUGUUCAUUAGAGUUAAAUUCAUUGGGUGUUAGGAUUUCUUAUAUGCACUUUACUUAUGAAACUGACUUGAAGCUUUUGAGUUGUUGAUUAUCUUGUAGUGAUACAUCUCAUUUAGUGAUUAGAGUUUACAAGUUCCUCAUAUUUAAAAAAGUUCAUAGAGCUCUAUUAUUAAUGAUCUUCGUUACCAUUGUAAAUACUAUCUCUAGCUGAAAAUGAACAAGGGUUUUAUUGAUUCAAUCCUUUCAUACGCUUGAGAUGGUUCCUUGUAUGACUAUAAGUUGAAUUACUAUUUCCAUAAUCUCUUGUAAUAAAACAACAUCUUGAAUAAUAUAUCUUCAAAAUGAAAUAGACUUGGAGCAAAUCACACAACAUUUAAUCCUUGGAAUGGUUUUGCAUUCUGGUGGCUUAAAUAGGAAGAAGAAGACCUUAAUUAAGACUGGUAUGGACCCAGAUUUUUCAUGUGCAUCCCCACUCACUGGCGAGAAUUGUUUUUAUUGGUGAAAAAUUAGUUUUGAAAAAGUUGGAGUCACCACUUAUUUUAUUUUAUUUAUAAAGGGAAAAUAAAACAAAAAAGAAAACACUAAAGAAGUGACUCUAUAGUUUUGGAAAAGCAUGUCUUGAAAAACUCGAGUCUUGGUCCAGAGAUCAGAUUACCUAUUGGGAAGGUACCUCAAAGAGGUAGCACCCCUCUAAGCCCUAAGGAGGUUUCUACUAGCUAGGUUGAGAGAAGUAUGACAAUUAGUUAUACCUAGGUAGGCUAAGGUGAUUUCAAAACUCUAUCAUCACUAUCAUGCCAAAUAAGAAUUCAAAACAACAUCAUAAAGAAGUGGCAGUUUGUGUACCUGAAUUGCAACUUAAGCGCUAUCAUAAAACAUCAAAGUUAGUUUAAGCAACAAGAUAUAUAACAUACAAUAUGCUUUUUACUCUAUUCAAAGAAUUAGGCACAAAUCAAAUCAAUCUGAAACACAAUCAAGCAUGAAGGUACUUCACACACAAAGCAUAUCUAUUUAUAGAACUUUGAAAGAUAAGAAGAGGAGAGACACACCUGGAUAGCAUGCAUAAUUUAUAAGGUUCUUCCAAAAAUGCUAGAGUGGUUAGGACAACCAUAAAUUAUACAACAUCCUUAUUAUGUCUAAUAUAUAGUAUCAGAGCCAAAGUCGAGCCAAGAUAAGUUAAAUGGCUCCAAAAUAAAUAACAAAUUCAAGAUAAGUACAAGAUCAUUAACAUGUAGUUAGAAAAGGAAGCAUCACAAAACAAUUUCUUAAAAAAAUAUCUUGGAGUGGAAUUUAAUUAUAAAAAAAAAAUCAGAAAAUAACUCCUACACAUCUAGAACAACAUACAAAAAACCAAACACAUUCAAAUGACAGACUGCAUCAAAGACACAUAAAAGUUGUAGAAGGUCCAGAUUAGGUAAACAAUAGUGACAUACAUAAACCGAUUUUUUUUUUAAAUAAUAAUAAAUCACAUAAAAUUGUACAAAAAAUCAUGCACAUCGAUCAAAGUGUCUAAACCACAGAAAAAAUGAAUCCAUAGUCAGAUAGAACUCAAAAUAUUUUUAGAACACCCAAGCUAAUUAGAUGUCCAGAAUCCAUCAUGUAUAGUAGGUAUGACUUUGAAAAAUCAUAUCUCCCUCAAAAAGGCAUAGUUUUUAAUAUUUUAUGUGUCAAAAUUUAAUUUCAAGAAGUCAAAAAUCUAGGAAAAAUAUUCAUUUAAAUUAGAAAGAUUAGAAAACACUUUAAGUUUUCAAUGAUCUCUUAAGUGUGUAGAGGUACUCCUAAAUAGAGAAUGCUGAAAGAGAUGAUCAUAACUCAACUUUAAGAAAAGAUUUCUGACUCAAAUAAUAUUCUAGAAUCAAGUUCAAGAAGUAAGGAAAAUCAUAAAAGCUUUCAAAUUUUUUUAAAAUACUCUAAAGUUGCUCAAAUGAAUUUUAAAACUAAAGGGUCAGUAAUUGAAUGAAAACUGACAACAAAUAAGAGUUUUAAAAAAUUUCCUUAUGUAAGGGUUCCAUCAAGUCCCCAUUCAAUUUCUAUAAGUUUUAUCUAUAUAUCCCCAUUAAUUUGGGAGUACAAGUCCAAACCUAUGUGAAUAAAAUAAAAAUAAAAACAAAAUUUUUGAAAAACCAACAAAGGAGAAAUGCAACUUAGAUAAAAUGAAUUGCAUAAUUUUAAUAGAAAAUGUGUUCUUUACCUAAAGCUAGAAUGAAUGUUUUUCUAAAGCCUUUUAUUGGUGAUUUAAAUGCUUUUGAAAAAGAUUUUAAGGGAACCAGAAAGAGACCCAAUGAUAGACACAAAAUAACUAUUUUUGAUUUCUAACUUAAAAAGGCUUUGAAAAUAAGAGAAAAGCCAAACUUAUGAUGGAAAAAAAAAAUCAUUUUUGACAAGUGAAGAGAAAUUUUGAUUCAAUAACAAUUGGAUAGUCUUUAAAAGGAUCGCAAACCAAACAAAAAUUUUAUUCAUAUUAAUUAAUUUUCCUAAAUCAAAUAAAAAAAAGAUUCAAUCAAAAUAAAUAUUUUAUUUGAAAAGAUUAAUUUUCUAAAACAAGUAAAUAAGAUUCAAUUGAAAUUAUUAUUAAUAAACUUAAGACAUAAACCAACCAAAUUUCCAAAUAUAAAUAAACAAUAUCAAAACAAACUCAAGACAUAAACCAAUUAAAUUUCUAAAACAAAUAAAUAGUAUCAAAAGGAAUGCUAAUGAACGUGAGAUGUGAACUAACCAAAUUUCUAAAAUGAAGAAUAGGGUCCAACCAAAACAAUUAUUUUAUUCGAUCUAACUAACCAAAUUUUAUGGAACAAGUAAAUUACGAUAAAAUCAACCAAGGACUAAUAUUAGUGGUCUUAAAACAUAUUAUAGUUACGUUGGAUCAAUCAAAAUAUAACCAAAAAAAUUCUAGGACAAAUAACUAAAUAAAUGCAAUCAAGGGUUAAUAUUAAUGACUUUAAAAAUACAAUCAUAGUUACAUAGGAUCAAUCAAGACUAGUAUUUUAAUUUUUUUUUAAAAGGGGGUUAACCAUGAGAUCAAUUAAAUUAAUAACUCAUAAUUCUAAUAUAUAUAUAUAUAUAUAUAAACUAAAAAAAAUCAAUUAAAGACUAAAAUCUAUUAACUUGGACAUGGAUAUAUUCACAGGAUCAAUUAAAUUAAAAAACUAAAAUUCCGAAGACAUGUAAAUUCGAUAAAAUAAUCCAAGGACUAAAAUUUAUUAACUAAGUUAUGGAUUUAUCCACGGGCUCAAUAAAACAAUAAACUAAAAAAAUGCUAAAGCUAUCUAAACUAAAGUAGGACGGAUUUAAACUAAGUGAGAACGGAAUUAAAACAUGAACUAAAAGCUAGAUUAUGAACUAAAAUUAUCACGUGGAAUCAAUUAGUAAGAUGAACUAAAAUUCUAAAAUUAUAAACAAGAUGAGGUGAACUCAAAACUAAAAGCUAGAUUAAACAAAGAUCCGAGUUUUCUUUUUCGGUCAAAUAUAAUGAAUCGGAAACUAGAACUAAAUAAGAUUCAAACUUUUUAAAUCUAAAACAAAGAAUCAAAUUAAACCGAAACAAGGAUGUAAUUUUUCGAUCUAAAACAAUGGAUCAAAAUUAAACAAAGUUUAGAUUUUCAAAACCAAAACAGAUUCUGUACUCACCUUUCUCCGCAAUCCCUUGGACUAUGUUAUAGAUGGUGCGGCCUGUGGAUGUGUUCACUUGCAGGUACGGCUGUGAUUGGGGAUCGUUGGAGAACGUGUGCUACUGCCUUCUCCGUUGAUGACGAUGUUGUCUAGAACUCCUUCGUUAGUGGGAGUGUUUCUUGUGAUUUAUAGCCCACCUUCCAGAUUCUCACGUGAAGGAGCAGUCCGCCCUUGUGAAUGUGCGUGAUUCACUUUUGGAUGGGAUGCGGCUGCUACUGAAUUCGAAUCAUAUACAGUCAAUGAAUGGUGCGUCAAUGGGAUGGAUAUAUUGUUGAGUGGGGUGUCGGUGGAGAGAAAUUUCUGAUCAGCAUGCGCGCUCGUGCCCUUGGAGAUGCAGCCAUGAAGAUCCUCGAGUGGCCUGCGUGCAUGAAAAAAAUAUAUACUGUGCACCAAAAUUUGUUUUUUUCAACUCCGCAGCUGCUUGGUGGUCCUUCAAAAGUGCGAGUAGGCUGCUCUAUAUGGUUCCAAAACCGACUGCCCUUCCUGAAUCUGUGCUGAAAGUCCCUCUUUUCUAAAACCACUCCCGAAGUCUGCUCUCGGCUCUCUGUGUUUUCCUCGCACUUAUCCAAAACACCAGCCCCAUUUUCAUUAGCGUUUGGCAACCGUCCCAUGCGUGGAGGACUCCUCCUUUCUCCAAAUUCUAUGUUUCCUCCUCUUAAUAAAAUCAUUUUAAAAUAAUAAUAAUAAUAAUCAUAAUAAUCUGUGCAUAUCACCCAUGGAGUCCCACCUUUUUCAAAAACUUCUUCACCUCUAUUUUAACUCCCUGGUGAUCUUCAAUAAGGCCCUUCUUUUCCUUUUCAAAGUCUUACCAAAAAUUAACUCUUCCUUACCCGUAGGUAAAUUUUCCUAUAAAAACAUAAGAUUAUUAAAUCAAGUAAAUGAAUAAAAAAAAUUAGAGAAAGAUAAAAUAAUAAUAAUCAAUAAAUGAAUAAAUAGCAAAAUAAAAAUAAAUAUAAUAAAUGAUUAAAUAAAAGUGAUUGAUAAUAAUAAUAAUAAAAAUAAAAACAAAUAAAUAAGUAAAUAAGAAAAAUGAGCCAUGCAAGGCAUGCAACCAUGCAAGUUAUACAAGUCACGCUAAGAAUGUCUAAUGGGCCAAGUGACCUAGGUGGGCCUAAGAUGGGGCCUAAUGGGCCAAGUGUACCUAAAUGAGCCUAAGGCGAGUCUAAGUGGGCUUAACUAAGUCUAACCUAAAGUGCACCUGAGUGAAGCUUAAUCUAAACUCGAAUGGCAGCCAAGAUCACAAUGAGGAGUCAAAUAAACCUCUCAACCAAAGUCUCCGAGGUGGCUAAGAGAAGACAAGCUAAAUGAGUAGUAAUGGCCCAUUGGGGAAUUGCUAUAAAGUACCAAACGAACACUAAUAGGAAAUGUGCUAGGAAGGCAAAAUGGAAGGUCUACAACUCGACUAAUUAAUUAGCAACCUAGGCUAAUUGAAUGAUAUUUUUGAAGUACUGUUCUAAUUGAUUAAUUGGAGUCAUGUUAUGUUAAUUAAUCAAUUAGCAAUCUUUUUAGAUUGGAUUAAGAGACCCAAACUCAUGGUGGACAAUGGACCACAUUUUUCUCACAUGUUCCCACUUGAUGGUAAGACUCACUUUUUUAUUUGUGAAAAUUUAAUUUUUAGAAAAAGACUUGGAAUCGCCGCUUAUUUUUCUUUUAUUUUCUUAAAGGGAAAACAAAAUAAGAAAAAAAAACCCUAAGUGUAAAUCUUGAAAGGAAAGACGGGUAUGUGAAAAUUGAGUUGAGUCUGGGGGUCAGGUUACUUAUCGGGAAGAUACGGUAAUAAACUAUAACACUCCUCUAAGCCUUAAAGUUAGGUCUCUACUAAUUAAGGUAAGAUAAUUAUGGCGAUUGAUUAAUUAAUCUGAUGGAUACCGAGGAUGAUCAUGAUAAUAAUAAGGAAUAACUAAGCAAGAUAGAUUCGAAGUGUGCCUUAGUAGUGAGCAAUAAUAUGCUUAAAGAGAAAAUAGGGUUAGUGCACAACAAUAAUAAGCAUAAAAUAUCUCAUGUAUAUUCCAAAGCAAGGCUAAAUCAGUCAUUUAUUUAAUAAACACAGUAAUUAGAAUGAAUUAAUAAAGGAGUACGUCAUGUAUAUUGGGUUCCACUAUUUCCCAUUCUAUUUCUACAUGGACUAAUUAUAUAAAUUUCACUAAUCUAGGAAUUAUAAAAUUUAUUUAUGUUUAUUAAAAACAAGAAUAUCAGAAAAUUAUUAAAAACAAAUUCAGUGAAAAGUGCUUGUCGAAGGAAAAUGGUAGCAAAUAGGACCAGGGUGUAAGCAAAAUAAAUAAAUAAAAAAAAUCAAUCCAAACCAACCACAAUAGAUCAUAUCGGUUCGGUUUUCAAAAAUAAAAAAGGUGAGGUCGAUUUGCAAAUUUUGAAAACCGAUCUUAUCGGUUUGAUUUUUUAUUUUCUUGUUUCCUGAUUGAUAAAAACUGAACCAAAUAAAUAUUCUAAAACUUAUAUAUAAUUGCUUCCUGAUUUUUGAAUUUCGAGGAUCGAUCCGACGUCAUUUUGGCGCCGCUGAUGAUGCCGUUAUUGGCGAUCUUGGGGUCAUUUAAGGCCGCAGUAAAUAAUAAAAAAAAAGGUAUUAAUAUGGUUUGGAUUGGGCUACCAUUUUGGAUGGAUUGGGUUGCACCAACUUGGGUCAAGGAAUACUUUUGAGCCCUGUUUCAUCCAUCCCAUGGUAUCAUAUCUAAAAUAGAUAGAUAUAUCAUUGUUUUACCAUCUGUUUAAUUAUCAAAUCUAAAACCUUUCAUUAAAAAAAAAAAAAAAAAGCCACUGUGGGGCUCAAACCCAUGAGCCCAAGGUUGAGAACAUUGCGCUCAACCAACUGAGCUAUGAGACCCUUCUAUUUGUUUAUGAUUCUGUACUUUAAAAAUUGUGAUUCAGAUAAAUUUUUGUAUUAUCUUUUCUGUACCACAUUAAAUAUAGGAAUUUAUCAUUUCUUAUUACAUUAAUGUUUAAUAGUUUUAAAAUAAUUGAAUUAUAUAUAUUUGUUACCAAAAGUAACUUAUAUUAUAUAAUUUUAUUUAUUUUGAAAGAUGUAAACAUGUUAUUAUUGUAUCAAAUAAUCGGCUCAAAGGAAGAUUAUUUUAAUAUAAUAAUAAAUAAAGUAGUCAUAAAUAUGUGACAUAUAAAGUUUAUCUUGCAUGAUGUAUGUCAGUCCAAAGAUAGGCAUAUUGCUUCGGUUUUAUUAUCAAUAUUUAUGAAUUAAUUUUGCAAAGGAUACCAAUUACAAGUUAAUAUUUAUUGUCCAAAGACUGAAUAUUAAUGUUUGUGUUAGGUAUCUUGUAAUAGGCCCACAUGCAUAUACAUAUAUAUGUUAAAAUUUUAUUUAUUCAUGUAUGUAUGAUAUUUUUGUGACUGAUUCUAGGCUUUAUUGUUAUGAAUUCAGCAUCUUCUACAUCUGCAAAUGUUAAUAACAUUAUUGUGCUUAAUGGCACAAACUUCAAGAAAUGGAAGGAGCACAUUAUAAUUGUGCCCGGGUGCAUAGAUUUGGACUAUACAUUAAUAGAUGAUCACCCUCCAGACCUUACUAGUGCCAGCACUAUUGAGCAAAGGGUUGUUAUGGAAAAAUAGGAGCGAUCCAAUUGCAUGAGUCUAAUGAUAAUGAAGCACUCAAUUCUAGAAGCUAUAAGGGGUGCAAUACCUGAGGAAACCCAAUCCAAGACAUUCUUGGACCAAAUAGCAAACCGAUUCGCUGCAAAUGAAAAGGUUGAGACAAACACUAUUCUUAGUAAGCUUGUCUCCAUGCGGUACUAAGGGAAAGAGAAUAUAAGGGAGUACAUAAUGGAAAUGUCCAAUCUUGUGACUAGACUCAAGGCACUAAAGUUAGAGUUGUUAAAAGACAUAGUCGUGCACUUAGUCUUGAUCUCUCUGCCUACACAAUUUAGUGCAUUCAAGAUCAGUUACAACACACAAAAGGAAAAAUGGACUCUAAAUGAGAUUAUUGCUCAGUUUGUACAAGAGGAGGAGAGAUUGAAAUAAGAGAAGAUAGAAAGCGCUCAGUUGGCUUCUACAUCUUAGGGAUUUGAUACCAGCAAGAAAACAAAAAGGGACAAUAAAGGAAAACAAACUGAAUUUUCUGGGACAUCAAAGCAAAAGGUGCAGAAGAAACAAGAUAAGGAGAUCACUUGUUUCUUUUGCAAGAAGGUUGGUCAUAUGAAGAAGACAUGUACUAAAUACGCUGCUUGGCGUGAAAAGAAAGGUACACUUCUCAACUUUGUUUGUUUAGAAAUUAAUUUAGUUAUAGUGCCUACUAACACUUGGUGGAUAGAUACGGGUGCAACUACUCACAUAAGUGUCAAGAUGCAGGGGUUGCCUAAGGAGUCGAAUGCCAACUGAUAGUGAAAGAUACAUCUAUGUGGGAAAUGGCAACAAGGCUGCAGUCAAGGCUAUUGGUCUUUUUAGAUUACAAUUAGACUCUGGAUGUACUUUGGAUUUGGAAGAGACUUUUGUAGUACCAUUGUUUAGACGGAAUUUAAUUUCUGUUUCAUGUCUAGACAAAUGUGGAUAUUAUUGUUCAUUUAGAAAUACAAUGGUUAGUCUUUAUCUAAAUUCAAAUGUUAUAGGUACAAGUAGUCUAACAGACAAAUUAUAAAAAUUGAACAUAAAGGCCUCUAGUGGAAAUGAAACCUUGCAUUCAAGUAAUUAUGGCAUUAAGUGAAAAUUAACAAAUGAGAAUUCAUCAAUGUUAGGGCACAUACGUUUUGAUCAUAUUUCAAAUCAACGUAUUCAAAGGCUUGUGUCAGAAGGAAUUCACGAUCCACUUGAUUUCUCAUACUUUCAAGUCUAUAUAGAGUGUAUUAAGGGUAAACAAACAAAUAUGAAGAAAAAUGAUGUCAAUAGGUGCAGUGACAUCUUGGAAUUGAUACAUACAGACAUUUGUGGUCCAUUUCCUACCCCUUCUUGGAAUGAACAACAAUAUUUUAUCACUUUCAUUGACGAUUACUCAUGCUAUGGCUAUCUUUAUUUGAUUCAUGAGAAGUCUCAGUCAUUGGAUGUGUUCAAGAAUUUUAAAGCUGAAGUUGAGAAUCAACUAUGCAAGAAAAUAAAGGCCAUUAGAUCUAAUCGUGGAUGUGAAUAGUAUGGUAGAUAUGACGUAUCCGGUGAACAACGUCCAAGACCAUUUGCCAAAUAUUUGAUAGAGUGUGGUAUAGUUCCUCAGUACACCAUGUUGGGGACUCUAAGCCAAAAUGGUGUAGCAGAAAGGCGAAACCAUACUCUUAAGGAUAUGGUAAGAAGUAUGAUCAGUCAUUCCACCUUACCAGAAUCACUUUGGGGCGAAGCUAUCAAAACUGUAGUUUACAUUUUGAACAGAGUCCUAAGCAAAGCAGUAGCCAAAACCCCAUAUAAGUUAUGGACUAGCAAGAAACCUAGUAUUAGGCAUUUGCAUGUCUAGGGUUGUCCAACUGAGGCUAAACCUUACAAGCCAAAUGAAAAGAAAUUGGACUCCAUAACAAAGAGCUGCUACUUUGUAGGGUAUUCUGAAAGGUCGAGAGAUUUCAAGUUUUAUGACCCUUAAACUAGAUCUUUCUUUGAAAUGGGCAAUGCUAAGUUCAUUGAGGAUGUUGAGUUAAGUAGGAGAUAGUCAUUAAGAAAGGUGGUCUUUUAAGAGGAAUCUGUUAGUAUUCCUAUUAUUACAACUAGACAUGGUCAUAUUAUGUUUGAUGACACUAUCCAUAAUGUAUAACCAAUAACAAAGAUUGUAGACAUACCUGAGAUUCCUCCUACUCAAGUUAUAGAACUAGUUCAAGUUCAUGAAGAGGUAACUCAACAACCUCAAGAACCUCAAGUACAAGUGCCACUGAGGAGAUCCAUUAGAGAAAGGAGAAGUACAAUUUCAGAUGAUUAUGUUGUAUAUCUCUAGGAACAUGAGUUUGACAUUGGUCUAGAAGACGAUCCAAUUUCAGUUAGUCAAGUCAAACAAAGUUCUGACUUUGAAAAGUGGAUAGAAGCCAUGAAAGAUGAGAUGAAAUCAAUGAAAGACAAUGGUGUUUAGGACCUAGUAGAGUUGCCUGAAAGUGUAAAAUCGAUUGGUUGUAAAUGGAUUUUUAAGACUAAGCAAGAUUCAAAAGGCAACAUUGUUAGGUAUAAGGCACACCUUGUCAUAAAAGGUUUCACUCAAAAAGAAAACAUUGAUUAUAAGGAGACCUUUUCACCGGUUUCGUUAAAGGACUUCUUUAGAAUCAUCAUGGCACUUGUGGCUCAUUAUGAUUUAGAGCUGCAUCAAAUGGACAUUAAAACUGCGUUUCUUAAUGGUAACAUUGAUGAGACAAUAUACAUGGAGCAACCGGAGAACUUUGAAUCUAAUGAUUCAAAGCAACUUGUAUGCAAAUUAAAAAAGUCCAUAUUUUAAAGUAGACAUCCCGAAAAUGGUACCGAAAGUUUGAUCAGGUGAUUACUUCAUUUGGUUUUAAGGAGAACAUCAUUGAUCAAUGCAUAUAUCUCAAGUUCAGUGGGAGCAAAUUCAUUAUCUUGGUGCUAUAUGUAGAUGAUAUUCUACUUGCUAGUAGUGAUGUAGAACUUUUGCAUGAAACCAGGCUAUUUCUAUCUAGUAAAUUUGACAUGAAGGAUCUUGGUAAUGCUUCUUUUGUGUUGGAUAUACAAAUCUAUAAGGAUCGUUCAAGAGGUAUACUUGGGCUAUCACAAAAUUCCUACAUCGAUAAGGUGUUAAGUAUGUUUGGCAUGAGCAAUUGUGCACUAGGAGACACGCCUGUGGCAAAAGGCGAUAAAUUUAGUUUGCACCAAUGUCCGAAAAAUGAACUUGAGAAGAAGGAUAUGGAUAGGUUUCCCUAUGCCUCGGCAAUAGGAAGUCUCAUGUAUGCACAAGUUUGUACGCAUCCAGAUAUUGCGUACAUUAUUGGAAUGUUGGGCAGAUAUUUGAGUAACCCAGGUAUGGAUCACAGGAAAAAGGUAAAAUGGGUUAUACGGUAUUUACAAAGAACUAAAGAUUAUAUGCUCACAUAUCGAAGAUCCAGUCAUUUAGAGAUCGUGGGAUAUUUGGACUCCGAUUUUGUGGGAUGUCUUGACAGUAGGAGAUCCACUUCCGACUACGUCUUUAUGUUGGCUGGGGGAGCAGUUUCAUGGAAAAGUGUUAAACAAACACUUAUUGCUUCUUCCACCACGGAGGCAAAAUUCAUAGCCUACUAUGAGGCAUCAAACCAUGGGAUAUGGCUGCGGAAUUUUAUCACUCAGUUGCGAAUUGUUGAUGGAAUUGAGAAACCAUUGAGAAUCAAUUGUGAUAAUAAGGCCGCAGAAUUAUAUUCUAAGAACAACUGAAGUUCGUCAAAGUCCAAACACAUUGAUAUCAAGUUCUUGGUUGUAAAAGAAAGAUUUCAAAGUCUUCAAGUAUCAAUCGAACACAUAAACACAAACUCCAUGAUUGCGGAUUCACUCACUAAGGGUUUGCCACCCAAAGUAUAUCAUGAGCAUGUCACACAUAUGGGUGUUGUACAUAUUGAUGAUGUGCUAGUAUAGUGGGAGUUUGUAUUUAGAUUUUGUGUUUGUUUUCUUGAUGUGUUAUUAUGUUUGUGUUAUAUGUACAGACCUUGGUUUUAAAGACUAUUGUGUUUGAAUACUCUGAAUUGAAAUGAUGACUUUCAGAAGCAGUUUAGCAUCAAGUGUUGAAAGUGGAAUUUGACUAUUUUUAGUCAUAAAGUAGGACCAAUUAGAAAUAGACAUAUUAAAGAUCAUAUUCUAUGUAAUUUCCAUGCUACACAUCCAUACUCGAUCCAUGUUGCUAAUUUUGUUAAUGUUGUGAUCAUUGAUGGGUUUAGUUAUAAUUAUGAUUAACGAAAACCGCUUUAAUCCUAUGUUAGCAUAAUUAGUAAACCCGAUUGUUUAAGGAUAUUUAAAUAGAAUAGCAAAGAUGAGCUCAAUAAAGUACUAUCAUGAACAUUGUUCUGUAAUAUAUGUGGUCUAAGUAGGAGAUUGUUAAAAUAACUAUGGACUCACAUAUGGAGCAUAGUUCUUGAUUAAGCUAUCCGUAUCUAUUUAAAUUUGUGUUCAUUGAGUAUGGGCCACCUUAUAUGUAGAGCCCAGUGCCAUAACAGGUCUUAGAUGAUGGGCCUAAGACACGUGAGGCCCAACAGUCUAAAGGGUAUGGUCCCUAAGGCAUAGAGGGUAUAUAAGGCAGGUGUCUCUUCAAUUUUUGAAUAUCUUUUGAAUAGAACAAAAUGCGCUCUCUCCCGCUUCCCAACGUUAGAGAGAUUACAAAAAUGGUGGUUUCCCCUCUAUAGCCUUAGAAGAUUCAUACCUUGUUCAAAACCAAAAGGCAAAAUGGACUCAAGUUCGUUCGUUUUCUAUAAAGAUGUCUGGCAUAAGUUCUUCAUAUGAUUUAACAUGCGAUCUCAGUCUGUUAUUGGAUUUUUGAAUGGACUUCUUUCAAAAGAAAAAUCUAGUUGGCUAUGUAGAUCAACAUAAAUGAACUUUAAUGCGAUACAGUUCCAUAUUCUGAAACCUGACCCAAUGAUGAAAUCAGAAAACCAAAGAGUAAUGGGUAGAGGAUAAAACCAAGCCAUGGUUAGCAUCUUGCAUUGGAGACACGAGAAUUACACGAGCUGCGGAAGCGUCAUGAUUGUUGACGUAUUUAAAUUCUAGACUCUUCAAAGGAUCACAAGCAGACAUGGUUUCCUCCAAAGGAGCCGAACCAUCUAAUCAAUUGGAAAAAUACCCAUAGUUCUAAGGACGGAAAGAACGUUAAUCGUGCUGUUGGAACAUGACCUUGAUUGUCAUUGUUAGAAUGAAGAGACAUUUGCUAGAGUUAGUUUGGUGAAGUAGGUGUUAGGCAUUGAAGCUAAGUUACAGACAAAGGAGGCAAUAACAAAUGAUUUUGAGAUGUAAUUAGGCCCACCAUGGGUCUUCGCCUGUUCUAAAAUCUGUCUCAACCCAAGGAACAGACACUACCUUUCCAUCAUCAAUACAUGCAUGCGUCAGUGCCAAUGACAGAGAAACAAGUCCUCUAAUAACUUGACCCUGGCUAUUGUACUGAGAUCCAUGGCAUGGACAGAUGAACUUGUUCUCAAUUGCAUUCCAUGAUGCAACACACCCAAGAUGGGUGUAGACCGCAUUAAUUCCAUAGGUGGCAAGGGUGUGGUCAUUCCCCACAAUAAGGUAGGUGGGGUCUCCCUUCAAUGUGAUAAUGAAACAACACUGAAUUUUUUAAGGUAAGGUUUGUGGAUAGGUGAAAACACGUGCAUGGGGAGUUGCACCGAAGACUGACCCUACAUGAGGAAGUGACAUGCGUGUGGGGUAAGAAUGGAUUUAUUCUUUUAUCAGAAAUGCUGGGUCUUGCAAAUAUUUAUUGGUUGUCUCGAGGGAUAAAUCAAGUGAAUCAAUGGCGGGCCAACCUAUAAAAGAAAACUGUAGCUUCCAGUUUACCGCAUGCAGACAUCUUUCCUUGAAUUUGGUGCAAUCUAUGUUCUUUCAGCCAUCAUCACAAGCAAGUAAUCUCAUUUCUCAUAGGCAGUGUAAGACUUCUUUUGAUUCACAAAUUUUCUGGGAGAUUUCCUAUUUGGAAAACAUCAAUGCAACAGCCUGAAUUAUCUUUCCCAUGCCCAGGUGACAGUCAAGUGAAGAGGACUCAGUGAUGCUUCUGAAAAGCUUCUAAGAAGAGACCAUACAGGAGUGGGCCCCAAGGAUGAUGUGAUCCAGAGAAUUGGUUACCAAUAGUUUCAUUCAGUAUUAACGCCUUUGACUGUAGUUGGGCCAUCAACAAGGCUUUUUUCUAUCCUCAUCUCUCAUAGCUCAUGGACUUUAUAAAGGGGAUAUAGUAAGCAGUGGAGCAUCAUAGAUUUCUAGAGAGGGUUCUAUUUGACGGAAGCCUUUCUGUGAAUGCUCUCCCUUCCAUUGUCGGUGGCCUAAAUAAAGGAGCCCCCUUCUAUUGACCAUAAUAUCAAGUUGGAUUUUGAUAACCAACUUCCUAAUGUAUCUCCACACGUCAGCUACAAAUGGAUGACUUUUUGGACCAAAAUUCAAACAUUCUCAUGUGAAAAAAACACUAAGAGCAAGGCCCACUCAAGCACAUAUAAGGCAUCAGCUUUAUCUACUGGAGAGAUUGACAUGAAGCUAAAUCCAAAAUAAAUGAAGACCAACCGAUUGGCACCACUCUGUAUCAACAUGCUUGAUGUGGGGAAACCAUCAAGAAUAAGACCACAAUCACGCAAGCUUUCUGAUUGCACCACCAAACUGCUUUGCAAUAUCAUACAUCCAUUCUUCAGCAAAAUCAUGCAACCUAAAAUCAAGAAAUAUAUCUUUGACCACUAGAUCCUCCAUAGACUCAAACGUUAGUGCCUACAGCUCAGGGUCCACAGUGUUCAGUAUUGGAGUUGCUACUCCUAGAAGACCCCAAACACACCAGAAAUAGGGAGUACAAAAAAGAGCAAGAAUAGAAUAAAAAAGAGCAUAAAUAAAUGAAUCAAAGACCACUAAACUUAGCAUUCAUGGGUGCCGAUAUGCUACACACAGAUGAGAUCACCAGAAUAUGAUCCAUGGAAGUAAGGAUAGUAACAAGAUGCCCAAGUGACAUAGUAAAGAUGAAACAAAGUUAUGAUGCUCUCAAACCAAUCUCAAAAGAAAAUGAAUAAACCAACAAAUAAUAAGCUCACAAGUAUCCGAGAAUCAACAUAAUACAAAUCCAUAUCUUUUAACAUCCAUACCCAACCAAAUAAUACACAGAUAUAGCAAGAGAAGAGGGAAAAAAUAUGACAAUAAAGAAAAACAAGGGGUCUAUGACAGCCAUACCUGAAAGUGUUCCUCUCCAAAACGAGCUGCUAAUGGAGAUGACAUCCUCCUCCGGAUCUGAAAAUAUCCAGAAGUCCAAGAUCUCUGAUUGUGGAUGUCAGUAUGUCACGACCCAAAUUCCUGGCCACCUAGAAUUUGGCCUAUGACCCCAGGUCAAAAGUUUGACCCUAAGGGUUCUUCCUAAUCCAAGUUGGCGGUCAACCAAAAUGCCCUAAUUUUUUGUUUUUUGUUUUUUAAACAUAAAUCACACUAAAACUCCCUCAAACUAACAUUCCAAUUCAUCAAUAUGCAAACAACUCAAGAUCAAUAACAAUAAGAUUUCCAACCCAAGUUUAAAAUGGAGGUCCAUAAUAUGAGUAAGUUUAAUCCAAAAUAAGUCCAUAUAAGAUUACAUAAUUUAACAAUCUGUUAGAACAUGUUUUCAAAUGACUAAACACAACAAAAUAUGACAAGUCCUCUAAGCUACUCCAAAAUCCCCUAGGGUAUCCUGAAGCUCUCCUUGUCCCAUUUGUGGAUCCUUAGGAGUCACAUCUACAUCUAAAAAAAAUAUAAGAAAGAGGGGGUAAACAUUCCACAUUGCUCAGUAAGGUGCCUUACACCCAGGGAGGAGGAGGUUAAUUGGGAUUACUGAGUUUAAAGUGUACACAAAAUAUACAUUCCACCACAAAUUAAUCAACCCAAACAUUUUAAUUUCUAUAAUUAUAACAAUUCAAUCAUUUUCAACAAUUAAAUAUAAUGCAUGUGGAUAUGUGACACAUAGUCGUACAAUACACUGUCACUCUUGGGCUUUUACCGAAUCAUAUGCGUCCAUACCCAAAUACACUCCUCAUUCGAAGUCUUCUCGAGGUAGAUUUUUAGGUCUCUCACCCUAGGGAUCUUACUCCCUUCUUAAUUCGCCUCUCAUGGACCUUUACUUUUCAUCAUCAUUUUAUUAUUCUUUCAUUUAACUUUUCAACAAUUUUUAUUUUCUUUCACACAACCAUAAUGCAUAUGAAAUGCAAUGAAAUUACACAUCAUCAUUCACAAAUAUCAAAGAAAAUUCUCAUUAAUCCAAAUAUUAGUAAAACACAAUUUAUAUCAUAAUUUUUAUUUUAUUUAUUCUCAACAAUCUCAUUAAUUUUAAUAACCAAACACUAUCAUUUUCCACAAUUGAAUUACCAACAACAUCCCAAUAAAUUCUCAAUAAUCUCGAUAUCAAUCAAACAUAAUUUCUACCAUAAUUUUAACAACCAAACACAAUCUUUUUCCACAAUUAAAUUAUCUCAUUAUCCCAAAAAUUCCAAAGAAAAUUCCUAAAUCACCCGAUAAAAUUUCUCAUAUCACUAAUAUUACAUAUUAAACUUUCAACAAUGAGAUUUAUAAAUUUUUUUAAAGAAAAAUGCAUUAAAUAAAUGUUUUAAUGUUAAGACUCCCUACCACAAAUCUAAUAAUCCAACUGAAAACGAAAUCUGACAUUGUACAAAUGUUCUUUGUGUUCAAUAGAGUGUUCCCUUGAAAUUUCACACGAAAUGGAUGGCGUUUGGCUGUCAAAAUGGUCGGCCAAGGUGGACGUCACUUUCUUCUUUUCACAGUUGCCAUGCAGCUCCCCCUUUUUGUAAGUUUUUUUUAAUUAACUAGUUUCAAUUAUUUUAUUUUAUUAUAUUCUAUUAUUAUUAUUAUUGAUUACUACUCAAAAAGUGUUAUUUGAUAGCCUUUAAUUAAUCCUUUUUAACACUUUUGAGUAGUAGUUUAGGCCUUUUAACUCAAUUGGCAUGUUAAGGAUCCUUUAAAGCAAUUUUGAUCACUUUGUGCAAGUUUUGGUGUUUUUGUUAGUAUUUUGAUCACCAAAGCAAGUCAAGAAUGAGGAGAGCUAUGAGGAAUCAUGGGCAAAGCUUAGAAUUCAAUUGCCAAGAGUGAAUCCGGAUUGCAAGGAGAAAAAGCAAAGAGAAUCUGUCAUGGAGCAUAUUCUUGAUGACAGUCGUAGCAGCCACUUUUGGAGUACUUUCUGAAGUCCAAAUGAUGCAAGCUAUAUACCAUUUCAAAGCUCAGGAAUUCAACAAUCCAAUGCUUCAAACGGUGCACGAUUCGGAGUUGAAACGAAGAAGUUGCAGCCAUUACAAGUCAAUCACUCUAAAGUGUUGCGGAAUCAGCAUUUUGUUGCGAGAAUUUCGCAGCACUUUUGUACAGUAAGGUGUUUCUCCUUCUGACGAUGCACGAACCAUGCCGCGAGAAGGGAGCUGGAAACUUCAAGGUGGAAGCCAACUUCGCAGCCCUCUUGGGUGUCUGCGAAAUUUCGCAGGCACCACUUUUCUCCUGCGAAAUGGCUCCUGAAGCCUCCCGAAGCUUGCUACCGACAUUGGGAGAUAUUUUCCAUUAGAUUUUUGUUGUCUAAAUCCCAAAAUAAUCCUUGUAAACCACCAAUUACAUGAUUCCUUAGUUUUUAAGUUAGUAAAAAGACCAAAUAUCUAUGUAAUAAUUAGUUUUAUAUUGCUUUGAUAUAAAUACCUCUCGGGAGCAUGUUCUCGAAGAGGAGUUCUUUCUGUAACCAUUUGGUAAGCAAGUAAAGUCUUUUCUUUCUACUGCCUUACCUUCUCACUUUGUAUUUUCAUUUUAUUUCUAAGUUAUGAAUUCUCUGAGGAGUUUUCCCCAGAGAAUGAGUAACUAAACCUCCAAUUCCUUGGAGCUAAGGUUGCCGGGGAAGGUUCCAAGUGCAAGAAUGCAAAGCUCUGUGGUUUUAGCUAGUAAUGAAGAGGAAGUGAAAUCCUUUAGUGAUUUCAAUGUUUUUAGUUAACUUAAAACACCUUGGAGUCACCUGGGCCAAUACUUGGUAAGGCAAGUGAUUUCCAACCGUGGAGAUGCACUAGUUUACCCCUUGCGAGCCUCUGGUAGGUGACUUCAAGGUAGGAUUUUCUGGAAUUACCAACACUUGGUAAGCUUUUGGACUCUUAGGAGGCAUCCAUUAGUUAUCUCUUGCGAGUUUGUGAAGGGGAAUCCAAGGUUAAAGAUCACCUUGAAUGGUAAGUGCUCGUGAGAGGCAUGAACCAUUGCAAGUUGCAUCAGUGAGAGAAUUAAAGUGAAAUCUAAUUGAAGGAGUCUCUGUACAUCACCGGUUAGAGAAUUGACUCUAAGUUGAAUCUCUAAUGCGAGGAAAUGAACCAUCUGACCGGAGCUAUGUAUUUUGCAUGAGGAACCACCCCAGUGAACCUAAAUCUCCAAGGAAUGCUUUUCUUCCUAAAUUAUUCCAAACUUCUGUUAAGUUAGUUAGUUUAAGUCUAAACCUUUACCAAUCAAACUUUGUGUUUUACUUCUUAAGCUAACCGUGAAAUGAAACAAGACCAAUUCACUUGGAAUUGGUAUCCUUGAUUGCUUGUUCAUCAUUCCCAGUGAACGAUCCUAGAGCCACUAUACUAUAGUAGCUUUGUAUUUGCUACCCUAGUGUAUGGUGUUAUAGGUAUAAAUUUUGUUGAUCACUUCCUCAAUCAAGGAGCACCAGCUGAACACAAAUCAGCUGAGACACCAAUUGGGCAUGAGUCAAAUGGCGCCGUUGCCGGGGAAUGAGUGUCAAGUUCAUUAUGAAACCAUUUUUUGAGCACUUGUGAUUUUCAUCACAAGUUGGUAAAGUUUCUUUCACUUCACUAAUUUUCAUUCUCUCUUUGUUUAUUUACAAUCUAAGUUUAUCUUUUUAAAUUUUAGUCUAGUUUAAUUUUUCUGUUGUAGUCCUCUGUUCUUGUUGCCCUCUGUUUGCAUUUUAGUUGCAGCUGAAUACUAGUUGUGUAUGCCCAAGUGGAUACGAGACAUUGGAGGUAGGCUUGUUAAGUGUGAUACACCUCAGAGAUGAGAAUUUGAAGUAAUCUUGAAUAUCAUGGAGGCUGCAUCUGAAGAUCAGCAUAGUCACCAAGGUCGUCAAGACAAUCUCAAUGAAUUCAGAUCAAUGAGGGACCGUAUGCAUCCACCUCGUAUGAGUGCACCAUCAUGUAUAGUGCCCCCUACAGAGCAACUAGUGAUCAGACCAUAUCUUGUUCCACUUCUACCAACUUUCCAUGGGAUGGAAAGUGAGAAUCCAUAUGCACACAUCAAGGAAUUUGAAGAUGUUUGUAAUACAUUCCAAGAGGGAGGAGCUUCAAUUGACUUGAUGAGGCUUAAGUUAUUUCCUUUUACUUUAAAGGAUAAGGCCAAAAUUUGGCUUAAUUCUUUAAGGCCAAGGAGUAUCCGCUCUUGGACUGAUUUACAAGCUGAGUUCCUUAAGAAAUUUUUUCCUACUCAUAGAACAAAUGGCUUGAAAAGGCAAAUUUCAAACUUCUCAGCUAAAGAGAAUGAGAAAUUCUAUGAGUGUUGGGAAAGAUACAUGGAAGCUAUAAAUGCUUGUCCUCACCAUGGCUUUGAUACUUGGCUAUUGGUGAGCUAUUUUUAUGAUGGUAUGUCCUCCUCAAUGAAGCAACUCCUCGAGACAAUGUGUGGAGGAGAUUUCAUGAGCAAAAAUCCAGAGGAAGCUAUGGAUUUCUUGAGCUAUGUAGCUGAUGUUUCAAGGGAUGGGAUGAACCAACUAAAGGAGAAGUGGGAAAGAUGAAGUCUCAGUUGAAUGCUUACAAUGCAAAAGCUGGGAUGUAUAAUUUGAGGGAAGAUGAUGACAUGAAAGCAAAGUUGGCAGCUAUGACNNNNNNNNNNNNNNNNNNNNNNNNNNNNNNNNNNNNNNNNNNNNNNNNNNNNNNNNNNNNNNNNNNNNNNNNNNNNNNNNNNNNNNNNNNNNNNNNNNNNGGCUGAAAAGGCAAAUUUCAAACUCUCAGCUAAAGAGGAAUGGAGAAAUUCUAUGAGUGUUGGGAAAGAUACAUGGAAGCUAUAAAUGCUUGUCCUCACCAUGGCUUUGAUACUUGGCUAUUGGUGAGCUAUUUUUAUGAUGGUAUGUCCUCCUCAAUGAAGCAACUCCUCGAGACAAUGUGUGGAGGAGAUUUCAUGAGCAAAAAUCCAGAGGAAGCUAUGGAUUUCUUGAGCUAUGUAGCUGAUGUUUCAAGGGGAUGGGAUGAACCAACCAAAGGAGAAGUGGGAAAAAUGAAGUCUCAGUUGAAUGCUUACAAUGCAAAGGCUGGGAUGUACAAUUUGAAAGAAGAUGAUGACAUGAAAGCAAAGUUGGCAGCUAUGACAAGAAGAUUGGAGGAGCUGGAGUUGAAAAGAAUACAUGAAGUGCAAGUUGUUGCUGAAGCACCAGUGCAAGUGAAGUUGUGUCCCAAUUGUCAAUCGUUUGAACAUUUGGUGGAGGAGUGCCCUGCAAUUUCAGCUGAAAGGGAAAUGUAUAGAGAUCAAGCAAAUGUUGUUGGACAAUUUAGGCCCAAUAACAAUUCACCAUAUGGAAAUACCUACAAUUCAAGUUGGAGGAAUCAUCCAAAUUUCUCAUGGAAAGCCAGAGCAACUCAAUACCAACAGCCGGAUCCACCAUCUCAGAAAUCUUCAAGUAUUGAACAAGCAAUAGCUAAUCUCAGCAAGGUAAUGGGAGAUUUUAUUGAAAAGCAAGAAGCCACCAAUGCUCGAGUUGAUCAAAGAAUGGAUGGAAUGCAAAAUGAUAUGAACCAAAAAUUUGAUAACAUCCAAUAUUCAAUUUCAAGGCUUACAAAAUUGAAUACACUGCAAGAAAAAGGAAGAUUUCCUUCUCAACCUCACCAAAAUCCCAAAGGUAUCCAUGAAGUGGAAAGCCAUGAGGGAGAAUCAUCACAGGUGAAAGAUGUGAAAGCUUUGAUCACUCUAAGGAGUGGUAAGAAAAUUGAGCAGCCAACACCCAAGCCACAUGUUGAGAAAGAAGAAGAGAUGAAGAAAGGGAAGGAAAUGGAAGAUAAAGGCAGUGAAAUCAGUGAAGAAAAGAAGGACUCUGAUGCAAAAAUGAAAGCAAUUCCAGAGAAAGAGCUUCUGAAGGAAGAAAUGCUGAAGAAAUCAACUUUUCCACCUUUUCCUCAAGCAUUACAGGGGGAAAAGGGGGUUAGAAAUGCAGCUGAAAUCUUAGAAGUAUUGAGACAAGUGAAAGUUAAUAUUCCACUGCUGGAUAUGAUCAAACAAGUUCCAACGUAUGCAAAAUUCCUAAAGGAUUUGUGUACUAUCAAAAGAGGGUUGACUGUAAACAAGAAAGCCUUCUUGACUGAGCAAGUAAGUGUAAUUUUACAGUGUAAGUCUCCUUUGAAGUAUAAAGACCCUGGAAGUCCUACCAUUUCAGUCAUGAUUGGAGGAAAGGUAGUGGAGAAAGCCUUGCUAGACUUGGGAGCAAGUGUGAAUUUGCUUCCAUACUCUGUCUACAAGCAACUAGGACUUGGAGAGUUGAAGCCAACAACAAUCACUUUAUCUUUGGCAGAUAGAUCAGUGAAAAUUCCAAGAGGGGUAAUUGAGGAUGUAUUGGUUCAAGUAGAUAAUUUCUACUAUCCUGUAGAUUUUGUUGUUCUUGAUACAGAUCCUACUGUAAAGGAAGCUAAUUUAGUUCCUAUCAUCCUUGGAAGGCCAUUUCUUGCAACUUCAAAUGCAAUCAUCAACUGUAGGAAUAGGCUUAUGCAACUCACUUUUGGUAAUAUGACACUGGAUCUAAAUAUUUUCUAUAUGUCUAAAAAGCAAAUCACUCCGGAAGAAGAAGAAGGUCCAGAAGAGCUAUGUAUUAUUGAUACUUUGGUAGAGGAGCACUGCAAUCAACAUAUGCAAGACAAGUUGAAUGAAAGUCUUGAGGAUAUUGAGGAAGGUUUUUCUGAAUCUCCUAUUGGGCUUGCUACUCUACAAAGUUGGAGAAAGAUAGAAGGAAUUCUACCUUUGUUCAAUAAAGAAGAGGAGGCAGCUGUUGAAAAAGAAAUUCCAAAACUCAAUCUGAAUCCUUUACCUGUGGAGUUGAAAUAUACAUAUCUUGAAGCAAAUAAUCAAUGUCCUGUUGUGAUAUCCUCAUCUCUGACCAGUCAUCAAGAGGAUGGUUUAAUGGAAGUUCUCAGGAGGUGUAAGAAGGCAAUAGGAUGGCAAAUAUCUGAUUUGAAAGGCAUUAGUCCUUUAGUUUGUACUCAUCAUAUAUAUAUGGAGGAGGAAGCAAAGCCAAUUCAUCAAUUUCAAAGAAGGUUGAAUCCUCAUCUACAAGAGGUGGUGCGAGCUGAGGUGCUGAAGCUACUUCAAGCAGGAAUCAUUUACCCUAUAUCUGAUAGCCCUUGGGUGAGUCCUACUCAAGUGGUACCAAAGAAGUCAGGGAUCACAGUUAUUCAAAAUGAAAAAGGGGAAGAAAUUACUACACGCCUCACUUCAGGUUGGAGGGUGUGUAUUGAUUAUAGAAAGCUGAAUGCUGUCACUAGGAAAGAUCACUUUCCAUUGCCAUUUAUUGAUCAAGUGCUGGAGAGAGUCUCUGGACACCCAUUCUAUUGUUUCUUGGAUGGGUAUUCAGGGUAUUUUCAAAUCGAAAUUGAUUUGGCAGAUCAGGAAAAGACCACUUUUACAUGUCCAUUUGGAACAUUUGCUUAUAGAAGAAUGCCUUUUGGUUUAUGCAAUGCACCUGCUACAUUUCAAAGAUGCAUGUUGAGUAUUUUCAGUGAUAUGGUGGAGAGAAUUAUGGAGGUUUUCAUGGAUGACAUCACCGUAUAUGGAGGUACAUUUGAGGAAUGUUUGGUUAAUUUGGAAGCAGUUCUUCAUAGAUGCAUUGAAAAAGAUUUGGUGCUGAAUUGGGAAAAAUGCCAUUUUAUGGUACGUCAAGGAAUUGUCCUUGGCCAUAUCNNNNNNNNNNNNNNNNNNNNNNNNNNNNNNNNNNNNNNNNNNNNNNNNNNNNNNNNNNNNNNNNNNNNNNNNNNNNNNNNNNNNNNNNNNNNNNNNNNNNNNNNNNNNNNNNNNNNNNNNNNNNNNNNNNNNNNNNNNNNNNNNNNNNNNNNNNNNNNNNNNNNNNNNNNNNNNNNNNNNNNNNNNNNNNNNNNNNNNNNNNNNNNNNNNNNNNNNNNNNNNNNNNNNNNNNNNNNNNNNNNNNNNNNNNNNNNNNNNNNNNNNNNNNNNNNNNNNNNNNNNNNNNNNNNNNNNNNNNNNNNNNNNNNNNNNNNNNNNNNNNNNNNNNNNNNNNNNNNNNNNNNNNNNNNNNNNNNNNNNNNNNNNNNNNNNNNNNNNNNNNNNNNNNNNNNNNNNNNNNNNNNNNNNNNNNNNNNNNNNNNNNNNNNNNNNNNNNNNNNNNNNNNNNNNNNNNNNNNNNNNNNNNNNNNNNNNNNNNNNNNNNNNNNNNNNNNNNNNNNNNNNNNNNNNNNNNNNNNNNNNNNNNNNNNNNNNNNNNNNNNNNNNNNNNNNNNNNNNNNNNNNNNNNNNNNNNNNNNNNNNNNNNNNNNNNNNNNNNNNNNNNNNNNNNNNNNNNNNNNNNNNNNNNNNNNNNNNNNNNNNNNNNNNNNNNNNNNNNNNNNNNNNNNNNNNNNNNNNNNNNNNNNNNNNNNNNNNNNNNNNNNNNNNNNNNNNNNNNNNNNNNNNNNNNNNNNNNNNNNNNNNNNNNNNNNNNNNNNNNNNNNNNNNNNNNNNNNNNNNNNNNNNNNNNNNNNNNNNNNNNNNNNNNNNNNNNNNNNNNNNNNNNNNNNNNNNNNNNNNNNNNNNNNNNNNNNNNNNNNNNNNNNNNNNNNNNNNNNNNNNNNNNNNNNNNNNNNNNNNNNNNNNNNNNNNNNNNNNNNNNNNNNNNNNNNNNNNNNNNNNNNNNNNNNNNNNNNNNNNNNNNNNNNNNNNNNNNNNNNNNNNNNNNNNNNNNNNNNNNNNNNNNNNNNNNNNNNNNNNNNNNNNNNNNNNNNNNNNNNNNNNNNNNNNNNNNNNNNNNNNNNNNNNNNNNNNNNNNNNNNNNNNNNNNNNNNNNNNNNNNNNNNNNNNNNNNNNNNNNNNNNNNNNNNNNNNNNNNNNNNNNNNNNNNNNNNNNNNNNNNNNNNNNNNNNNNNNNNNNNNNNNNNNNNNNNNNNNNNNNNNNNNNNNNNNNNNNNNNNNNNNNNNNNNNNNNNNNNNNNNNNNNNNNNNNNNNNNNNNNNNNNNNNNNNNNNNNNNNNNNNNNNNNNNNNNNNNNNNNNNNNNNNNNNNNNNNNNNNNNNNNNNNNNNNNNNNNNNNNNNNNNNNNNNNNNNNNNNNNNNNNNNNNNNNNNNNNNNNNNNNNNNNNNNNNNNNNNNNNNNNNNNNNNNNNNNNNNNNNNNNNNNNNNNNNNNNNNNNNNNNNNNNNNNNNNNNNNNNNNNNNNNNNNNNNNNNNNNNNNNNNNNNNNNNNNNNNNNNNNNNNNNNNNNNNNNNNNNNNNNNNNNNNNNNNNNNNNNNNNNNNNNNNNNNNNNNNNNNNNNNNNNNNNNNNNNNNNNNNNNNNNNNNNNNNNNNNNNNNNNNNNNNNNNNNNNNNNNNNNNNNNNNNNNNNNNNNNNNNNNNNNNNNNNNNNNNNNNNNNNNNNNNNNNNNNNNNNNNNNNNNNNNNNNNNNNNNNNNNNNNNNNNNNNNNNNNNNNNNNNNNNNNNNNNNNNNNNNNNNNNNNNNNNNNNNNNNNNNNNNNNNNNNNNNNNNNNNNNNNNNNNNNNNNNNNNNNNNNNNNNNNNNNNNNNNNNNNNNNNNNNNNNNNNNNNNNNNNNNNNNNNNNNNNNNNNNNNNNNNNNNNNNNNNNNNNNNNNNNNNNNNNNNNNNNNNNNNNNNNNNNNNNNNNNNNNNNNNNNNNNNNNNNNNNNNNNNNNNNNNNNNNNNNNNNNNNNNNNNNNNNNNNNNNNNNNNNNNNNNNNNNNNNNNNNNNNNNNNNNNNNNNNNNNNNNNNNNNNNNNNNNNNNNNNNNNNNNNNNNNNNNNNNNNNNNNNNNNNNNNNNNNNNNNNNNNNNNNNNNNNNNNNNNNNNNNNNNNNNNNNNNNNNNNNNNNNNNNNNNNNNNNNNNNNNNNNNNNNNNNNNNNNNNNNNNNNNNNNNNNNNNNNNNNNNNNNNNNNNNNNNNNNNNNNNNNNNNNNNNNNNNNNNNNNNNNNNNNNNNNNNNNNNNNNNNNNNNNNNNNNNNNNNNNNNNNNNNNNNNNNNNNNNNNNNNNNNNNNNNNNNNNNNNNNNNNNNNNNNNNNNNNNNNNNNNNNNNNNNNNNNNNNNNNNNNNNNNNNNNNNNNNNNNNNNNNNNNNNNNNNNNNNNNNNNNNNNNNNNNNNNNNNNNNNNNNNNNNNNNNNNNNNNNNNNNNNNNNNNNNNNNNNNNNNNNNNNNNNNNNNNNNNNNNNNNNNNNNNNNNNNNNNNNNNNNNNNNNNNNNNNNNNNNNNNNNNNNNNNNNNNNNNNNNNNNNNNNNNNNNNNNNNNNNNNNNNNNNNNNNNNNNNNNNNNNNNNNNNNNNNNNNNNNNNNNNNNNNNNNNNNNNNNNNNNNNNNNNNNNNNNNNNNNNNNNNNNNNNNNNNNNNNNNNNNNNNNNNNNNNNNNNNNNNNNNNNNNNNNNNNNNNNNNNNNNNNNNNNNNNNNNNNNNNNNNNNNNNNNNNNNNNNNNNNNNNNNNNNNNNNNNNNNNNNNNNNNNNNNNNNNNNNNNNNNNNNNNNNNNNNNNNNNNNNNNNNNNNNNNNNNNNNNNNNNNNNNNNNNNNNNNNNNNNNNNNNNNNNNNNNNNNNNNNNNNNNNNNNNNNNNNNNNNNNNNNNNNNNNNNNNNNNNNNNNNNNNNNNNNNNNNNNNNNNNNNNNNNNNNNNNNNNNNNNNNNNNNNNNNNNNNNNNNNNNNNNNNNNNNNNNNNNNNNNNNNNNNNNNNNNNNNNNNNNNNNNNNNNNNNNNNNNNNNNNNNNNNNNNNNNNNNNNNNNNNNNNNNNNNNNNNNNNNNNNNNNNNNNNNNNNNNNNNNNNNNNNNNNNNNNNNNNNNNNNNNNNNNNNNNNNNNNNNNNNNNNNNNNNNNNNNNNNNNNNNNNNNNNNNNNNNNNNNNNNNNNNNNNNNNNNNNNNNNNNNNNNNNNNNNNNNNNNNNNNNNNNNNNNNNNNNNNNNNNNNNNNNNNNNNNNNNNNNNNNNNNNNNNNNNNNNNNNNNNNNNNNNNNNNNNNNNNNNNNNNNNNNNNNNNNNNNNNNNNNNNNNNNNNNNNNNNNNNNNNNNNNNNNNNNNNNNNNNNNNNNNNNNNNNNNNNNNNNNNNNNNNNNNNNNNNNNNNNNNNNNNNNNNNNNNNNNNNNNNNNNNNNNNNNNNNNNNNNNNNNNNNNNNNNNNNNNNNNNNNNNNNNNNNNNNNNNNNNNNNNNNNNNNNNNNNNNNNNNNNNNNNNNNNNNNNNNNNNNNNNNNNNNNNNNNNNNNNNNNNNNNNNNNNNNNNNNNNNNNNNNNNNNNNNNNNNNNNNNNNNNNNNNNNNNNNNNNNNNNNNNNNNNNNNNNNNNNNNNNNNNNNNNNNNNNNNNNNNNNNNNNNNNNNNNNNNNNNNNNNNNNNNNNNNNNNNNNNNNNNNNNNNNNNNNNNNNNNNNNNNNNNNNNNNNNNNNNNNNNNNNNNNNNNNNNNNNNNNNNNNNNNNNNNNNNNNNNNNNNNNNNNNNNNNNNNNNNNNNNNNNNNNNNNNNNNNNNNNNNNNNNNNNNNNNNNNNNNNNNNNNNNNNNNNNNNNNNNNNNNNNNNNNNNNNNNNNNNNNNNNNNNNNNNNNNNNNNNNNNNNNNNNNNNNNNNNNNNNNNNNNNNNNNNNNNNNNNNNNNNNNNNNNNNNNNNNNNNNNNNNNNNNNNNNNNNNNNNNNNNNNNNNNNNNNNNNNNNNNNNNNNNNNNNNNNNNNNNNNNNNNNNNNNNNNNNNNNNNNNNNNNNNNNNNNNNNNNNNNNNNNNNNNNNNNNNNNNNNNNNNNNNNNNNNNNNNNNNNNNNNNNNNNNNNNNNNNNNNNNNNNNNNNNNNNNNNNNNNNNNNNNNNNNNNNNNNNNNNNNNNNNNNNNNNNNNNNNNNNNNNNNNNNNNNNNNNNNNNNNNNNNNNNNNNNNNNNNNNNNNNNNNNNNNNNNNNNNNNNNNNNNNNNNNNNNNNNNNNNNNNNNNNNNNNNNNNNNNNNNNNNNNNNNNNNNNNNNNNNNNNNNNNNNNNNNNNNNNNNNNNNNNNNNNNNNNNNNNNNNNNNNNNNNNNNNNNNNNNNNNNNNNNNNNNNNNNNNNNNNNNNNNNNNNNNNNNNNNNNNNNNNNNNNNNNNNNNNNNNNNNNNNNNNNNNNNNNNNNNNNNNNNNNNNNNNNNNNNNNNNNNNNNNNNNNNNNNNNNNNNNNNNNNNNNNNNNNNNNNNNNNNNNNNNNNNNNNNNNNNNNNNNNNNNNNNNNNNNNNNNNNNNNNNNNNNNNNNNNNNNNNNNNNNNNNNNNNNNNNNNNNNNNNNNNNNNNNNNNNNNNNNNNNNNNNNNNNNNNNNNNNNNNNNNNNNNNNNNNNNNNNNNNNNNNNNNNNNNNNNNNNNNNNNNNNNNNNNNNNNNNNNNNNNNNNNNNNNNNNNNNNNNNNNNNNNNNNNNNNNNNNNNNNNNNNNNNNNNNNNNNNNNNNNNNNNNNNNNNNNNNNNNNNNNNNNNNNNNNNNNNNNNNNNNNNNNNNNNNNNNNNNNNNNNNNNNNNNNNNNNNNNNNNNNNNNNNNNNNNNNNNNNNNNNNNNNNNNNNNNNNNNNNNNNNNNNNNNNNNNNNNNNNNNNNNNNNNNNNNNNNNNNNNNNNNNNNNNNNNNNNNNNNNNNNNNNNNNNNNNNNNNNNNNNNNNNNNNNNNNNNNNNNNNNNNNNNNNNNNNNNNNNNNNNNNNNNNNNNNNNNNNNNNNNNNNNNNNNNNNNNNNNNNNNNNNNNNNNNNNNNNNNNNNNNNNNNNNNNNNNNNNNNNNNNNNNNNNNNNNNNNNNNNNNNNNNNNNNNNNNNNNNNNNNNNNNNNNNNNNNNNNNNNNNNNNNNNNNNNNNNNNNNNNNNNNNNNNNNNNNNNNNNNNNNNNNNNNNNNNNNNNNNNNNNNNNNNNNNNNNNNNNNNNNNNNNNNNNNNNNNNNNNNNNNNNNNNNNNNNNNNNNNNNNNNNNNNNNNNNNNNNNNNNNNNNNNNNNNNNNNNNNNNNNNNNNNNNNNNNNNNNNNNNNNNNNNNNNNNNNNNNNNNNNNNNNNNNNNNNNNNNNNNNNNNNNNNNNNNNNNNNNNNNNNNNNNNNNNNNNNNNNNNNNNNNNNNNNNNNNNNNNNNNNNNNNNNNNNNNNNNNNNNNNNNNNNNNNNNNNNNNNNNNNNNNNNNNNNNNNNNNNNNNNNNNNNNNNNNNNNNNNNNNNNNNNNNNNNNNNNNNNNNNNNNNNNNNNNNNNNNNNNNNNNNNNNNNNNNNNNNNNNNNNNNNNNNNNNNNNNNNNNNNNNNNNNNNNNNNNNNNNNNNNNNNNNNNNNNNNNNNNNNNNNNNNNNNNNNNNNNNNNNNNNNNNNNNNNNNNNNNNNNNNNNNNNNNNNNNNNNNNNNNNNNNNNNNNNNNNNNNNNNNNNNNNNNNNNNNNNNNNNNNNNNNNNNNNNNNNNNNNNNNNNNNNNNNNNNNNNNNNNNNNNNNNNNNNNNNNNNNNNNNNNNNNNNNNNNNNNNNNNNNNNNNNNNNNNAAUUGGAGCCGAAACAGAGCAAAAACAGGGGAAAAACAGAGCUCUGCGAAAUUUCGCAGGGUGAAGGAAACUUCUGCGAAAUGUGAUUUUUGUUGCCAAACCACUCCGCAGCACUGUAGAAGCCUCUGCGAGUGUAUUUCGCAGCUGCGAAAGUGGAUUUGGCACACGAGUGCCACUUCGCAGUACAGUAGCACCUAUUUCGCAGCUGCGAAACCCAUUGCGAAAUGGAAAAGCAUGAUUUCGCACCAAAAGUCCCAUUCCGCAGGGCAUUUCGCAAUUGCGAAAGUGGUUUUGGCACACGAGUGCCACUUCGCAGCACAGUGACAUCAAUUUCGCAGCUGCGAAACUCACUGCGAAGUUGUUGCGAAAAUGGCAAGUUGCUGCGAAAUUGGCGUUUUGUUGCGAAACGUAAUCUGACCCCUGGGCUUACGUUUUUCCUAUUUAUACCGGUCAAAAGUGCUGCGAAAAGGGUUUCAAAAAUUAGAACGCCAUUCUCGCAGCCCCUUCGUCUUCUUCACCAAGCCACGCCGUCCGUUUCUCCGGUCGUCUUCUCCGCUUAGCAACGUCGGCCAAAGAUCGAUAUCUCCAAAAUGGCACGAACGCGAGGAGCAAAAUCUUCAUCUCCUUCGAACCGCAAAAGGAGUCUGCGAAAGGAGCCAAGUCCAGGCUCUGUUCCAGAACCUGCUCCACAGCCUUCGCCGUCGAGACCAAACCCUCCUCCAGUGAAGCCGGCGCCACCAAAGCCGCCGGCAAGGCGAUAUUUAACCAGGUCAGGUGGUCAGCCAUUGAAGAAGAAAACCAGGGUUGAGAGCUCUAAACCAAUAGAUUUGACUGAGCAAUCCCCUGAGAAAUCCCCAAAGCUAACACCGGUUCAAUCUCCGGUAUCUUCACCAAAUCCUUCACCGGUACAAAUUCCAGAACCGUCACCGGUUCCCUCGCCAAUUCUCUCACCAAAGGCAACUCCAAUUCCAUCGCCGGUACCAUCUCCGGCACCCCAAGAAAAAGCUCAGGAGCCUCAAGCGCCAAUUCCAGAGCCCCAAAUUGCAGCUGAAGCACCUCUGGAAGAAGUGAUCCGAAGGCCAAUGCUGCCCCAGCCCCCAAUCGAAGGAAACUUGGAUUGUCGAACUCGGGCAUUUCAUUCUGAGCUCUGCUUCGACUUAGCAGCAUUUAGAGUGAGGCCAGAGCUUGCCCAAUCAUUCCAGCUGCUGAGGAGAUAUCAUAUGGAGCAUCUGCUAGCUCCAAGGGAUUUUUUCUAUCCCCGGGUAGUCACGGAUUUCUACCAGACCAUGACAACCAAAGAAGUAAGAAAUCCAACUCUGAUUCAUUUUAUAAUUGAUGGAAGACAUGGUAUUUUGGGAGCAAGACAUAUUGCUGAAGCUCUGCAAAUUCCUUUUGAGCCAACCCAAUUCGACAAUUUUAAGGCUUGGGUAAAUCCAACUGAGCUAGAGAUGGUUAGCACCCUGUCCAGAGGAGCUGCCAAUCGGUCACACCUGCUGAGGGGGGAGCUACCUCCAGUGAUGUUUUUGAUUGAUGCCUUUUUGAGGCAUAAUAUCUAUCCCCUGCAGCAUUGGACCCAAAGAAGGGGAGUUCUCUUGGAAGCUCUAUACAAGAUGUCUGAAGGAUUCUUCUUUGGGCCUCAUCAUCUUAUCAUGGCAGCCCUUCUAUACUUUGAGGAGAAGGUUCACAAGAAGAAGCUUCAAAGAGCAGAUUGCAUUCCACUCCUCUUCCCACGGCUGCUAUGCCAAGUUUUGGAACAUCUCGGAUACCCCUCUGAGCCUCAGCAGGAAAGAAAGAGAAUAUGCCGUGAGCCAUUUACCCUUGAUAAAUGGAAUAAUAUGACGGCCUAUAAAAUUGAUCAGCCUGGGCAGCCUCAGCCAGCAGCAAGGAGAGCCUCCCCAAGACAUGCACCUGAAGGUAUAACACUUGCUACUCCUGCCAUCCCUCGAGCUCCACCAGCUGCACCUGCUCCAUCACAGCCAUCCACAUCAGCUGAGCCGAGGAUGGCCAUCCCUAUAUCCGAAUAUCGAGAGUUGUGCCGUGCAUUGGAGACUCUUACAGCUUCCCAGAGCAAUCUUGCUCAGGAGUUGGCAGCCAUCAAAGCAUGCCAGGAGCAGAUGUUAGCCUCUCAGGCUCAAUAAGCUGCCAUCCUAAGGCAGCUUCAAGUCCAUUUCGAUCUGCCACAAGCUGUAGAGCCCUCCACUGAGACUCCACCAGAACCACACUCUCAGCCUUCAGAGUCUCAAGCUCCAGAGCCCGAAGCCCCAGCUGAUCCACCUACUGAGGAGGCAGAUCCUUCUGCUUAGCACCAUCACCCCACUCAUCAGACAUUAUAUAUAUUUGCUAUUUAUGUUUUUAUGCAUGUUUGUUUUGUUUUAGUUGAAAUGAAAUCCCAGUAUUUUGGUAUUAUAUAUGGGAUUCCUUGUGUUACUUGUCUUUAGCAUUGUAAUCAAAUGAAUACAAAGUAAUACAAGUUGACUAUUUCUUGUUAAAAGUUAGCAUAAAGUUUCCUUAUUUCCUUUUCUCACAUAUUCUAUUCUUUUUGAAACAUGUGGUUUUCCCCAAUCAAUAUUCGAAUUUGAUAUCAGCAUGGAGGUACCACUUCCUCCCUUUUAUUACAGUCACUCAAAUCACAUUGAGGACAAUGCUCAGUUCGGUUGGGGGGUAUGAGGAAGGAAGUAUUCUAAACCUUUUUGGUAUUGCAAUUAUAUUGGUUAAUUAGUUGUAGUUUUUACUUUUUACUAGUGUUACUCUAUUCUCCAUGAAUUUUGAGGAAAAAUUUUCAAAUUAAACCAAGAGAAAUUGAACUGUUGUUUUUCACUUGACUUAGAGUAUGGAUUAUGCUUACUAAAGUGGUUCAAUUGUUAAACUUCUACUGAAAUUGAAUUGAGUUCUUCUACUUUAAGCUAUCCACACACUGUGCACAUUAGUUUCCGAUUAUAAGAUGAAAAGCUAUUUCCCUCUUGACUUAGGAUAAUUUUGAGACUUGGUAUAUUUGACCUCAUUUGAUAAAAAUUGAAACACCCUGCAAAAGGCCAAUGAGCCUUUGAAAUAAAGAAAGUUGUUUGCUUGCCUUGAAACCCGAGCAAGGUCUGAGGGGUAUAUGGUGAAAAUCUUUUAAGCCUGGUGCCCUAAGCCUUAAUUGGUUGGGAGACACCGACCUCAAUGCUCGUUACAAGGGUGAAUAGGUAGAGCUAGCAUAUGGUAGAUGCUUGGGUAUUAGAAAUUCAUUCUUAAAAGUCCGGGGAAAAAUCCGAGGAGUUAGUGGUUGAAAGAUCCUUAAAACUUGGUGCCCUAAACCUUAAUUGGUUGGGAGUCAUCGAUGGACCCCCAUUACAUGGACAAGUCAGAAAGAGUACCCCAUAAAGCUACCUUGAAAAAAAAAAAAAAAAAAAAUGGAUGAUGAAAGAGUGUUCUUUUCUUAUUGAUUUUGGUCAGUUUGCUAAAGUGUUGAAAAGACAUAGGUUGGGGGGUGAGACUAGUUUGGCAUAUUAUUCUCGGAAUCUAAGGAACCAAUACACAUAGAUUUUUGUGGAAGAUUGAAGUUUAGUUCUUAGAAAGUGAAAUGAUUUUAAAACUUCAGUUUGCAUAAUGCACUCCCUUGAUUGACAGUGCUUAGCAUAGUUUGUUAUGACUCUUGUUGAGAUUUGGGUUUGUAUUUCUUCAAUGCUUCAUGUGAGAGUUAGAUCAUCAUGCCACUUGAGAAUUGAUUUUGUUUAGCAUGAUGUUGUAAAUUUUAGAUUAGUUGCUAUUUAUUUUCUUUUUUCUCUCCUUUAUUGCUAAGGGACUAGCAAUAUGUCGGUUGGGGGGAGUGAUUACUACUCAAAAAGUGCUAUUUGAUAGCCUUUAAUUAAUCCUUUUUAACACUUUUGAGUAGUAGUUUAGGUCUUUUAACUCAAUUGGCAUGUUAAGGAUCCUUUAAAGCAAUUUUGAUCACUUUGUGCAAGUUUUGGUGUUUUUGUUAGUAUUUUGAUCACCAAAGCAAGUCAAGAAUGAGGAGAGCUAUGAGGAAUCAUGGGCAAAGCUUAGAAUUCAAUUGCCAAGAGUGAAUCCGGAUUGCAAGGAGAAAAAGCAAAGAGAAUCUGUCAUGGAGCAUAUUCUUGAUGACAGUCGUAGAAGCCACUUUUGGAGUACUUUCUGAAGUCCAAAUGAUGCAAGCUAUAUACCAUUUCAAAGCUCAGGAAGUCAAAAAUCCAAUGCUUCAUACGGUGCGCGAUUCGGAGUUGAAACGAAGAAGUUGUAGCCAUUACAAGUCAAUCACUCUAAAGUGUUGCGGAAUCAGCAUUUUGUUGUGAGAAUUUCGCAGCACUUUUGUACAGUAAGGUGUUUCUCCUUCUGACGAUGCACGAACCAUGCCGCGAGAAGGGAGCUGGAAACUUCAAGGUGGAAGCCAACUUCGCAGCCCUCUUGGGUGUCUGCGAAAUUUCGCAGGUACCACUUUUCUCCUGCGAAAUGGCUCCUGAAGCCUCCCGAAGCUUGCUACCGACAUUGGGAGAUAUUUUCCAUUAGAUUUUUGUUGUCUAAAUCCCAAAAUACUCCUUGUAAACCACCAAUUACAUGAUUCCUUAGUUUUUAAGUUAGUAAAAAGACCAAAUAUCUAUGUAAUAAUUAGUUUUAUAUUGCUUUGAUAUAAAUACCUCUCGGGAGCAUGUUCUCGAAGAGGAGUUCUUUCUGUAACCAUUUGGUAAGCAAGUAAAGUCUUUUCUUUCUACUGCCUUACCUUCUCACUUUGUAUUUUCAUUUUAUUUCUAAGUUAUGAAUUCUCUGAGGAGUUUUCCCCAGAGAAUGAGUAACUAAACCUCCAAUUCCUUGGAGCUAAGGUUGCCGGGGAAGGUUCCAAGUGCAAGAAUGCAAAGCUCUGUGGUUUUAGCUAGUAAUGAAGAGGAAGUGAAAUCCUUUAGUGAUUUCAAUGUUUUUAGUUAACUUAAAACACCUUGGAGUCACCUGGGCCAAUACUUGGUAAGGCAAGUGAUUUCCAACCGUGGAGAUGCACUAGUUUACCCCUUGCGAGCCUCUGGUAGGUGACUUCAAGGUAGGAUUUUCUGGAAUUACCAACACUUGGUAAGCUUUUGGACUCUUAGGAGGCAUCCAUUAGUUAUCUCUUGCGAGUUUGUGAAGGGGAAUCCAAGGUUAAAGAUCACCUUGAAUGGUAAGUGCUCGUGAGAGGCAUGAACCAUUGCAAGUUGCAUCAGUGAGAGAAUUAAAGUGAAAUCUAAUUGAAGGAGUCUCUGUACAUCACCGGUUAGAGAAUUGACUCUAAGUUGAAUCUCUAAUGCGAGGAAAUGAACCAUCUGACCGGAGCUAUGUAUUUUGCAUGAGGAACCACCCCAGUGAACCUAAAUCUCCAAGGAAUGCUUUUCUUCCUAAAUUAUUCCAAACUUCUGUUAAGUUAGUUAGUUUAAGUCUAAACCUUUACCAAUCAAACUUUGUGUUUUACUUCUUAAGCUAACCGUGAAAUGAAACAAGACCAAUUCACUUGGAAUUGGUAUCCUUGAUUGCUUGUUCAUCAUUCCCAGUGAACGAUCCUAGAGCCACUAUACUAUAGUAGCUUUGUAUUUGCUACCCUAGUGUAUGGUGUUAUAGGUAUAAAUUUUGUUGAUCACUUCCUCAAUCAAGGAGCACCAGCUGAACACAAAUCAGCUGAGACACCAAUUGGGCAUGAGUCAAUUAUUAUUUAUUUAUUACCGCAAAUUUUCAAUUUUUACGAUCCUAAGAAAUUUCCUACUAAAGACUAAUGUGGCACAAAAUUCAACUCGUUUGAUUGACCAAUAAAAUCUUUCAAAUUUCGUCAACCUAAAAUUGACACGUGUUCUCCAAUUACCUUUUUUUACUUUUCAACUACCGUUGAAUAGAAGAAUUUUCAAACUUGAAAUUCCAUGGCCUAAAAUACCCGGUCAUUAUAGUAGAAAAAAAGAAUGUGCCAUCAAAAGAAUCCUCAUUCUCUUGCGGGAGUUGGAAGAUAAUCUAGCUAAAACCGGUGUAUGAUGGAAGUGAUCAGAUGGAUCGUGGAGAACUGAUCCUUCUCUCUGCUACUCAAUGGAGGUCCAUCCUCUCUUUGUUUCUCUUUCUUUUUCCUUCCUUUAUAGCUUUCUCUCUCUUUCAACUCAUUCUCGGUUUCUUACCUCCCUAAACUCCCUCUGUGAACUUUUCUUUCUGUUUCUCUCUCAAAAUUUUCUGAUCUCUCUAUCAUAUUCCCUCUCUCAACCCUAACUGAAGCCUCUCAAAUUCUUUAGACAUGCCAUCCUUAUGCUACUCUCUGCCAACUACCAACAUAAAGAUCUUUCUUCUAUUUCUAACAUACUUCGGUUUCCCGAAUCACUCAGAAACUCUCUCCCAAAAUGAUCAUAAUGUGAUGUCCCAGGAAAAAAUGGUGAUCCUCUCCGAAUGUCUCAUGGUCAUUUUGAAUGCAUGUCUCUCUCUUACUCGGAGCGCAUGUGUGAUAGCCAUCCAGAAUGCACAUGCCUCUAACCUCCUAGAGUCUUCUGGAUUCCAUGAAUGAAGGUUUUCCUCUUCUGUGGUACACACUCGAAAAUCCAUGUGAGCAAUCUCAUAUAACAAUAACACUAUCAUCUUGUGCAAAUUGCAACAAAUUUUCCAUCUUGAGUGAAAGAAAUGCCCUUAGAUGCAUGCUUUGGCCAUUACACUUGUGUUCAUCCUAUGUUCACAGUAGGGUCUCUAUCUAUUUUUAAUAUCCCUUCAAACUAAGUCCCUGACCACUUUUGGGCCAUUGGUCUUUUAUAGAGACGACAAAGUAUGUAUUCUGAAAUGAGAGCCCACUCAAUGUGGCUUAUCUCAUCCAAGCACCAAAAAAAUUGCACAAAGAUAUCUUUUCCAAAUCCACAUGUCCCUAUCUCAUGACCUCACAAAAAAUAAACAUGUAGCACUUAUCAAAUCCCAAAAAAGAAAUAAACAAAAUGAAGUAAAUCCACAUGCAAAAAUAUAAAAUCCAAAUUACACACAUCUCAUACAAUACUAAAACUUAGUCUCAUGCAACCUAAAAGAAAAACUAAAAUAAACAAAAUCAUAUAGUAAGAGAAAACAAUGAAAUAUAUCUAUCAAAAAAAUUAAAAUUCAAACUUAUGAAAUCACACUAAAAAAACUUAAAACUUAAACAAAAAUCCUAAACUAAAAGUUAGAGGUUACUAAGAAAUCACACUAAGGAUCCCUUAAAAUCCCUCCAUGAUUUCUCUAAAGAAAGUUCAAAGACAAUAAUCAAACGAGUCAUAGUGGACCACCCAUGGAGACUCAAAAAUAGUUCAGGAGUGGACCCUAAAUGUAUAAUGAGCUAAUAUAUGCCAAUAGGACAAAAUGAAGGGUCUACGAACUCAACUCUCUUAAGCAUAGUAGAAAGCCUAUAAAUACCCCUAGUAGAGGUUAUGUUUUCAAGUCUUGUCAUUUCUCCUUGCAGUCUAAAGAGAGAACCCUAACCUUCGACCCCUAAGAUCUCCACCAUCUCAAUUCUAAGACUUAAGGAGGAGUUAUUGGGCGGAUGAUUAUGAGUUUAUGAGAUCUUCUGCAAAUUUGGAGCUUUCUAUAUCAAUAGGAAUUGUCGGGAACAUCCAUAUCAAAAGUAUGACACUUUUCUCUAGAUCUUUGAUAUGUUUUUGGUUUUAAAUGCCAAGUUUUUCGCUUUGCUUAAAUCUAGAGAAGUCUAGGAUAGGAUUACAUACACCCUAGCGAUCCAAGACUUGGGAAUAUAGUAAUCCAAGAUUUCCCAAUAGUUCAAUCUACCAAGAUAUGAACAAUAGCCUAACAACCAAAGUCAUCAAUCGAAAUAGGAAAAAUCAACCACAAUAGCGUCUCAAUAACUCCAACAAUGUUGGGAAAAAUACUUUAUGGACUUAGUCUAAAACUAGAACAUUUCACUUCACCAAUAACUUGAACAAAUGAGAAAAACAAACAUCAAGAAAAUUUAAACACUUUGUUAAGUCAAAAUUUUGAUACCGUUUUAAGCUUUAAUAAUUUGAUACAUCACCAAAUGCUUAGUUUAAAAAGAAUAGAAGCUAACCUAAUUUCAAACCUAUGUAUCCAAUGGCGACCUGUUUUUGUCCUUUUAUUUUUGUCCUUAUUUAUUAACGUAUCAAUUAAAAAUCACAUUUAAAUUUAUUAAGGAAAUAUACUUAAGCUAUUAUCUCUUAAAUUUUUCUUAAAAGAAAAAAAAAAAUCUUGGCCCAAACUUUAACUUUGCACGAUGUCCACUUGUCCCUUUGAGAAUGAAUUUGCUAUUGCUUGUCCCACGCAAGAAACAAUGCUUUUAGUUAAUUAAAAAUAAAAUUAGUCCAUACAUAUAGAUGAUCAUAAUACAUUUGGUGUUAUUACAAAGUGUUAAUUAGUUAUGCUUAAAUAAAAGAAUUGCUUUAAAUAAUUAGUUGCCUCCAACCACCAAAUUAUGCAUUUAGACAUAAGAUAAUUUUGCUAACUAACAUUUAAUAGUUUUACAACUUCUUUACUUAAAUCGUAAUGAUCCAAUUUUUUACCUAUUUGUUUUCAAUGAUCUUGUAAUUAUAGUUUUAUGUUUAGUGUAAAACUUUGUUCAUGAGUGGGAGUUGAUCAUUAAUUUCAAAGACAAACAGGCAUUGUAUGAAAUUUUUUUACAUAAAUCAUGAGAUCAAACAACUAAAUUGAAAGUUUUGAAGACAACUUAAUACCAAGGAUUUAUAAUAUUUUGGAAUUACAAUAAACUUAUUUUUAUAACAGAGUCAAAAAGAAAUUGAUAAAUUUUCUUGAUAACAUAGUUAAAUAAGUGGUUAGAAUAUUGUUGUCCACACAUAUAUAGAUUACAAUAAAAAUAUUUGUUAAUUUUAUAUUUAGAUAAUAGAUAUCAAACCACUUUGCAUAUUGGACGAUGACUCUUAUAGAAUUAAAUAUAAGACUUGUUAUACACUAUUUUGAAACAUAUAUAUAUUCAUUCAAGUCUUUACUUUUCCUUUUUGACUUGUUAUAAGGUUGGUUUUGUUUCCCAAAGAAUAAAAUAUUUGACCAUAUUUUAACAAGUUGAAUAAAAAAGUUAACAAAUUCUUUACAAGUCAAAAAGCUACAAGUAUUUUAUUAGAGUAGGUGGCAAUGCAAUUUAAACUAAUUCAAUAAAUUCUUUGCAAGUCAAAAAGCUGCAAGUAUUUUAAUCAAGUAGAUUAGAAUAAAAUUUAAACUAAUCAUAUAAAAACCUGAAUAUGAUUAGAAUAAAUUUUGUUUUUAUCUACUUUUUUCUUGUUUUUCAAGAGAAUUUAGCUCUAAUUUUCGCAUGAGUUGAUAACUAAAAAAAACAAAAACAACAAUAUAAAAGUGAAAUCAAUAUAAAAUAAAUCCUCAAAUUUCAAAAUUAUAAAACUAAAAUUCUACUAUAUUUAAAUACUAUUUUGACAUUAAAUUUCACUUUUUUUCAAUAAAAUUUUGCCUAAACAGAAAAAGUGAAUCUUUUUAUUUUUACUUAUAAAAAGUCAUUUAUUCUCUUUUGUCUUAUCAAUCGUCUACUUUAUUAUAAUGCUCAAUUCUAAUUUCUCAUACAAAAUUAAACUAAAUUUAUUUUCAAAAAUUUUAGAUAACUCUUGCUUCAAAAUCUAGUUAAACUACUUUAAUAAUAUAUAACUGAAUAAAAAAAUAUGAAUUUAUCAUAAAUUAACAAAGAUGUCAUUAAAAAAAAUGAAUAUGACUUGAAGAAGUUUUAUUUUUAUCCAUUUUUUUCUUUUGUUUCUUGUUAAGGUUGAAUUAGUAAAUCCAAAUUGAGAACAUUGGUUGACAAAACCAUGACCUUUCAAAGAUUGGGCUCCCACUAAAUUGUCGGGCCUCCAAGACAAGCCUUGACUAUCACACCAACCUGUCUAUGCUAGACCAAGCCUACCUUAAGUGUCGAUAAGGAAAUAAUAAGGAAUGUCUACCUGCUCAACCAAUGGGGAGAGAUGGUGGUCGUUUAUAUUAGGUUUUCCAUUGCAUCCGAUUAUUGAUCUGUGAAACUUCUUUGAAGGUUUAUUUUGGUAAACUAGUAACUGGUCUUGGUUUUUUUCCAUUUAAGUUAGACAAAAUUUUUGGAAAAACUCAAUAAAUGAGAUAAUGUUGAAAUUUUGAUAAAAUUUAUCAUUUAUAUUUAUUUGAUAAAAAAGUUAACAAAUAUUUGACCAUUUUUCACUAAUAUCAUGAAAGCUAAAAAUUAAUAAAAAAAAAUUAUUUUCAAAAAUAUGAUUUGGAAAACAUGUGAGUGUUCAUUACAAAUUUUUGAGACACUUUUUCAUAAGCAUAGAGCAAAAUAUUUGUCUUUGAAUGAAAUAACGGUUGAUAUUCUUCUCAAUCUUAAAGUACGUAGUUCUUUACAAAUGUGAUUAAUUUCACUUCUAAAGCUUGCAAUCAUACAAUUGAGUGUACAUAAAAUUAUAGAUAAAACUAUAUACAAAGAAUUACAAACAGAACUAUCACUAACGCCAUCUUCUUCUCAACCACAAUGAUUUAUCCACAUAACUGAAAUAGGUCUCACACCAAGAUUUCUUGAUUGUUAAAAUAAAAAAUGGAACAAAAAUGCCCACUACAAAUCCUAGCCCAAUACUCAAGUAAAACCAUUUAUCAAUGAAUCCAUCAUCAUUUUCAUCCUCAACGUUGCUUUGCACUUGCCCUUGAUCUAAAUCAUCACCUUGGCAUUUAGCAACAAGUGGACGUCCACAAAGACGAGGUUUCUAGCAAAGGUAGAUUCCCUAAAAGUUAUCAUUUGUCCCAUAAAGGGGAUCUUACCAGAGAAGUUGUUCGAUAGAUUCAAAUAGCUCAAAAAUUUUAAUGAAGAAAUGCUCAAAGGAAUGACAUUGUAGAGAUUGUUACAUGAUAAAUCAAAAGAUAAUAGCUCAUGUAACCUCAAGAUGUUUUGAGGAAUUAAGCCAUUAAUGUGGUUCCUUGACCAGUUGAAAAUCAUUAAACCAGAUAAUUUUGUCAUUUAUGUUGGAAACUCCCAACUAAAGUUAUUGCUGAAUAGAUCUAUGCUAACUGUGAGAGAAAGAAACUCUAUAUAUUCUAGCUCUUGGCCUUUUGCUUUUACGGUCAAACUAUCGUCAAAUGAUUUAUCUAUCAUAGAAAACUGGUAUAGAUAAGGCCUUAAAUAUUUCUUUUCAGCCAUUGCUUUAAGAUCACACAAAGUGGCUGGAAUGCUACCACUUAAAUUGUUUUCAACAAGGUCUAAAAUAUGUAAUGAACUUAAAUUUGAACGAUAAAAAAUAAUUCCUCCAGAAAAUGCAUUAGACCUCAAGUCAAGAAUUCUAAUGGUUGUGAAAGCAGCUCCAAUCCAUGUUAAAAUAUUACCCCAUAAUUUGUUGUAAUUGAGAUCAAGGGUUAAACUUGACAAGCUUUGGAAAGAUAAAGGAAGUUUUCCUGAAAGCUAUUUUUGCCUAGGUGAAUUGAUCAAAGCCAUUCUAACUAGCCAAAAGAUUUUGGAAUAGUCUUGGAUAAAUUGUUCUUUUCAAGUGUUAGAAAGUACAGGUAAGAGUAAUUACUUAUGAAUGAAGGAAUGCUUCCUAUUAAACUAUUCCUUGAAAGAUCAAGGAUUUCAAGAUGGCUCAUAUAUCCUAUAGACUUUGGGAUAAUUCCUGUUAUUUGAUUGCUUAAAAGAGAGUAUAGAAAAUUUGGGAUGGAUUCACCUAUAUUAGGUGGAAUAGGACCAGAAAAUCUAUUGUUGGAUAGAUCAAUAAUUGUCAAAGAGGUCAUAUUCAAUUGAUUUGGCAACUGACCUUGCAAUUGAUUGAAAGAAAUAACUAAAAUACCUAGUUGAGAAAAAAUAUUCUAGAACCAAUUGGUUAUUGAACCUAAGAUGCUAGCAUUUGACAACUCCAUAAUGGAGACCUCCUUUUGAAACUUGAGCCAAGUCGGAAAUGAAGGACUUAAAUUGCAUAAAUCCAUAUCGAAAGUAGAGAUUUGGAAUGGGAGGACCCAGGUGGCACUAACAUUCAGAACAAGACCUGAAUUUCCACUCAUGCACAACAUCUUCAACUUACUUAACUUUGCAAAAUGUUCUUCAGAAAGAACUCCAAUCAAGUGAUUCCAAGAAACAUAUAGGACAAUUAAUUCAAAAAAUUGUCCAAAGCUAACAGAGACACUCUCAUUUAGUUCAUUCCAUCCAAUCUCCAUAUACUCCAUGAUUACUACUCAAAAAGUGUUCUUUUAUAGCUUGAAAUUAAUUGUUUUAAACACUUUUAAGUAGUAGUUAAUACUUUUUAACUCAAUUGGCACAUUAAGGAACCUAGCAAGGGUUACUAAUCAGUUUUUGGCUAGUUUUGGUGUUUUUAGUAGCUUUUUUAUCAUUGAAACAAGCAAAGAAUGAGGGAGAAUUUUGUGCAAUCCAUGGCAAUGCAAGUUGAAGCUCAAAUACAUGAAGAAUCAGAGUUUUGGAGCACUUCAUAGCCCUUUGCCAAGCUUGGCAAUAGGUUGCCAAACCAAUCAGAGAUGCAAGGAAGAAAUCCAGAGGAAGAAAUCUAACAUGUAGAAAUUUCGCAUGUCUUUGCGAAAAUUUUGCAUAGCAUGUGAAAUCAAGAAGAGGAGCAGCUGUAGGACUGAGUGAAGGACAAUUUUGCAUACCUUGCGAAACCACAAGAUGCAGAAAAAAAUGAAUUUCGCAUGGUCUGCAAAAUCUUCUUGUGCACCGACUCCGUUAGAUUUUUAUCUCUAGAUUUUUUGUGUAAAUUACUAUUUUCUCCUUGUAAUGAACCAAUGAUAGGAUUUCUUGGUUAGGAACUAUAAAGGGGGAUUGGAAAGACCUCUCUAUAGAAUAUCUUUUUGUAUAAUAUUUUGGAUACAAAGGACACGAGUAAUUCCUGUAGGAAGAAAUAUAUAGAGCCCUUGCUCUACCUUUCCUUCUCAUUUUGUUUUCAUUUUUCUUUCUAGCCAAACAACCUCUGAGGAUGAUUUCUCAAGGGAUGAGUGGCUAAGUUUUAUGUUUCUCGGAGUAAUGGAAACUAGGUGAAGGACCCGGAUGCAAAGGUGGGAGUUUUCCUUGCUUUAAAUGAAGGUAGUUGUUAACCAUUAAUGGUUUUUAUUUCAAGGUUUAGCUUUAGAUCCCUUAGAAUCACCUUGAAUGGCCAAUACUUGGUAAGCUUUCCGGAUUUUAUGGAUUCUUAUUGCUAGAUCCAUGGAUGUCCAUUAGUUAUCAAGUACGAGCCAUUGGAAGGUGGUUCAAGGUGAGAAUCACCUUGAAUGGGCAAUACUUGGUAAGCUUUCCAGAUUCUAUGGAUGCUUAUUGCUAGAUCCUUGGAUGUUCAUUAGUUAUCAAGUACUAGCCAUUGGAAGGUGGUUCAAGGUGAGGGUCUUUAGUGUUUAAAGCCAUUAAUGGGAAGCAACUACCAUUUUUUAUGAACCCUUUGGAUCAAAUCUUAAUUGCUAAAUACAAAAACCGGUUUGGGAGAUAAUCAUUCUUUAUGUUAUUGUCCCUAAUGCAAGGAGAAGAUCCGGAAUCUCCCCAUUUGCUUAAAGAACCCAAUCCUAGUGACCUAAAGCUCUAAGAGACAUUCUCUUUGUAGUUAACUUCAAUUGCUAUUUUUGUUUAACUUAAAAUCAACUUUUUCAACCACAAUUCCAUUUUCUUUAAAAGCUAAUUUUCAUAAGGAAAAGCACCAUUUCAUUACCUUCACUAAAGUCAAUUGUACGAAGAAAACUCAUCCCUAUGGAUGAUCCUAAAGCCACUAUACUAUAGUAGCCAUGCUACCCUAGUGUAAGGUGAUUUAGGUUUUAUAAAUUUUGUUGUUAACACCCGUCUGGCGCAAGAAUCAAAUGGUGUCGUUGUUGGGGAUGAAUCAAAUGGCGCCGCUACCGGGGAUGGUGCCAAAGUACAUUGACAUUACUUUUGGUGAACACUUGUGAUCUUCAUCACAAGUUUGGUGAUUUUUCUUUUACUAAUUCUUUUUCUUUGUCUCUAUUUUAGCUUAUCUUUUAUUUAAUUUUUAGUUAACCUUAACCACUUCCUAGAAUUGUAUUUCUUUUGUUUUCUUUGUUUUUGUUUUAGUGAUCUCUAGUUGUGCAUGCCCUAUUGGAUAAGAGAUAUUGAGGGAAGACUUGUGAAGAUUGAAACUCCUCAAGAAACUGAGUUGGAAGUGUGCUUGAACAUCAUGGAUGUUCCAUCUGAAGACCAGAAUACCACUCCCACUGAGCAGCUAGUAAUUCGACCCCACAUUGUGCCACUCCUACCUACUUUCCAUGGGAUGGAAAGUGAGAAUCCCCACUCGUAUAUUAAGGAAUUCGAGGAGGUUUGUAAUACAUUCCAAAAAGGAGGAGGUUCAAUUGACUUGAUGAGGCUCAAGCUAUUUCCUUUCACCUUGAAGGAUAAGGCCAAGAUUUGGCUCAAUUCUCUAAGGUCAAGGAGUAUCCGAACUUGGACUGAUUUGCAAGCUGAGUUUCUCAAGAAGUUCUUCCCUACUCAUUAGACCAAUGGUUUGAAAAGGCAAAUUUCGAACUUCUCAGCUAAAGAGAAUGAGAAAUUCUAUGAGAGUUGGGAGAGGUACAUGGAAGUUAUUAAUGUUUUUCCUCACCAUGGCUUUGACACAUGGUUCUUAGUGAGCUAUUUUUACGAUGGUAUGUCUUAUUCAAUGACGCAACUCCUAGAAACUAUGUGUGGAGGAGACUUCAUGAGUAAGAAUCUGGAGGAAGCCAUGGACUUUUUGAGUUGUGUGGCUGAAGUUUCAAGAGGAUGGGAUGAACCAAAUGCUAGAGAGGUGGGAAGAAUGAAGUCUCAACCUAAUGCUAAGGGUGGAAUGUAUGUCUUGGAUGAAGACAUUGACAUGAAGGCAAAAAUUGCAGCUAUGGCAAGGAGAUUGGAAGAGCUAGAAAUGAAGAAGGUACAAGAAGUGCAAGCCAUUUCUGAGACAUCAGUGUAAGCUAUGCCUUAUUCCAUUUGUCAAUCUUAUGAGCACUUGGUGGAGGAAUGUCCUACCAUUCCAGUAGUGAGAGAGAUGUUUGGUGAUCAAGCAAAUGUUAUUGGUCAAUUCAAGCCUAAUAACAAUGCUUCAUAUGGAAACACCUACAAUUCAAAUUGGAGGAACCAUCCAAAUUUCUCUUGGAAACCAAAGCCACCUUAGUACACACAACCUGCUCAAGCACUUCAGCAAGCCUUGAAUCUUGAACAAACUAUUGUGAACCUUAGCAAGGUUGUGAGAGACUUUGUGGGAGAUCAGAAGUCCAUCAAUGCUCAACUGAAUCAGAGAAUUGACAAUGUGGAGAGUACAUUGAACAAAAUGAUGGAUGGGAUGAAAAAUGAUCUGUCUCAAAAGAUAGACAAUGUCCAAUACGCAAUCUCAAGGCUUACCAACCUCAACACAGUGCAAGAGAAAGGAAAGUUUCCUUCUCAACCUCAUCAAAAUCCCAAGGGUAUCCAUGAAGUGAAGGCUCAAGAGGGAGAAUCUUCAAAGGUGAGGGAAGUCAAAGCAGUUAUCACCUUGAGGAGUGGUAAAGAGGUUCAUCAACCCACAUCCAAGCCAAAGUAUGAUGAAGAGAGUGUAGCAGAAAAAGAAAAGAGUGAGAAAAUUAAAGGAAAGAGAAAAGGGAAAAGUACAAAGAAAGAUGACCAUGAUUCUAGUGUGGAUGAAGAACCCCGAGAGGAUAGUCAUCAAGGAAGAUAUGAUGAAGAAACACAUGCCUCCACCUUUCUCUCAAGCUUUGCAUGGCAAAAAGGGAACCAAUAAUGCAUCAUAAAAUUUUGAAGUGUUGAGGCAAGUGAAGGCUAAUAUCCCUUUGCUAGACAUGAUCAAACAAGUGCCGACAUAUGGAAAAUUCUUGAAGGACUUAUGCACUAUAAAGAGAGGGUUUAAUGUGAACAAGAAAGCCUUCUUGACUGAGUAAGUGAGUGCCAUCAUAUAGUGCAAAUCUUUAAUGAAGUACAAAGAUCCGGGCUGCCCUACCAUCUCAGUGAGUAUUGGAAGGACUUGUGUGGAGAAAGAUUUAUUGGACUUAGGAGCAAGUGUGAAUUUGUUACCCUACUCUGUCUACAAGCAGUUGGGACUUGGAGAGUUAAAGCCAACAUCCAUCACUCUAUCUCUGGCAGAUAGAUCAGUGAAGAUUCCAAGAGGGAUGAUCGAAAAUGUCUUGGUUCAAGUUGACAAAUUCUACUAUCCAAUGGAUUUUGUUGUUCUUGAUACGGAUCCGGUUUUCAAAUGAACUAAUUAUGUUCCUAUCAUACUUGGAAGACCAUUCCUAGUUACAUCAAAUGCAAUCAUCAAUUGUAGGAAUGGAGUCAUGCAACUCAUGUUUAGCAACAUGACAUUAGAGCUCAACAUCUUCCAUUUGUGCAAAAAGUAUAUCCAUCCGGAAAAAGAAGAAGGUCCAGAGGAAGUGUGCAUGAUUGACACUUUAGUGGAGGAGCAUUAUGAUCAGAGAAUGCAGGAGGAUUUGAUUGAGAGUCUUAGGGAUCUUGAUUAAGGGUUACCUGAACCCUCAGAUUUGCUUGCUACCCUGUCUCCUUGGAGAAAGAGAGAAGAAAUUCUACCCUUAUUCAAUGAGGAGGAGACACAAAGAGCUGCUAAGGAGGAGCCCCAAAAGCUUAUUCUUAAGCCACUACCCACAGAGUUGAAGUAUGCAUACUUGGAAGAAGACAAGCAGUGCCCUAUUGUUAUAUCUUCAGCUCUUACCAUUCAUCAAGAGGAUUGUCUACUUGAAGUCCUUAGAAGAUGUAAGAAGGCAAUAGAGUGGCAAAUUUCUGAUUUUGAAAGGGAUCAACCCUUUAGUUUGCACCCAUCAUAUUUACAUGGAGGAUGAAGUUAAGCCAGUUUGUCAACCUUAGAGAAGGUUGAACCCUCACAUGCAAGAGGUGGUGUGAGCUGAAGUUCUUAAGCAGCUUUAGGCCAGUAUUAUCUACCCCAUAUCAGAUAGCCCAUGGGUGAGUCCUACUCAAGUUGUGCCAAAGAAGUUUGGGAUCACGGUGGUGCAAAAUGAUAAGGGAGAAGAUGUCUCUACACGCCUCACCAUAGGUUGGAGGGUGUGUAUCGAUUAUAGGAGAUUGAAUGCAGUGACAAGGAAGGACCAUUUCCCGUUGCCCUUUAUUAAUCAGGUGCUUGAGAGGGUCUCUGGGCAUUCUUUUUAUUAUUUCUUGGAUGGCUACUCCAGGUACUUUCAGACAAAAUUCAUGUUGAAGACAAGGAGAAAACCACUUUCACGUGCCUAUUUGGCACCUAUGCAUAUAAGAGAAUGUCUUUCAGCUUAUGCAAUGCACCUGUAACUUUCCAAAGAUUCAUGUUAAGCAUUUUCAGUGAUAUGGAGUGUAUUAUGGAAGUCUUUAUGGAUGAUAUCACCAUAUAUGGAAGUGCAUUUGAUGAAUGCUUGGUCAACCUAGAAGUUGUUCUGAAUCGAUGCAUUGAGGAAGACUUAGUGCUUAACUGGGAGAAGUGUCAUUUCAUGGUACAACAAGGGAUUGUCCUUAGGCACAUCAUCUCUAAGCAAGGCAUUGAAGUUGACAAAGCAAAGAUUGAACUCAUUGUCAAGUUAUCAUCCCUAACAAAUGUCAAAGGAAUAAGGCAAUUCCUUGGCCAUGUCGGGUUCUAUAGGAGGUUUAUCAAGGAUUUCUCUAAGCUUGCAAGGCUUCUUUUUGAACUAUUGGUGAAAGAUGCCAAAUUCAUAUGGGAUGAUAGAUGUCAAAGGAGUGUGGACCCGCAUUUUUCACGUGCGUCCCCACUCGAUCGGCGAGACUUGCUUUUUAUUUGUGAAAAAUUAAUUUUAAAAAAAAGUUGGAGUCACCACCUAUUUUAUUUUUAUUUUAAAGGGAAAAUAAAACAAGAAAGAAAAACCCUAAAAAGUGACUCCAUAGUUUUGGAAAAAGCAUGUCUUUGAGAAACCUAAGUCUAGGUUUGGGGAUCAGGUUACUUAUUGGGAAGGUACCUCUAGGAGGUAGCACCCCUCUAAGCCCUAAAAGGUCUCUACUGACUAAGUUAAGGGAAGCAUGACAAUUAAAUGGUUGAUCAUGGAUACCUAAGUAGGCUAGGUGAUUUCAAAAAAAGUUGCAUGCUAAACAAGAUCAAAUCACAAUAAAGGAGAGUUAGGGUGCGUACCUGAACCGCUUCUCAAGCGCUAUCAUGAAACAUAAGAGAUUAGUUUGGAAAUACGACACAUUAUAUGUAUUUUAUCAAAGAUGAUUAAACAAACAUCAAAGCAAUCAAUCAUGCCAUCAAACAGGAUCAUAGCUCAUGAUAACGUACACAUUCAUAGAAUUUUAGAGUUUGUAGGGUGGGAAGAGCAUACCUGAUUAGUGAGCAUCCACACGUCUUAUGGGAACAAGGGCAUCUCAACAAUAAAUAUUAAUGAAUUCAAGUAUUUCGUCAAGCAGAAUCAAAAAUCAACAUAUCUAGCAAACAAUAGUGAUGAAAAUAUCAUGAAUGUCGGGCCCCCACCAAAGCCCUAAUUAAUUUCGCAUGAGUUGAUUCCAUAAAUUCCAUGACUUGGAAUUAUGAAGUUUUAUUCAUGCUUACUGAAAAUCAAGAAAAUCACGAAAAUAGUUAAAAAUCAAAGAAAACAGUGAAAGUGCAUACCCGAAGUAAAGUGGUAGCAAAUUGUGUGUUAAAAUUCGGAUUUUGUACCUAGAAGCUUCUAAAGAAGUUUAAAGAAAACUGGAGUUAUUUUGACAUAGAAUGGUUUUGAAAUCUGGAUUUAAGAUGUAUAAAAUCACAAAAAGAAGAAAAAAAACAAUAGAAGGAGUAUGAUGUGUGGUGAGGUGGCCAAACUGGAUUAGUGUCUAAGCUACUUUUGAGACUGAAUUACUUGGGUUGCCUGAGGAUGUUUCUGUAGAUUGCUGAAAUGGAAUUCUGCGUUCUUACAUCAGUGGUCGCUGUAUGCAAACUCAAUUCACUCAAAACAACUGUGGAGAAAUAAAUUUCACCGCCAUCUCUUCCUAAAGUUCCUGCCCACUGGCAUCACAACCCAAAUCAGAUUAGUGCACUCCAGUUGAUGUCUUCCAAUAUUUCUUCUAAUUCAGGUUCAGAGAAUGACAAGAAGUCAUUUGGAUUCACCACAUUGGAGAAAGUAGAACCAUUAUCAUCAUCCUAAAGAUGGCAGAAAAGAGGAAAUGCUGGCGGAAAAGCAAUUUCAGCUUAUCAUCUGAUCUGGAAACAUGCAUGAGCAAUUUCUCUUAUAUUAAUAUCUGAGUUCUAUUUCCGUUGUCAACUUGCUCACAAACAGUUUUCUUCAAUUGAGUACUUGCGUCCUGAUUGAUAUUCUGAUGUUCGGUUUCCCGAAUAAAUUUUCAUUCUUCUAGCAUAUCAAAUUGCCUAUGGUCAGAAAUUAACCUUCAGUCAAUAAGAUUCAGCAACUUCUUUGCAUGUGUGAAGGUAAAUGAGUAGUAGGCUAAGGACUUUCUGAUGGAUUCUGCAUUUCUGGAUUUUCGAGAGUGGCCGCCAAGAAGACACCAGGCUCCAUCAUUGAUGUUAUGGUUUCUGAGCCUUCUUCAGUCUACUCUCUAUGAGCAACAGAUACUUUCUGACUGCAAGUAUUAAUACUCAAGUGCCUGCUGCGAUUUUCUCCUGGAUCAUCAAAAAACAAUAUUGAGCCUAGUACAAUUUUCAGGACCUCAGCUUACAAUCCCUUAAAGAACCCUGACACCCUUUUUCUAUUCUAAAUAGCGUAAAGAACACUGUGUCCUGCUUUAUGGGAUUUCUAUGGAGUUUUGUUGGCUUCAUCAUCAUUUGAGUCUGCUGCUUGAAUCAUGACCUUACACCAGAUUGCUGACGAUACUCUUUGACAUCACACCUAACAUGAAAACCGAGAGGGCAGAAAGGGUUUCCGGGGAUGAGCCCUUCUCUGUUAUGUUUUGAUUCCUCUUCAGGCAUCUUUGCUUCGGCUGAUCAAAUACUGUAUACUUAAUUGCAGGGGUUCAUGGUCAGAAGAAGAGAAAUUCCAAGAUCAUCAAAGGCUUCACUCCAAGUUUAAGCUGUCAGGUUUUGUCAGAUUGUUUUGUUGUGGCAUGUUUGAGAUACUUUCAGCAAGCUUCCUGAAUGCAAUAGCAGCAGAGAACACCUCCAAGGCUUGUCAGAUGAUGGAUUAUCAGUACAACUAUACACCAUGUUCGGGAUACCUGUAAGCUAUGAUACCUAUCCAUAGGCAAUUGGGUAAUUCAAGAUUUUCAUCAAUGAGUAUAGCUGGAAGUGGGGCAGCUUCUGGUCUCGAGAAACUCCUCCAAAGGGGUUCAGAUUCUUAUAAUUGCUUGUUCUUUUCACUAGCUGUUAGGUAAGCGCCUCCGGCUUCCUGUAAACUCAACCUUCACACUUGGCAGCUCAGGAAUUAGCAUUUCCAGCCGAAACGCCAACUUUAUCGAUAUGUAAUCGAACCAAGAGAAAUCACUUCUCUCACAGCAAAAGGCUUAACUACAAAUUCAGAAAACAGGAUCGUUUCCGGUGUCAAAUAAGACUUCUCGGGAGUCAUAAUAGAGGAGAGAAAUAUGGUGAUUCGAGUUUCAACUUAUUCAACUCCUAUUGGACGGAUUUGGGGACAGGUCUUUCUGAUAAUUUGUGGAUCUCAGUAGCAAGAAAACUAGAGUGCUAGCAUGAAGAGUAUGACCAUCACCUGCGUUGGGGAUUUCUAAACCAGAAUUCACCAUCUCACAAUUAUUGGACUCAUCAUCCAUUCCUGAAGAUAUAUCAGAAUUCCUAGGCUCAAAUGGUGAACUGUACAGAUUUGCAAGUAUUUCAAGACUGCCUAGGCAUUGCCAAUCACUAUGCAAGUCUGUAGACAAAGUGACCAAUUCUGGCAUUCUUUCCACCUGUCCACUGGAAGUGCCAAUUCUAUCACUGAUUUUUGUACCAUCAUGCACAUUUGAUAUCUCAUUUGGCACAAGUGACUGAAUUGACAUAGGUUCACGUGCCUCUAAACACUCACCUACUUCUUAAAAAAAUUCUGGGGGUUCCUCUAGAAAAUGGACUAUGCACGUACGUGUGUUCUGUGAAAAUCAAAACUGUGCGUGGACUUCUUCAUGCGGCUGUGAAGACUUCCCGAAGUGGCGUGUUUCUGUUAGUGCGUGGUCCCCAUGGGAGUGCAGGCUGCCCCUCAAUCCGUGCUCUUGGAUUUCAAGUGUCCAUCCAAAGUGGCAACAUGAGAUGUUUGUUUCUCUUCCCAUUGUUUUCUGAGCAGGUUCUCAAACCUUUGGUGUCAUAUCCCAAGCUUCAUCCCAUCCAAGUCCUUCAUCAUUCAUCAGUAAUCGCGUCAAUUCUGGGAUUGCAAGGGUAGGAUGCGUAUCAUUCGAAUGUACUGCUAUCUUGUUGGGAAAUUCAGACCAUUGCCAUGAGUCCUCGUCUUUCCUCUCCAUGAAUCUGAAAAUAAUGUCUUGAAGUGGAGCAUUGCAUAGGAAAAAAUGUUGCUUUAGUCGCGAGAGCUUUCCAAUUUCGGUGUAGAGAAGUCAGCUGCAUCUUCCCAAUCAUCUGGCUUGGCCUUAGGCUGAUCAUCUUUAUCGCUUCCUAUAACAUCUUCUUGACCAGCAUCGGCACUGACCCGUUUUUCAUUACCAAUAGAAGUAUUUUCUGAAGAGAUGAUUAGUUUCCUUCCUCUCCUCUGGACCCUUAUAUGCCAUGUAAAGAUUAGAGGUUGUCUCAGCAGCGUCAGCUUUCUGAAGAAUUUCCUUCCUCGAGAUGCGAUCAAGACUAUUCUUGAUGUCAGCCAGCAGUUUUCCCUUAAGAAUUCUACACAUUUCAACUUGUUGUCUGGUCUUAAAAUUGUGUUCCCUCGAGCCUGCUAUAACAUUGAUCCGCAUGGCCAAUGGUGAAGCAAACCGUUUUCUGCAUUCAGUCCCAUCACUGUUUCUAAUAAAAUUCCCAUGUGACAAAGAUCUAGCAUAGACACAGCACCAUCCUUUACAACUAGCUCAGACCAGAUAUCCUCAAGCCAUGACUGAAUCAACCUUGUACAUCGUAAAAGCUAGGACUUCAUGCAAUGGAAAUCAUGGGCUAUAACCAUGAAAACUUCAUUGAAGGCGGUAUGAUCCUCUGCAACAAUAUGCUCUAUUUCCAGAACCAUGCUUCUUGUUUCUGUCAAAUCUGAAGCAACCUGCCUUUCAAGGUUUUCAUAUUGCUAAUUCUUCAAAUCGUUGGAGGGUUGCAAGCUUUGUACCCCACUAAUUAAACUACCCCUCUCUUUCUUCAACCUUUCUAUCUCAAGCUUCAUUAUUUCAUUUGUUAUCAUUAGUCCAUUGAUCAUAAUAUCUGCUUCUUUCGUUGUGUCUUUUGCCUCUUCAAAUGUAGAAAGAAAAACAGGGAGCCUCUGCAAUUUUCUGAGCUGCAACUAUCUUUGCAUCACCAUCUUGAGUCUAGAUUGUUCUUAGCCUUUCUCCGUUUGUGAUCAAAUAUUGUGUCUUCAGUCAUGAUUUGGGAUGUGCUCUCUAUUCGUUCAGGAAGAUCAGCUCUGUCGUCCAUGAAGUUCGUGAUGGCUACUAGUUGCAGAUUGGUAUCUUGUAGUUGGAUUUUUGCUGAUACCAGGUCCUUUCAGUUCAGCCUCUCUAGAAUAUAAAAAAUGGACUGACCAGGGUCCGUCUUGGAAUUUUUCUACUCUCUGCCUCUUCCAGAACCUCUGUGACAUGGAAUUCAAGCUGCUGUUCAUGAGUGCACCUUCUUGUGAGAGUCAACGCCUAUUCAUUAUCUUCAGUUUCAAUAGCAGGUGAACCUUCUUCUUCCGUCUCUUCAGCGUGCUAAAAGUCUUCUAAAAAAAAAUCCCUUUUUUUGCUAUCUUUUUUCUUCUCCCUUCCCUCCAAAACCUUCCAAGGAGAGUCCCACUUUCCUUAAACUCCCAUGGUAAGUUUCCUUGCAAAAACAUGAAAUUUUAGAAGUUAAAUAAUUGCAUGAAUAGAUAAAUAAGUAAAUAAAUUAGAAAAUGGUAAAAAUAAUAAAUAAAUAAAUAAGUUAAGGAAAAUAAUAUAAAGAGGAAGAUAACCAAUAAGAAGUGAAUGAUGAUCAUAAAACUAAAACUAAAAAUAAAAAAAUAAUAAUAAAAAUAAACAAAUUAACAAAAAAAAUGGGCCCUACGAGCCAUGCAAACACGUAGGUCAUAUAAGUCACGCUAAAAAAAAAGUCUUAAUAGGCCUAGUGUGCCUAAAUGGGCCUAGGGUGUCUAAGUGGACCUAAGUAGAUUACCCUAAAAGCUAUCCUAAAAAUGAAUGAAAAGUCUAAGUCUAAAUUAAGGCUGCCAAGGGUCACAAUAAGGGGUCAGAUAAUCCCUCGACCAAAAUCUCCGAGGUGGCUCAAAAAAAGGUAAGUAGUAUGAGUAGCAAUGGGCUACCAAGGAACUACAGUGGAGCACUGAAAACAAAUUUAAAAAAACAUGUGCUAAAGGGACAAAAUUGAGGGUCUAUAAGGAGUUUUGAAGAAUUGAAGCUAUUUUUGAAAACAACACCAAUAGUGAGGGCUCCCAACUAGCAACUGUCUUUUGAGGUAAUGUGUGAUGCCAGUGACUUUACCAUAGGAGCUGUGCUUGGGAAAAGAGAAGAUAGAAAACCCUAUGUGAUCUACUACACGAGCAAGACAUUGAAUGAGGAGCAAACAAACUACAUAACCACCGAGAAAGAAUUGUUAGUUGUAGUUUUUGCCUUGGAUAAGUUUUGUGCUUACUUGGUGGGGUCCUUCAUUGUGGUUUUCACUGAUCACUCUACUUUGAAGUAUAUGUUGACUAAGCAAGAUGUUAAAGCAAGGCCGAUUAGAUGGAUCCUCUUGCAUCAAGAGUUCAAUCUCCAAAUCAAAGACAAGAAAAUAAUGGAAAAUGUGGUAGCAGACCACCAUUCAAGGCUAGCUAUCGCACAUAAUUCCCAUGGUUUGCCCAUCAAUGACGAUUUUCCAGAGGAGUCUCUCAUGUUGGUGGAAGUUGCUCCUUGGUAUACUCACAUUACUAACUACCUAGUCACAGGAGAAGUUCCAAGUGAGUGGAAAGCACAAGAUGAGAAACACUUCUUUGCUAAAAUUCAUGCCUACUAUUGGGAAGAGUCAUUUCUAUUCAAGUAUUGUGCGGAUCAAAUAAUAAGGAAGUGUGUUCCUGAAGAAGAGCAACAGGGGAUCCUCAGUCAUUGCCAUGAAAAUGCAUGUAGAGGCCACUUUGCUUCUCAAAAGACAGCCAUGAGGGUGUUGCAAUCGGGUUUCUAUUGGCCAUCACUUUUCAAAGAUGCCCACACCAUGUGCAAGAGUUGUGAUCGAUGCCAGAGGGUUGGGAAGUUGACACACAAGAACAUGAUGCCUUUGAACCCCAUUUUGAUAGUUGAUCUUUUUUAUGUUUGGGGCAUUGACUUCAUGGGAUCAUUCCCUAUGUCUUUUGGCUACUCUUACAUCUUGGUGGGAGUAGAUUAUAUUUCUAAGUGGGUUGAGGCAGUCCCAUGCAAGCACAAUGACCAUAGAGUGGUUCUCAAGGAGAACAUCUUCUCAAGAUUUGGGGUGCCCAAAGCCAUAAUUAGUGAUGGGGGUACUCAUUUUUGCAACAAGCCUUUUGAAACUCUCCUAGCCAAGUAUGGGGUGAAGCAUAAGGUAGCUACACCUUACCACCCUCAAACUAGUGGGCAAGUUGAGUUAGCAAACCAAGAGAUUAAAAACAUAUUGAUGAAGGUGGUGAACACGAAUAGAAAAGAUUGGUCUAUCAAGCUCCUUGAUUCACUAUGGGCAUAUAGAACAACUUACAAGACCAUUCUUGGGAUGUCUCCUUAUCGCCUAGUCUAUGGCAAAGCAUGUCAUCUCCCUGUGGAAUUGGAAUACAAGGCUUGGUGGGCAAUCAAGAAACUCAACAUGGAUUUGAGCAGAGCUGGGAUGAAGAGGUUCUUAGACCUCAAUGAGUUGGAGGAACUGAGAAAUGAUGCCUACAUCAAUUCAAAAAUUGCAAAAGAGAGAUUGAAGAGGUGGCAUGAUCAGUUGGUUUCUCGUAAAGAUUUUCAAAAGAGACAAAGAGUCUUGCUCUAUGACUCUAAGCUCCACAUCUUUCCGAGCAAGCUGAAAUCAAGGUGGAUAGGUUUUUUUACCAUUCACCAAGUGCAUUCAAAUGGAGUAGUGGAACUACUCAACUCCAACAAGACCAGUAGUUUCAAAGUGAAUGGCCACCAUCUCAAGCCCUUUGUGGAGCCUUUUUCUCGUGACAAGGAGGAAUUCAUCCUCCUUGAUCCACAUCAAGCUCGACAAGACCAGUUUUUGAAUGGACUUAGUCUUUCUAAACACUAUCAAGUCCAUAUCUUUUUGUUUUAUUUUUUAUUUGAGAGUUUUCUUGUAUUGUAACUUGUUUUGAUUCUGAUUUCUCAUUUAAUUUCAUUUUGGUUUGAUUUAACUUAGGUUUUUGAUGAUCAAUUUCAGGGGGGGACUUCAAAGCAGUUGGGCAUGUCCUUAAAGAUUCUUGGCAGAGGAAAAACCCUGAAGAAAAAAAUUCACCAAGGCAUUUCACACACCCUUGCGAAAAUUUCGCAGGGUAUGUGAAACCCUUCUCAAAUAGUAAGACUCCAUUUCACUCAAGAUGUACCACUUCCUCCCUUUAUUUUCAAUUGCUCUUGACACAUUGAUGGCAAUGUUGAUCUUGGUUGGGGGAAGAGUUGACGAAGGAAGUAUUGUUAAUAAUGCUAGGUUAAUUUGUUAAUUUAGUUACUUUUUACUUAAUUUUAAAAGUUUUUACUCUACUCUCCAUGGUUAUUAAGGAAAAAUUCUCAAAAUGAAAUGGGAGAAAUUGAGUUCUUCCCUUUUUACUUGAAUCUUAGAGUUUGUAUCAUGUUUAUUGAGGUUGAUGAAUUAUUGAAACUCCUAUUGAAUUCAACCUUAUUUCUUCCACUUUAAUCUUACCACACACUGUGCAUACUAGGUUCCAAUUAUAAGAAGAAAAAAAACUAUCUCACCCCCUGAACUUAGAAAAAUUUCAACUUGGUACCUUUGACCUCGUUUUAAUAGUGUUGGGACACCUUAUAAAAGGCCAAUGACCCUUAAAAAAAAAAUAAAACAACAAAGUGUUUCACUUGCCUUGAAACCCGAGCAAGGUCUGAGGGGUAUAUGGCUGAAGUCUUUAAAACCCGGUGCCCUAAGCCUUUAUUGGUUGGGAGUCACCGACCUCAAUGCUCGUUACAAGGGUGAAUAGGUGGAGUUUAACUUAUUGUAGGUGCUUGGGUAUUGAAUUUCAAUCUCAAAAAUCCAGGGUGAAAUAUGAGGAGGUAGUGGUCGAAAGAUCCUUAAAGCUUGAUGCCCUAAACCUUGAUUGGUUGGGAGUCAUCGAUGGAUCCCCGUUACAUGGACACUUUAGAAAACAAUACCUUUAGCAUUGCACUCCUACAAUGAAAAAAAAAUAUAUGAAAUAAAAUAGGUGCAUUCUUAGCCUAUUGGAGAUUGGUUAGUUUGCUAAGGUUUGAGAAAGAACUAGGUUGGUGGGAGAGAAUAGUUCGACAUACUAUAUCGGAAACUAAUAAGCUUAACACUUAGAUUUUUGUGGAAGAGUAAGGAUUGGACCUUUGGGAGUGGAAAUUCUUUUGAUGCUUGAAUUUUCAUAAUGUCUACUCUUUAUAAAUUGUGAUUAAGCAAGAUAUUUGAUGACUCUUGUUGAAGGUUGGGUUUUGCCUCUUUGAUGUUCCAUGAGAGAGUAUGAUCUGCAUCAUGCCACUUAAAUUUUUUUUGAAGUGAUUAGCAUGAUUUUGUAAAUUAUUUUACUAUCUAUUUUUCUUUAUCUCUCCUUCAUUGCUAAGGGACUAGCAAUGUGUCGGUUGGGGGGAGUGAUUACUACUCAAAAAGUGCUCUUUUAUAGCUUGAAAUUAACUGUUUUAAACACUUUUGAGUUGUAGUUAAUACUUUUUAACUCAAUUGGUACAUUAAGAAACCUAGCAAGGGUUACUAAUCAGUUUUUAACUAAUUUUGGUGCUUUUGGUAGCUUUUUUAUCAUUGAAACAAGCAAAGAAUGAGGGAGAAUUUUGUGCAAUCCAUGGAAUUGCAAGUUGAAGCUCAAAUACAUGAAGAAUUCGAGUUUUGGAGCACUUCAUAGCCCUUUGCCAAGCUUGGCAAUAGGUUUCCAAACCAAUCAGAAAUGCAAGGAAGAAAUCCAGAGGAAGAAAUCCAGCAUGUAGCAAUUUCUCAUGUCUAUGCGAAAUCAAGAGGAGGAGGAGCUGCAAGACUGAGUGAAGGAUAAUUUCGCACACUAUGCGAAAUUUCGCAUGGUCUGCGAAAUCUUCCUGUGCACCGACUCCGUUAGAUUUUUAUCUCCAAAUUUUUGUGUAAAUUACUAUUUUCUCCUUGUAAUAAACCAAUGAUAGGAUUUAUUGGUUAGGAACUAUAAAGGGGGGUUGGAAAGACCUCUCUAUAGAAUAUUUUUUUGUAUAAUCUUUUGGAUACAAACGACACGGGUAAUUCCCAUAGGAAGAAAUAUAAAGAGCCCUUGUUCUGCCUUUCCUUCUCAUUUUGUUUUCAUUUUUCUUUCUAGCCAAACAACCUCUGAGGAUGAUUUCUCAGGGGAUGAGUGGCUAAGAUUUACGUUUCUCGGAGUAAUGAAAACUAGGUAAAGGACCCGGAUGCAAAGGUAGGAGUUUUCCUUGCUUUAAAUGAAGGUAGUUGUUAACCAUUAAUGGUUUUUAUUUCAAGGUUUAGCUUUAAAUCCCUUAGAAUCACCUUAUAUGGCCAAUACUUGGUAAGCUUUUCGGAUUCUAUGGAUGCUUAUUGCUAGAUCCAUGGAUGUCCAUUAGUUAUCAAGUACGAGCCAUUGGAAGGUGGUUCAAAUAAAAUUUAAACUAAUUCAUAAGACCUUUGACCAUAGUGUAAUUGUCUUCUUAAAAUAAUAGUAGUAUUAUAAUUUUAAUAAAAUAAAUGGUUAACAACCCACAGCCAUGUUAGGUUGGCUGAAGAAGGUGUUUCUCUUUUUAGUCACUUGUUUAUGCUAUGGUGUUCAUGCCUCUUGCUCGUCAUAAUUUUAAUUUGAUGUAUUAAGUGUUAGGAAAGAAUCCGCAAUGGAUCAUACUAUCACAUCAAAGGAUAUCAAAUCCCUUAAUUCAAGCUUCUCCAAAUAUAUCUACAUAAAUUAUGAUUAUCAUGUAUAUAAGGAUAUAUACAUAAAUUGGAAUCUAUAUCUUAUGAUGCAUAUUUUUAUUCCAUCAAUUUCAUUGAAUCUUGUUAAACUCGGAAAUAUAACUGUUUGGAAGGAGGUAUGAAGUUUUCUAGGAAUUUACAUCAUCUUUUUAUGAAGUUGACUAAUUUAAAAGAACUUUAAACAAGGAAAAGUUUUUCGUGUGUCCAACGAUACAAUUUUACCCAAGUGGAGUUUUUAUGGAUGUCAAUUUUCUAGGGAAAUUGAUUAAUCAUGAAAAUUGACCUGCCAUGGUGAAAAUUAAUCCUUAGAUUUAAUGGAAAGUUACUAGUAUGUAUCCCGCAACUAGGAAUCUAGUCUAGUCCAAUCAAUAGAGUACUUAUGUUUGGUUAAGAAAAAAAUAAGGAAAAAAAUACUAAAGAAAGAAAAAGAAAAAAAUAUUAAAAUAUUUUUCUUUCUAUUUUCUUUUAAAAGGGUAGAGAAAGUACAUUCAUUGGAAAUUUAGUUUUUUUUUCCUUUGAAUUACAAUCAAAUAACAAAAUAAUUUUAUAUUCUUUUUUUUUCUAGUACCAAAAUAUAAGAAAAUCACCCUUUUAGAUUUUUUUUUUCCUAUAAAGUUCCAAGGAAUAAUAAAAAAAAUUUCAAUGUUCUCAUUGUAAAUCUAUGUUUAGUGUAAAAUUUUGUUUAUAAAUGAGGAUUCGUCAUCAAUUUAAUUGGAAGAUGAAAACAAAAUUAUAUGAGAAAUUGUUACACAAAUCAUGAGAUUGAACAAUUAAAUUGGGAAGUUCAUGUACAAUUACCUCAAUCCUUAGGUCUUGCAAGUCAAUAAGAAGGCUUCAUAAUAUUUGGAAUUUAAAUAAAUUUAUUCUCAUAAGAUAGUUAAAAAAUCAACAAAUUUUCUUGAUGAACACAUUCAAGUUAUUAGAAUAUUGUUGUACGUCCAUGCGUAGGUUACAAUAAAAACAUUUAAUAAUUUCAAAUUAAUGUCAAAUCACUUUGCAUAUUUCAUUAGUUUUAUAAAAUUAAAUAUAUGGCUUGUUAUACACCAUUUCAGACAACAUAGUCAUGAAAUCUCUGCUUUUCCUUUUUGAUUUGUUAUAAAGCUAGUUUGUUUCCUCAAGAAAAAUAUAUUUGAUCAAAUUUCAAAAAGAAAUAAAAAAUAAAAAAUAAAAGAUUGUGGAUCCGCAUUUUUUUGCAUGUGUUCUCAUUUGAUGGUAAUACUUACUUUUUAUUUGAAAAUUUGAUUUUUUUUUUUUUAAAUGGUUUUAGAAUUGCCAUUUAUUUUUAUUUAUUUUUAAAGGAAAAAUAAAAUAAAAAAGAAAAAUCUUAAGUAUGACUCAUGAUAAAAAAAAAAAUGUGGGUCUGUGAAAAUCGAAUUUGGGUCUGAGGUUAGAUUAUCUAUCAGGAAGUUACGGUAAUAAGUUGUAGCACCCCUUCUAAGCCCUAACAAUAAGUCUCUACUAAUCAAGUUGGGCAAGCAUGACAAUUGACUAAUCAAUUGAUGGAUAUCGAGGAAUGAAAGUCAUAGAAUGCAAGCAAAUCAAGCACAAGAAUGAAUAAAUAAGCAAGAUGGAGAUGGGAGCAUACUUGAGCGACGAACGAGCGUUCAUAUGGAAACAGGGUUAGUGUACAAGUAUAGAGUAAUCAUGUGUAUAUCACAAAGCAUAUCAAAGUCAAUCAAUAUUCAAUCACAGAUGUUGGGCCGCCCCGCUAAAACCCAAUUUAUCUGCAUGAAUUAAUUCUCUAAAAUUCCAUUAUUUUUGGAAUUAUAUAUAGAAUCUAUUCAUGCUUAUUAAAAAUCAAGAAAAUUGAAAAAUUAUUAAACAUCAAGGAAAUUUGUGAAAGAUGUUUGGCAGGGAGAAAAAUUGCAGCAAAUUUAUUAAAAUUGGGAUUUUAUUGCUUAAAAGAGUCUAAAGAUGAAUUUUUUAAACCUAGGUUUAUUUUAGUUGAAAACAGUUUUUAAAUUUCAAUUUAAAAACCUGUAAAUUCUCACCAAGAUAGGAGAAGCAUACCUAGAGGAAGGAAGGUGGUCAUGCAGUAGGAAAAAGAAGCACAAGUGGGAAUGGGAGUAGAAUGGUGCUGGUAAUGUUGAGGUUAAGAAGUGGACCCAGUGCAGCUUCAGAGAGAACAGGGACUCUUCCUUUUCCGUAUCUUCUUUGUCUUCCGCUGCGUUUUUGACUUCCACACCUUCAUACCCAAGCAACCCAUUGACAGAUUCUGUUCAAGGCAUUGCCGAACACCUUCCAAAAUUUGAGGUGCCCGCAAGUUCUGGUACCUCUGAGUCGCAUUCUCACUAGUAGCCACCAUGAGUCACUGGCACAGAAGUUUGAACUCUUUGGGUGGUGAUGUUGGGCACCAGAUUACUAACAGUGAGUUCCGUACUUCUAAAAUUAGUUUCCUUCUUCUGGUGCGUGCCAGUCACUGAGGUCACCUGCAACUGAUCCAGAUUUUAUUGAAAGUCCCACAUUGACUGCUUCUGCUUCGUCAACUUCAUGUUGAUGAUCUGCCGGAUUGCUUUCCUUUUGGUCUUAUAUUGCCAGAUUAAAUCCUGCACAAAGCUUAACCACGAGUCUUCCCACUCUCAAAUGUAAGCUCCAGAUCAUUCAGUAAGAAAGCGAGAUGUUCUUGAGAAUUAUGCUGAGCAAGUUUUCCCUUAAACACACGUGGUGCAUCUGGUGUCCAGUCAGAGGACCAUAAUUUCUUCAACAACUCAACAAAAGCAAGUGCAAGCUCACCAUUCACUCCCAAUGGAUUUUGUUUGUUGAUCUCUUCAGCAUAGUCUUGCAAGAAAUGCCCAACUACAGGAUCCCAUAUCUCAUCACUUGAAGCAAUAUUCUGACAGCAUGUAUCAAGGAUCACAUCUUCAUACCAACUGAAUUCAACAGAUUUCACAUUGGAAGCCCACAUUGUCUUCACCUCGUCAUAGAACUUGCUGAACGAGAGGUAGGAAGAACAAUAUUGCUCCAAUACACAGCUUGCGUGCUCCUUAAAUUCCCUAGGCUUGCAGAAGACGCUUGGGGAAUGCUGUUGAUAGCUUCACCUACCCAAUUUGCAUCCACAUCGUGUACAAGGACCACGACUGCUUAAGAUGAUAACACUGGUCUUAAAAGAUGAACCACGGACUUCCUGAACCUGGCUGCCCCACAGGCAACUUCAAUCCUUUAGCUUUCCUGCCCCGAUCCCGAACACCAAUCCUCCUAUACUGUUUGCACAAGCCUUAAGAGAUUCCGCCAUUUUUCCAUUUCAGAAACUUCUUGCUUUGCCACUUCAUUGGAAUUGUGACUUCUUUAAGCCCAUUCAGGACAUACAUUUAGCUGUUAGCAUUGGCCCGAUACCGGUAGUGGAAUUCUCAUACUCUUCCUCUUGUAACCGCUGCCACUCUCCUGUACUCGCUUAAUCUUGAGGAUGCAUAAACACAUCUAGGAACCCUUUGGAAAGAUGACUUCCUCAAGAGCAACUAAGCCUCCCUGAACAAUGAAGUGAAACUCAUGGUGACGAGUUCCAAGAUAACUGGCAAUCAAAAUGAGAACAAAUUGACUCACUGGCUCUUUGCUAUUUAAGUCAAUCAGAUCUUUCUAAGUUCUCAUUUUUAUUCAUUUCCUUGCUCUUCUUUUUGCGAUCAAACUCUCUAGCCUUCUGUUCAUUUCUAGCUCGGAAGUCCCAAGAUCCAUGAGAUUCUUCUGAUCAUCCUCUGUCCACUCAACAACCUUAUACCCAUAUUCAUCCCCUUCAUCUUCAUCUUCAUCUUCUGCUUCUUCUGCACUUUCCGCUUCCAACUUACUGCCACGACCAUCGAUAAACUUGUGACAGCGAUCAUCAAAAACCAUCACCCAAUUCAGAAACUAGUCUCUCAUCAAACCUCUGGACUUCUUCUGCAUCAUGCCCACUGAGAGAGAAACUGUCUUCUCCUUCCAGAUUAGAGCACUUUUCUACUUCUCAACACUCUUGAUGUCACUAACAACAACAAUUUAACGCAUGUUCGGAACAGCAAAACACCCAAAUAGAGGAUAUUUGGAGAAAGUCUUCACUGCCGUGGGUUUGAUGAGAAUCAUCUUAACAAAAUCAGAAUCACCAUCUUCCAAAAACUCGGGCUCCUUCUCAAGUUCCUGGCCAGAACACCUGUCAACCGGAACAUCCAAGUAUGGGACUUCUUUUCCCAAAGCCGAACUGAUUGUACUUCUGACAGAAAGUAUGACCAACUGUAUCAAGAAACAAACUACCAACUCCUCCAUGAAAAGAAACCAAGUCCACAGUCCACGGGAACAACAAUCCUCCUCGGGCUUAGAGAAAAUCUGUGGCUCUUCCUCAACUCAAAAUUCUAGGAAUCAAUUGCAGAAGAACAAGUGACUCCACAAUCAAGACCCCAGACCAGACCGUAUCGGCCAUGCAUGGCCAUGCAGAAGUGUACACGUGGAGGUAAUAAGGUGCUUAUAGGCAUUGAUGUUGAAGCUGUCCCAACCUCCAAUGACUUCCAUGGUUUAAUUUUUCAAUUCUUCCCAUCGUGAAUAGCAAGGAUUUUAGUGUCACUAAAAUGAACCACUUGUCGGAUUUUGGGUAUGGAAACAAAUGACUAGCCCAAAAGACCCAAACAAAAAAUAGAAGUAAUACAAAGAAAAACUUAUCGACUGAGGCAUGAUAAACACUGUUCUUGAAACAGAUCCACCAUCUUCGAAGACAAACUCAAUGCACUAGGGUACCAGUGGUCUACCUCUAGGAUUCAAUAGUCAAAUUCUGCAAGCGAGAUGUAUAUAGUUCGAGUUUUGAAAAAAUUCCUCCAGAUAGAUGUAUAAAAAGGCUCCUUGAAAAACUCUAAAAAUAUUGAUAUUCGUAUAUAGAGAGUGAGGGGUGGCCUGCUUUUAUAGGGCACUAACACAGUCCCAAUGGGACUCUACUUGUAAUGAGAACAUGACUCAAAAUGGAAGGAGAAUCUACUUAUAAGUGGAAUGGGACUCCACUAGCACAAUCCCAAUAGGACUCUUCCCAAAAAUGUAAGACUAAUAGAAUAAAAUAAAAUAAAAAUAAAAAUUAUGUACACUUUUCCUACAAUCCCCCAUAGAGUGUAAACGUAUUUAUUUAUUUAUUUAUUUAUUUAUUAUUAUUAUUAUUAUUUGAAGAAAAAAUAAUCCAAUGCAUCAGUACCGGUGCCCAAAGGCUAUGAACCAGUCUUAGGACAAAUAAGUAUUGAAUCACAAUACAUGGUGAAAAUAAACUUCUAUGAACUAGUGUUUCUUGAUGUAACUCAAGGGGCUUUUAUCCACAUUGGUUUUCUAAACUACACUACGAGUUAUACAAAACGGGUUGGCACAAAUAGACCAUGCGCCCUGCCUAGAUAUUCAUGAGAGCUCUAGAGAAUCUGCCUAGGUUCUCAUAGGAAGCAACCCCACCUCCACUCUCAUAUAGGUGAAUCCAUCAAGUAUGUUCCACAUUUAAACAUACCAUCCAUAAGAAAUAUGCUAUUCAUUAAGAGUAAACACUCAACCUUAAUCAAUACAGAAUACGCUCUAUCUACACCAUAGGGAUAGACUCUCAUACAAUUAGAGUUGAUAGAGCACCUCAAGUCAACAAGUGAUUUGUUAUUACCCAUAUGAACCUACUUCAUGGAAUUUCCAUUCUAAUAGGUUGGGUUACAACCACACUUGACUUCUGUAAUAAGCAUAAGCCCCAUCCCCCUUGAUGUUUCUUCUACUAGUUUUUUUUUUUUUUUUUUAAUUUAGUGGUUUGGUCAAAGGAUCAACUAAAUUCAACUCUGACCUCACAAAUUCUAGGAACAUAACCCCUGUUUCAAGCAAUUACUGCACAAUAUUGUGCCUUAGGAGUAUAUGCCUGUUCUUCCCAUUAAAUAUUUUACUCUUAGCCUUAGCAAUUGCAGCUUGGCUAUCACAAUGCAUAGACACAUACGGAGUUGGUCUCAUCCAUAAAGGGAUAUCUGCUAAGAGGUUUCUAAGUCACUCGGCCUUAAAACUUGCCUUUUCUAAGGCAAUAAACUCAGCCUCCAUAGUAGACCGAGUAAUGCAAUUUUGCUUGGCAGACUUCCAAGAAACUGCACUUCCACCAAGGAUGAAAACAUAUCCACUAGUAGAUUUCAUCUCAUCUGAAUCCAAAAUCCAAUGUGCAUCACUAAAUCCUUCAAGGACACUUGGAAAUCCACUAUAGCACAAACCAUAGUUAAUGGUGCCUCUUAAAUACUUAAGGACUCUAUGACCAGCAGUCCAAUAGUCCUGAUUAGGACUUUGGGUGUAUCGACUCAAUCUACCUACUGCAUAAGCAAUGUUAGGUUUGGUAUAGUUCAUUAAGUACAUUAGGCUCCCUAUGAUAUGAGCAAACUCUAUUUGGGUAACACUAUGUUCUCUUAUUUUCUUUAGUUGUGAGUUGGGAUCACAAGGAGUUGACACUGGUUUACAAUCAAAAUGUUCAAACUUCCUUAUAUUCUUUUCAACAUAGUGCUCUUGAGAAAGUUUAAGCUCAUUAGGUGUUCUAGUUAUUUUAAUUCCUAAAAUCACCUCUGCCUCUCUUAGGUCAUUCAUAUCAAACUUAGAAACUAAGAAUUUCUUGGUCUCACACACAACCUCUAGGCUAGUUCCAAAUAUCAACAUGUCAUCAACAUAAAGGCAGAUGACUACACAUGUGUUAUCCUCAUACUUGUUGUAGAUACACUUAUCAACAUUAUUAAUGGAAUAUCCAUUAGUUACUAACACAUGAUCAAACUUGUUGUGCCACUGUUUCAGAGCUUGUUUUAACCCAUAUAGUGAUUUAACCAACUUACACACCUUUUUCUUCUUCCUUGGAACUUUAAAACCCUUAGGUUGUUCCAUAUCAAUUUCCUCUUCCAAAUCCCCAUUCAAGAAUGCAGUCUUGACAUCCAUUUGGUAUAUCACCAAAUUAUGAAUGGAAGUUAGAGCAAUCACUAGUCUAAUUGAUGCUAUUCUAGUUAUAGGGGCAAAGGUGUCAUAGUAAUCUACACCAUUCCUUUGUUUAAAGCCUUUGGCAACUAAACGAGCUUUACACUUAUCUAUGGACCCAUCUUGUUUUAACUUUCUUUUAAAGAUCCACUUACACCCAAUAGUUUUUGCACCAGGAGGUAAAUCUACUAACUCCCAUGUAUAGUUAUACAUGAUUGAUUCGAUUUCACUAUUAAUGGCCUCCUUCCAGAAUGGUGUAUCAGGAGAAGUUAUAUCAUCUUUGUAGGAUCUAGGGUCCUCGUGUAUUAGGAAGGUGUAGAAACCAUCUCCAAGGUUUGUUUGUUUCCUAUCUCUUUUACUCCUUCUAGGUUCAAAUUCAGAAGGUUCAAUAGACUUGUCUCUACUUGUUUUCUGAACUUGUUGUUCACCAUUUAGUUUCAUAGGAAAGAUGUUUUCAAGGAAAUCUUCAUUCUUUGUUUCUAUUAUAGUAUUGACAUCUACAAGACUUUUUUCUGACUUAGUAAUAAAAAACCUAUAUGCCACACUAUUCAAAACAUAGCCAAUGAACAUUGCAUCAAAGGUUUUAGGAUAUAGUUUUCGUUUUUUAGGUUGAGGGAGAAGAACUUUAGCUAAACACCCUCACACUUUCAGGUAUGCUAUAUUAGGUGCAUAACGCUUCCACAACUCAUAAGGAGUUUUACCAGUUUUCUUAUAAGGUAUUCUAUUUUAAAUAUGACAUACGGAUAGGAUAGAUUUCCCCCCACAAGUUCAAGGGUGCUCUUGAACUUACCAACAUUGCAUUCAUCGUUUCUUUUAAGGUCUUAUUUUUCCUUUCUAUUACUCCAUUAGACUUAGGGGAAUAAAGAAGAGUAGUUUCGUGAAUGAUCCUAUGAUCUUCAAAAAAAGAAUUAAAGGGGUUGGACUCAUACUCUCCUCCCCUAUCAGUUCUAAGUCUUUUAAUUUUCUUACUUAGUUGAUUUUCCACUUCAUUUUUGUACUUGGUGAAAACAUCUCUUGCUUCCUCUUUGUUUCUCAAAAGAUAUACCCUUUUAUACCUUGAGUAGUUAUCUAUGAAAGUUAUGUAGAAUCAUUUACCACCUUUAGUGAUUGUAUUUUUUAGGUCUUCUAAGUCACUGUGUAUUAAACUUAGUAUAUCUGAUUCUUUUUCAACUGAUUUGCAAGAUUUCUUUGUGGUUUUAGAUUCUACACAAGAUUCACAUUUUCUAUGGUUUUCUAAGGACAAUUUAGGGAUUAAACUCAAUUCAACCAUUUUCUUCAUAUAUGAAAAGUUCAAAUGUCCUAGUCUACCAUGCCAAAUAUCACAAGAAUCAACUAUGUAAGUAGAAGAAGAAGAAGAUGCAUUAUUAUUGAUAAUAUAAAAAACAUUCAACAUAAAUAAACCCUGAUUACAAUAGCCCUUCCCCAUAAAUGCAUCAUUCUUAGUUAAAACUAUUUUAUCAGAGUCAAACAAGAUCCUUACUCCUUUUUUUUUUUUUUUUAAUAAUUGGGCUCUAGACCUUGUUUGAUGCAUUGGGCUUGGUCCUAAAGUUUUGGUUUCUGGACCUAUUGUUUUUAGGUUUGGGUUUUUCUUCUACUACAUUAGCCUUAGAAGACAAUUCCUUAGCUUUCUCAACAUUGUCCCUGUUUUGGUUUUGUUCCUCAAUCCUAAUAUGGAUUAUGACAUCCUCUAGGGACAUUUGUUACCUUUUAUGUUUCAAGUUAUUUUUAUAGUCUUUCCAAAACUCUUGAAGAGUCUCUACUAAAUAACCAGCCACAAAAGGUUCGGGUAAUUUAAUUUCUUCAAUAGCUAAGUCAUUAAUCAACAAGUGGUAGUCAUGGAUUUGAGAUGAUACAUCUUUAUCCUCGGUCAUUUGGAAAUUUCUAAAAUUCCCUAUGGCAUAUUUCUAAGUUCUUGCAUCUUCCAAAAUAUAUUUUUUAUUCAUUCCAUCCCAAAUUUCUUUUGCAACUUUAAAUUGACAAUAAAUAUAAAAAAGUUCAUUAGAAAGGGUACUUAGAAUAGCAUGCCUAACUUGUUUAUUUCUAGUUUCCCAGGUUGGCAACAAAUGAGAACCAUCUUCUGGUUUUGGGUCAAUCAAAAUGUGUCCCAAGUUCACUACAUCAAUUGCAGAGAAAACCCUUUCCUGCCAUCUAUUAAAGAAUGUCCUGUUAAAGGGAUCAAUUUUAGAGGUGUCAAGACGGGUGUGAACUAGGGAAGCUUCCAUUUGGAUAUAUUUCAAGAUUGUUGGAAUUUUGGGUAUGGAAACAAAUGACUAGCCCAAAAGACACAAACAAAUAACAUAAUUAAUAAGAAAAAAAACUUAUCGGCUGAGGCGUGACAAACACUAUCCUUGAAAUAGAUCUACCCUCCUCGAAAACAAACCCGGUGCACUAGGGUACAAGUGGUCUACCUCCAAGAUUCAACAACUAGAUCUUGCCUUGGGUGUACUCUAUAAGCAAGAUGUGUACAACUCAUGUUUUGAAAAAAUUUCUCCAGAUAGAUGUAUGAAAAGACUCUCUGAAAAACUCUCUGAAAAAUUCUUUGAAAAUAUUGGUAUUCGCAUAUAGAGAGUGAUGAUGGGUGACCUGCUUUUAUAGGCCACUAACACAGUCCCAAUGGAACUCUACUUGUAAUCAAAAUAUGGCUCAAUAUGGAAGGAGAAUCUACUUAUAAGUGGAAUGGGACUCCACUAGCACAAUCCCAAUAGGACUCUUCCCAAAAAUAUAUGACUAAUAGAAUAAAAUAAAAUAAAGUAAAAAUAAAAAUUAUUUACACUCUUCCUACAUCAUCCACAUCAGUCUUAAUGGAAGCUGAACAAAAUUCCAUAUUUGAUUUUGAUAAUGAGAAUUUAGAUUCUUCAAGGUUUUCAGAGUUGUAACUCUCUUCACCAGAAGCUUAUCGGUCAUAAAUAUCAAGCUUUUUCGGAAUUGAAGAAGACUUUUGGCUAAUGGGGCCAUAUCCCAAUUCUCUGUACUAGGCAUGGUCGCAACUGAUGCAUGAGAAAUCAGCACCAACAAAAUGGUGUAUAUUGCCUGAAUCCAUGCAAUUUAGAUGCUAACCACAUAAAUUUGUGGGACCUUAGGAUGCAUCCAGUCAUCACCUGAAAUCUUCAUUUUGCCCUACAUGAACAACUACCCUACACUAGCAGUACACGAGGAGUUAACAGAGCCAGUUGAGAUCACUGCAUGAUGUUCUAUCUCUGAAAUACCUCCACACGACAAGGAAGCCACUUUUCGUUCUACUUCUACUUGCCUGAAUUUUCCUUUAGAACUUCUGAUCUUUCUCAAGAGCGUUGUGGUAUAAAUCAGAAUUAGCAUUUUCCUUUCCUAAGGAACGUUGAUUUUCUACGAGCCGUGCCAGUAAGUCUUGUUAUAUUUAUAUAAAUAUAUAUAUAUAUAUAUAUAUAUAUAUAUAUAUAUAUAUAUAUAUAUAUUGUUGGUUAAAAAUAAAGUAUAAGAAGAGUUACACUUUUGAAAAAUAACUUUUGAAAAUAAAGUGUAAGAAGGGUUACACUUUUAAUGUGUGAAUAAACACAUGAUUAAGUUUUGAAAUGUUACAAAACUUGAAAGGUUAAGGAAGACAAUGAGUCUUCUCAUCUUUGUAACUUUAUAAAACUUAAGAGGUUAAGUGUAAGAGAGUUACACAUUUGAGAUUAAAUCAUGUUUAAUGUGUGAAUUAAACAUAUGAUUUAAUUUUUGAAUGUUACAAAGAUGAAGAGAUUAAGGAAGACAAUGGGUUUUUCUCAUCCUUGUAACCAUUUUUCAACCCUAAGAGUGCUAUAUAUGACUUUUCUUCUUUUUGAAAUCAUAUGCAAAAAAGUGAAAAGGCUUGAUCAAUCCCAAGACUAUUUCCAUUAGUUCCCUAAAGAUUUCUAGAGGUGGAAGGAAAUAGAGUUUUUGGACAAAGUUCCAAGAACUUGUUUGAGUCUUUCUUGUGUUCUUCUUCUUCUUGUUCUUAUUUUGUAACUUUGAGAGUUUUAUUGUAUCAAGGUGAGUGUUUGAGAGUGUUUAUUUUCUCCAUUGUAUCCAAAUUUUUUCUUAUCAAUCAAAGACUCUAAUUUUCAAUGGAAUGAGAGACUAUCAAGAUUAUGAACCAAGACCUUGUGAGGUUGGAUCGUUUUGAUGGUUCCAACUUCACUAGGUGGCAAGACAAGGUGAGAUUCCUUCUCACAGCACUCAAGAUUUUCUACAUCCUUGAUCCUACCUUGGCACCGUUACCGAAACCAAAGGAAAAUGACACACCUCAAGUGGUGGCAGCAAAGAAGAAGAGAGAGGAGGAUGAGCUCAUAUGUAGGGGUCACAUUUUGAACGCCUUAUCCGAUAGGCUAUAUGAUCUCUACACCAACACCUAUUCCGCGAGGGAGAUUUGGGAGGCUCUUGAAAACAAGUACAAAGCCGAGGAAGAAGGUACCAAAAAGUUUCUUAUUUCUCAAUACAUAGAUUUCAAAUUUUUUGAUGAAAAGCCUCUCUUACCACAAAUUCAUGAGUUGUAAGUAAUUGUGAAUAAGUUGAAAGUUCUCAAAAUUGAACUUCCGAAGGCCUUCCAAGUUGGUGCUAUUGUGGCUAAAUUACCAUCAAGUUGGAAAGGUUACCGGAAGAGGAUUCUCCACAAGAGUGAAGAUUACUCCUUGGAAGAGAUUCAAAAACAUCUUCGCAUUAAGGAAGAAUCGAGAUCAAGAGACAAAAUGGUGGAAGAGUCCAAUGGUGGGACUAACAAAGCCAAUGCGGUUUCAAAGGCCAAUCAUCUUAGAGGUAAAAAUAACAACGACAAAAGGAAUUCCGGAAAUUAUAUGAGCCCCAAGAAAAAUCAAGAGCAAUUUAAGGGCAAGAAAGGUCUUUGUUUUGUGUGUGGAAAACCCGGGCAUUAUGCUAGGGAGUGUAGGUACCGAAAUGACCUAAAAGGGGCUGUGGUGAAUGCAAUUGAUGAGGAGAUAAUUGCAACACUAAGCGAUGUGUGCGUUGUCCAAGGAAAGGUGCAAGGAUGGUGGUAUGAUACUUGUGCCACAGUUCAUGUUACCUAUGACAAAUCUCUUUUCAAGACCUUUGAAGAUGCAAAGGGAGAUCAAGAGGUUCAAAUGGGCAAUUAAGGAAGAUCCAAGGUGCUUGGCAAGGGCACUAUUGAAGUUGUUUUUACCUCCGACAAAAAGGUUACCCUUAUAAAUGUAUUGUAUGUCCCCGAUAUGAAUAAAAAUUUGCUUAGUGGGGAUUUGCUUGGCAAACCGGGUAUCAAAGCGGUGUUUGAAUCCGAUAAGCUAAUUUUAUCCAAAUCGGGGAACUUUGUGGGAAAGGGGUAUUCUUGUGAUGGGAUGAUCAAACUUUGUACCAAUGACAAUAUCAAUAAAAUGGCGUCUACUUCCGCUUAUAUGUGUGAUUCAAAUUCUUUAUUUUUGUGGCAUAAUAGGCUUGCACAUGUUGGUUUAAGCACUAUUAAAAGGAUUGUGAAAUGUGGUUUGAUUGCUUGUGAUACCAAGAAAUUUGAAAAGUGUGAAAUAUGUGUUAAAUCAAAGAUGAUUAAAAAGCCUUUUCAUAGUGUUGAGAGAUCAUCUAAUUUGCUUGAUUUAAUACAUAGUGAUCUUUGUGAACUUAAUGGCAUGUUAACAAGAGGUGGAAAUAGGUAUUUUCUUACAUUCAUAGAUGAUUGUUCUAGAUUUACCUAUAAGUUUUUGUUGAAAAACAAAAGUGAAACUUUCAAUGCCUUUAAAGUUUACAAAGCCGAAGUUGAAAAUCAACUAGAAAAAAAUAUUAAGGUGCUUAGAAGUGAUAGAGGUGGUGAAUAUUUCUCUAGUGAAUUCAAUUCUUUUUGUGAAGAAUAUGGCAGAAUACAUGAGUGCACCACACCCUAUACACCUCAACACAAUGGCAUAGCGGAGAGAAAGAAUAAAACAUUCUUGGAAAUGGUGAAAGCUAUGUUAUUGCAUGCUAAAUUGAAUUUCAAUUUGUGGGGUGAAGCUUUGUUGACUGCUUGCCAUAUUUUGAAUAGAAUUCCUAUGAAGAAAAAUGAGAUAUCUCCAUAUGAGUUAUGGAAAGGAAGGAAGCCUAAUAUAGGUUACUUCAAAGUGUGGGGGUGUCUUGCUUAUUGCAAGAAAAUGGAUCCAAAUAAAACAAAAUUGGGUCUAAGAGCCAUUAAGUGUGCAUUUGUAGGCUAUGCCUCAAAUAGCAAAGCUUAUAGACUAUUAGACUUGGAGUCUAAUGUGAUAAUUGAAUCAAGAGAGGUAGAGUUCUUUGAGAAUUUGUUGAGUGAUAGCAAUUCUCAAGUACCUACUAGUGUUGGAGAGUCUCUAGAGGAAACACCUUCAAAGGUUGUUGAGCAACCCAUUGUGCCUCGGAAAAGCCAAAGAGCUAGAAAAGAGAAAGUGUUGGGAUCGGAUGAGAUUGACUCUCAAAGAAUUUCCUUUUACUUAGUAGAGGAAAUAAAGAAGAUAUUAUAAGAAAAAUUCCUAUAGUACUUCAAAUAGAGGAGGAUCCCAAAACAUACAAAGAAGCUAUGGCUUCUAGAGAUGUUGCUUUUUGGAAAGAGGCUAUCAAUGAUGAAAUGGAUUCAAUUAUGUCCAACCAAACAUGGGAAUUGGUAGACCUUCCACUAGGAUCUAAACCAAUAGGGUGCAAGUGGGUAUUUCGAAGGAAAUAUCACACCGAUGGCAUGAUUCAAACCUUUAAGGCUAGAUUAGUAGCUAAGGGGCUUAAACAAAGAGAAUGUAUUGAUUAUUUUGAUACCUAUGCGCUGGUGGUUAGAACAACAUCGAUUAGGAUAUUGUUUGCUUUGGCAUCAAUUCAUAAUCUAUUUGUUCAUCAAAUGGAUGUCAAAACGGCAUUCUUGAAUGGGGAUCUCAAUGAGGAGGUCUACAUGGAACAACCGGAAGGUUUUGUUCUACUGGGGAAUGAAAACAAAGUGUGUAAGCUUGUCAAAUCAUUAUAUGGUUUAAAACAAGCUCCCAAAUAAUGGCACGAAAAAUUUGAUCAUGCUAUUCUUUCGGAUGGAUUUAGACACAACAAUGUGGACAAGUGCUUAUAUUCUAAGACUUGUGAUGACUAUAUGGUCAUAGUGUGUCUAUAUGUGGAUGACAUGUUAAUCUUGAGUGAUGACAUGAAAGGAAUAAUAGAAACGAAAAGGUUUCUAUCCUCAACCUUCAAGAUGAAAGAUCUUGGAGAAGUUGAUACUAUAUUGGGUAUCAAAGUGAAAAGAAAUAGUGGGGGUUAUGCUUUGAACCAAACCCACUAUAUUGAGAAAGUAGUUAGCAAAUUUAGUCAUCUCAAGAUUAAAGAUGCUAAUACUCCAUUUGAUUCAAGUAUAAAACUUGAACUACAUGAUGGUAGAUCGGUGGCUCAACUUGAGUAUGCAAGUGCAAUUGGAAGUCUUAUGUAUGCUGCUCAGUGUACCAGGGCUGACAUUUCAUUUGCAGUUAGCAAAAUAAGUAGGUUUAUUAGCAAUCCAAGCGUGGAACAUUGGAAAGCUAUUGGUAGAGUUCUUAGUUACCUAAAGAAUACCAAAGAACUAAGCCUCCAAUAUUCAAAGUUUCCUGCUAUACUUGAAGGGUAUUCAGAUGCAAGCUGGAUAUCGAGUGUGAGAGAUAAUUUAUCUACCACAGGUUGGGUGUUUACACUUGGUGGUGGGGCUGUCUCUUAGGGAUCCAAGAAACAGACUUGUAUAUCACACUCAACCAUGGAGGCAGAGUUUAUAGCUCUAGCUGCAACUGGAAAAGAAGCUGAGUGGCUUAGGGAUCUCAUGAUGGACAUCCCUUUUACUGCAAAUAAUGUGUCAACAGUGUCGAUACAAUAUUGUGACAGUCAAGCCACUCUAGCUCGUGCAUACAGUGGGGUGUACAAUGGGAAGUCUAGACAUAUAAGCAUUAGACAUGAGUAUGUGAGACAAUUGAUUCAAUAUGGAAUCAUCUCAAUCUUAUUUGUGAGGUCAAGUGGAAACUUGGCGGAUCCUUUUACUAAACCUCUUACAAUAGAUUUAGUAAGGAUAACAUCUAGAGGGAUGGGACUAAAACUCCUUAAAUAAAAUUCACCAAUGAUGGUAACCCAACUUAAUACUACGAAAUGACUAGUCUUAAGUUCAAUAGGUAAAAACAAGUCAUUGAUAAGUGGGUUGUGGCAGCAUUAGAACAUGUGAGUUCCAUCUGUGAUGAUUAAUGCUGGUUGUUACCGUUGGAGGGUUAAGCUUAAAGCUUUUAAUGAAAUUCAGUCUAUGUGUGACAAACAUCUUAAAGGUAACAAGGAUGCUGGAAGAAUUUCACCUAUGUGAACUUAGGGGUGGUGCCGCCUCUCAUGAGAGUUGGAGUUUUCUUUCAAGAAAGUUCAUGAAUGGAUUGAGCACAUGGCCAUAAAAGUGCUAAGCAAGAAAAUAAUGGGCACUCGUAUGGUUAGUGGAAGUGUGUGUUGUUACCGGUUUCGUUACAAGGAAUAAUUGGUUCAAUGCUACAAGCAACCUGGGAUUUUAACGGAGCUUUGUGACAAUUACACUAAGGUAAAAUUCAAAUCGAAAGAUAUUUUAUUUUAUGCAUUUUCACUGUUGAGGUUAUAAGGGUUGAUGUUUAAUUUUAACCAAGUGGGGGAUUGUUAUAUUUAUAUAAAUAUAUAUAUAUAUAUAUAUAUAUUGUUGGUUAAAAAUAAAGUGUAAGAAGAGUUACACUUUUGAAAAUAAAGUGUAAGAAGGGUUACACUUUUAAUGUGUGAAUAAACACAUGAUUAAGUUUUGAAAUGUUACAAAACUUGAAAGGUUAAGGAAGACAAUGAGUCUUCUCAUCCUUGUAACUUUAUAAAACUUAAGAGGUUAAGUGUAAGAGAGUUACACAUUUGAGAUUAAAUCAUGAUUAAUGUGUGAAUUAAACAUAUGAUUUAAUUUUUGAAUGUUACAAAGAUGAAGAGAUUGAGGAAGACAAUGGAUUUUUCUCAUCCUUGUAACCAUUUUUCAACCCUAAGAGUGCUAUAUAUGACUUUUCUUCUUUUUGAAAUCUUAUGCAGAAAAGUAAAAAGGUUUGAUCAAUCCCAAGACUAUUUCCAUUAGUUUCCUAAAGAUUUCUAGAGGUGGGAGGAAAUAGAGUCUUUGGACAAAGUUCCAAGAACUUGUUUGAGUCUUUCUAGUGUUCUUCUUCUUCUUGUUCUUAUUUUGUAACUUUGAGAGUUUUAUUGUAUCAAGGUGAGUGUUUGAGAGUGUUUCUUUUCUCCAUUGUAUCCAAAUUUUUUCUUAUCAAGUCUUGGCAAGUCAAGUUUGUUCUUCAUAUCAUGCUGAACCAAGAAAGCCUCAAGCUCCAAAUCUGAUUUAUCAUAACCAGAAAUCCCAUUAUAGUCCUUGGCGAUCUUACACUUCAAUUGUUCAUAAACGUCAGGCUUGAAGUAGGAACUGAAGAACCAGGCACCCCGGAUGCUAUCGAGCCACUUGGAGCAUCAAAAAUUCGGAAAGCCACCCCUGUCUCAUUAAGCUGCCUAUGAAGAUUAAGGGAAAUUUCUCCUCUUGAUCCGCAUAUCUAAAGAAUAAACCUGGAGGAGCAUUCAGAGCUUUCUUUUUAUCAAUCUUUUCACUAUUCCAGAGGUUUAAGACACCAUUUUCUAUAGAGCUUCCAAAGAUAGAAGCCUUGUCCACUUUCUUGAAUUUGAUUCCAAUCGAAAUGAGCAUUUUGGUCAAGUUCCCUUUCAGUAGUAGUCAUUUCAAUCUUCGAACUUCACAGCAAGAGGGCAAUCUGCCUCCUUGUAACACAACAUGUCGGUUGUCACAUCAAAUAAAAUGGUAGGACCAAUAAAGUUGCCUUAUUCACAUCUAGGAACCUCAAUAUUUCUUCCAUCAAGCACGUGUCUGGCACCACUCUCCAACUCAGCUUUCUGCGUUGCCUACUCCUGUAAGAAUUCCCACUCCAGACUCUGCAAGCAAAGCUUGAUGUUGUCAAACCACCAAGAAUAAGACCACCAUCAUGCAAUUUCCCCUUUCACUGACGAACCUUCCUCAUGUUCAAACAUCAGAGUCUGCAGCUAAGGAUCCACAUAAUAUAGUACUGGAGUUGCAACUCUCAGUAACACCCCAACCAAGAUGGCCAACCUAGCUGGGGUACUCAACACCCCAAACUUACCAGAAACAGAGGAAUAGAAAGCAGAGAUAGGGGCAGAGUAAAGACUGAGGAAAUGACAAAAAGGAAAUCAAGCAUAUGAUGAAUGUACUAAGCCUCAUUUCAUAUGACAUCCAUGGGCUAAGGACAGGUGGAAUUAUCAGAAAACAAUGGCAUGAUUUUCAGGUAAGCCCAUAUACAAGAUAUCCUCAAUCAUGACUAAGGAAACCCAUAUAGAGCUAAACCAAAGCAAACAUGCAGGCAAUCUCAAAUUUCUACAAAAAUAAUCAUAUGGCCCUUAAUGUCCAUACACAAACAACAAAUAAGGCCCAGAAAUCAUUAGAGAAUAGAGCAAAGAAACAAUGAGAAAAUGAAGAAAAUGGGACUCGAACUGAUCUUUACCAGAUAACCUCCCCCUCAAGCAAAAAUUUGCUUGGCUUCAAGCUGGCUCUCCUCUCCAAAAGGCUCCCUAAACAGCUUCCUCUCUUCUGCAGCUCUCUCACUCAGUUUUUUUUUUUUUUUUAUAUCUCCCGCUCAGCCAAAACCAUCCUUUGUUCUACUCCUAUUUCUUCUCUAGCACAAACCCACCAAAAAUCGAUUUCUCACUUCUCUCCCAUCUCAACAACCAAAACCCACCAGGAAAAUCAGAAUGCCCCUCCCCUCAGGUCACCAGCAGCUGCCAUCUUCUGCUGCAGCCUCUCUAAAAUGUCUAUCCUCUCCAAAAACUCCUGAGAAUCCCCUCUGCUUCCUCUCUUUCUUUUCUUUGUUCUCUUCUUGCUCUCCGGUUCCUCUCUUACUCUUAACUUUCUCCCUAAAUUCUUCUCUAACGAACCCAAGAAUCUCCCCCCCUCUGUCUUUCUCUGUGUUCUAAAACGUCCUCCACCUAGAAGGAUCCCCCAUACUCUCUACCUUACUACACUAUCAAUCAACCUCUUAGCAACUUUUCCCUGCUUCCACACUUUCUGUUUCCCCUCUAUAACUUACAUUGCCCUGCAACAAAGAAUGCCUUCCUAUCCUGCAGAAAAACAAAUCUCCACGUGGUCAGAAAGUGCUCCCCAAAAGUCGGGGAAAAAGACCCCCACAAAAGGCCAAAAAAACUGCCCUAGCUGCUAACAACUCUAAAGUCAUAAAAAUGUAAUUAAAAAAAUAAAUAAUGAUGCUCAUACCCGAAAUAAUGCUCUAAUGGUUUCUAAAAUAUAGUUCAAAGCCAAGCAAAUAUGGAGCACUAAAGAACAAUAAAAAAAAAAAAAAAAACCUCAGUAAAGAAAGUCCUAAAUACACAUAAGAAAAGAGUGGGGUGACAGAAAAAAUAUGUAUGUGUGCUAGGGACAAAAUAAACGAUUUACAAAAUAACCUGUGUCGAAUACAAACCCGAUUUAAUAUUUUUAUAAUAUUUAUAAUGUAUUUAUGUUAUAUUCAUUUUCUUUUUAUAUUUUUAAAAAAAUAUUAAAUUAUAUUAUUUCGUAUACUUUUCAUUUUUUUUGGAAAUAUAUGCAAUUUUUUUUUAUUACUAAAACUUUUUUUUAAAUUUACUAAUUAAAUUUUUAUAUAAAUAUAUAAUAAAAAUUCUUUAAAAACAUUAUAGAUGGAUUUUGAAUUAUGCAAUUGCAUCAACUUGUUUAUAUAUAUGAAUAUAAGGUAACAAACCAAUCAAAUAAAUCCUCUAAACAAUCACAAACCCCAAAGAAAAUCCAACAAAAAUAAAGAAGAAGAAAGAAAGAAACCUAGCUAAGUGUUGGAGACAAAGAAAAAAAAAUCAUAAGUAUAUUUCAAAUUAAAAGAAUUAUUAUUAUUAUUAUUAUUAUUAUUAUUUUGAAGAGAAUCGUAUUAUUUUUUAAUGGGAAGAGUUUUUCAUUUUUUUUAUUAUGAUUUUGAUAUAAAAAGGGAGAGUAAGGUUGAGUUUUUCAUUUUCUAAAAACAAAUUUUCUUUUAUUUUAUUUUAUUUAUUUUUUAAAAAAAUAAGCAUGAUUAAGAAAAAGAAAAUUAUUAAUCAUGGUUCUCAAUAUAAAAAGAAAAGCCAAAAGAAAAAAAAAGUUAAAAUCACAAUAAAAUGAAUAAUUUCUCAAAAAAAUAUUAAAUAUUAUCAAUUAUAUUAAUUAACUCUAUUUUAUAAGCUAGUUAAACUACCUUCAUGUAGUACAAUUUAAAUAAAAAAUGAAUUUACUAUAAAUUAAUAAAAUUAUCAUUCUCAAAAAUUUAAUAUGACUAAAAUAAAUUUUGUUUUUAUCUAUUUUUCUCUUUUUUUCAAGAAAAUUUAGAUCUAAAACUUUCCCAUGAAAUGAUAACUCAAAACCACACCAACAAUAUAAAAGUGAAAUCAAUAUAUAUAAAAUAAAUCCACAAAUUUCAAAAUCAUAAAACCAAAAUUCUAUCAUAUUUAACUCCUAUUUUGAACUUUAAUUUCAAGUUUUUUAAUAAAAUUUUACCUUAACAAAAUCAUGAAAUUUUAUUUAUUUAUUUUGACCUUAAUAAAAAAUUUAUUUUUUGCUCCUUUAUCUUUUCAAUCUUCAACUUUAUUAUAAUACUCAAAUCUAAUUUUAUACAAAAUUAAACUAAAUUUAUUUUUGAGAAUUUUAGAUCACUCUUGUAUCAAAAACUAGUUAAACUACAUUAAUAUCAUACAACUUGAAUAAAAAAACGAGUUUAUCAUAAAUUAACAAAGAUAUAAUAAAAAAAUGAAUAUAACUUAAAUAAAUUUUAUUUUUAUCAAUAUUUUUUUGGCAAAACCAUAACCUUUCGAUAGCCUACUUGUGCUGGACUAAGCCUAACUUUAUGUAGGGGUAAGGAGAUAAUAAGAAAAGCUUGUUGCUCAACCAAAAGGGAGAGAUUGUGCCGACUUAUAUUGUGUACUUCCAUUGUACUGGAUUAUUGGUCUUUGAAACUUCUUAGAAAGUUUAUUUUGGGUGUUUUUUUAGUCCUUUUUUUAGUGUAGGAUUAGUAAAAAAAAAAAUUGCUUUAAUUGAAUCUUUGUUGUGCUCUUAAUUCAUACAAGAGAAUGACAUCUUGUGGGAUGAGAAUUCUUUGAUCCCUAAAUUUUUUAUAUCACAAGCUGCCAACAAACAAAUUGCAUACACCAAUGUUUUAAAAAUGUGACCAGCCAAUCAAAUUAGUUGGCUCUACUCAGUCUGGAUUCGACUUGGUGAUUGGUAAAUUGGUAGAACCAACUGGGUUUGGAACUGGUCUAGAUAUUUUUCCAUUUAGGUUAGACAAAAAUUUUGGAAAAAAUCAAUAAAUAGAAAUGUUGAAAUUUUAAUAAAAGUUAUAAUUUAUAUUUAUGUUCAACUAUGUUUCAUUAUAAUAUAACUGGAAAAUGUAGUUGCAAACUAGAAGAAUAUAGUUGGAGGAAUGGUAUAUGCUCUAGUGGAUGGUGUCUCAAACUCAAUUCCCAUGGAUGGAGGAGUAAGAGUCAGAGACACAACAGAUGGAACUAGCACUAAAAUGGGUUAUGAAUCUUAUUGAGAAAUAACCAACCUCAUGAUAGACGAAGGAACAAAUGUGCUAGGAAGAAUUGGGGUUUUGUCCUUGAUAUUGUUCUCUAUAGGUUGAUGAGUUCUUCAGUCUAAUACAUGUAAUUUUCUCACUUCUGAAACUUCAUUUUUAGUUUUGAUCCAUUUUAGAGAAAAUAUGUGACACAAUCCAAAAUGGGGCUACAUUGUUUCUUAUUUUUGUCUGUUGUUAUCAUUUGUUGCCUUCAUAUGCUAGGAUGAUGUUUUUUAAUGAAAACUUCUAUGACCAAGUUGAAUUUGAUACUUGGUUGGAGCUUAUUUGUUUAAAUAUUCAUGUUUUGGUGGAUACAGGUCAUUGUAAUUGAGAAAAAAAUGCAUAUAAUGUAGAAGAUGGAUAAAAUUAAGUUAAAUACUUACAAAAAGUUAAGAUUAUAGGACUCUUCAAUUUAAUAAAAGUUUUGUUGUACUAAGGAUUACAGGCUAUGCAUUCAAUUUUGGGUAGAAGGAAAAUACCAUCCAAACAAGGCCUACAUAUAAUCCAAAGCAUUCCCAACCCCUAAAAGCUUAGAGAACGGAUUAGAUUAAAUAAGUUAGCUUAAAAGUGAUGCAAAAUAUGGGUAUGUUUUAUAAAAACACAUAUUUUCUUCUUGUUUUUAACCCUUCAAAAAGCUAUGAUUUGCUUAAUUUGAUUGGAAAAAAAAAUAUAGUAAUUUUUUUUCCCCAAUUAUAAAUUUUAGCUGUUUUUUGUCAAAAUUAACUUGAAUUCUAUAGACACCAAAAGAGGGAAAAAGGUCCCAGAUUUAGGUUAAUAAAGAAAUAUAGUUGGGACAAAUAAUUAAAAUAUCUUACAUUGGACAAUCAUCAUAUCCUAAUCAAAUUUUAUAAAAUAGUAGAAACAUAACUAAUAAUUAUAUUUUCAAAGAGAAUCUGAAAAUUUGAAAUUGGAAAUUUCUUCUAUUCAUUUUUAAUAUUUUUUAAGGGCUACUAUAAAUUUUAUCCACAAAGGGAUAAUGUACUCUUGUUUUAGUAGUAGUUAAACAAACUAUAACCUUUGAGAAUCACUAUUUAUCUUAAUAAAGGUCCUCUUUAUUUAAAAAAAAUUCUCUUUAAAUAAAUUAAAAGAGAAAUCUUGCCUUUUAUUGCAACUAUAAUGAAAUUCACUUCCAAAGAUUGUAAUUAUACAUAAAGCAUAUAAAGAUCUACAAACAAAAUUUAUCACCUUCGUAGGUGAUCUUUGGCAUAGGUUGCUCUUCCUCUCAACAACCAUUUGACAAUUUCAUCCACAAAAUCAAAGUAGGCCUCACACCAAGAUUUCCUUGUUACCAAAACAAAAUAUGGAACUAAAAUGCCCAUCACAAAUCCCAAGCCAACAUUCAAGUAAAACCAUUUAUCUAUAUAACCACUAUCAUUUUUGUCCUCAAUAGCACUUUGCUUUUUAUCUGGAUCUUAUUCCUGACAUUUUAUAACCAGUGGAGCUCCACAAAGAUCAGGGUUUCCAACAAAAGUCAACUCAGUGAAAGUUGUCAUUUGCCCUAUAAAGGGGAUCUUACUAGAAAAAUUAUUAUUUUAUAGAUUCAAAUAAUUCAAGAAUGUUAAUGAGGGCAUGCUUAAAGGAAUGUUACCAGAAAGCUUAUUAUUUGAUAAAUCAAGAAAGGAUAGUUGAUGCAACAUUGAAAUACUUUCCGAAAUUCGGCCAAUGAUGUGAUAUAUUCUCCGAGAAGUUUAGAGCCACCAAACCAAUUAAUUUUGUUAUUUCUUAGGGAAACUCUCCACUUAAAUUAUUGUGGGAUAGGUCUAUGCCUACAACAAGAGAAAGAGUCCUAGUGUAUUCAAGACUUUGGCCUUUCAUAAUCACAACCAAUCGUUCUUUGUACCAAGAGCUGCUCCCAUUGUCAUUGAAAGGAUAUAUAUUCAUGUUAUACUCCUAAGCCAUAGCUUUAAGCUCAACCAAAGUGACUGGAAUUUCACCCAUUAGAUUGUUUUGUGCAAGGUCUAAGACAUGUAGGGAGCUUAAAUUUGAAAACUGGGAGGGAAGUCUUCCAAAAAAUACAUUUGACCUCAAGUUGAGUAUUACAAGAUUUAUGAAAGCAGUUCCAAUCCAUGAAGGAACCUUACCCAAUAAUUGGUUAUAACUGAGAUCAAGGAGUUCCAAUCUUGAUAGAUUUUGGAAAAAUGAGGGGAACUUUCCUAAAAGCUUGUUGUCGUUCAAGUACAGUGAUUCGAGCCAUCGUAAUUGGCCCAACGACUUUGGUAUCAUCCCAGAUAAAUUGUUAUUUCCAAGGUCUAGUACAAUUAGGCUAGAGAAAUUAUGUAUGGUAUAAGGAAUGCUUCCAGUCAAAUUAUUCCUUGAAAAAUCAAUUACUUGAAGAGAGGUGAUGUGUUCUAUGGAAUCUGGGAUUGUCUCUGUUAUUUGAUUUUUUGAAAACAAAAGGUAAUGCCUGUCCAACAUAGAUUCACUCUUCUCGGUGGGACAGGGCCAGAAAAUUUAUUGUAGGAGAGAUCUAGUAAAUAGACCCCUUUGAUUGAAAAAGGAAUAGGUCCCUCAAAGAGAUUGUAACUGAAAUCAAUACAUGCACAAUCACCAGAAGGAAAUUUUAAUGAAUUUGGUAGCUAACCUUGUAAUAGAUUGUGAGAAAGAAUUAAGUACUGCAGAUUGAAAGAAAUAUUAAUUCCAAAACCACUUGGGUAUGGAACCUGAGAUGCUCGCAUUUGACAAAUCCAGAAAGGAAAUCUCCAUUUGAGACCUAAGCCAAGUCGAAAAUGAAGGUCCUAAAUUGCAUGAAGCCAUACUAAGAUCAGUGAUUUGGAAUGGGGGGAUCCAGGUGGAACUAACAUUCAAAACAAGACCUGAAUUUCCAUGUAUCAACAAUAUCUUCAGCUUACUUAACUUUGAAAAAUGUUCUUCAGAAAGAAUUCCAAUGAAGCCAUUCCAAGAAACAUCCAAGGCAACCAAUUCAGAAAGUUGUCCAAAACUAACUGGGAGACUCCCAUUCAAUUCAUUUGAUCCAAGCCAAAUCUCAUUCAGAUUUUUGAAUGUCCCAAAAGAAGCAGGGAUAGGGCCUUGAAGCUUGUUGUCGGAUAGAUGGAGAUGUGUAAGUUUUUCCAACUAACUAAACCGUUCUGGCAAUCUGCCCACUAACGGAUUCUUGGACAGGUCCAAAUACCUCAGUUUUGGUAAAGGACCUUCAGAACUAUAGUUUUUGAUCUAUUUGAGAAAUUUAGGGAAACUUCCUGAAUUUCCGAUGUUCUAAGUUGGAACCCAAAUCAAAUGUUCUAAGUUGCAAAAAUCUCCGAUGAAGGUUGGAAUUAUACCUGCAAUCAUCAUCAAGAGUAUUAAAAUAAUUUGAUUUAUUUAUUUUUAUUUAUUUUAUGAAAAAUAAGAAAGUUCAUGAGAAAGGUAAGAAACUUUGCCUUCUUAAUGCAUUAUCAAGUGUCUAUAGAAUAUUGUUUUUAGAAAUUAGAGUUUCCAAACAAAAUUUUGUUCCAAAAUAUAAUAUAAUAUAAUAUUUAUAAAAAUUAUUAUAAAAAACUCAAAAUUUGAUUUUGAAAAAAUAUUUUUAAAAUGUUUAUAAGAAACAAAAUUCAUUAUACUAUUUGUAAAUGAUUUUACAAAACUAUUUUAAAAAUUGUUUACAACCAAAACCUAGAUUUUGUAGUGUAAUAUUUCAAAUACAUCAAAAGCCCUAAAAAGUCCCCUUUGUUGGUCAAUUGUGCAAUGAAUUUAUGACAAAUCAUGCAUCAUCAAGAGUUAAAAUAAUUUAAUUUAAAAUAAUUUUCAUAAAAAAUUAUUGGAGAAGAUAAUUGAAGUUGCUUUGAUGGUCUAAUGAUAAAAGUAAGAGAUUAUUGGAAAGUCAGAAUAACUUAAUGCAAAAUAUUUUUUAAAAACAAGUGUUAAACUGUAUAACCACUACAUUAUUUUGAUGUAUCAAAAUCAAUAAGCGAUAACAAUUUUUCUAAGCAAAAAACGUAUCAAGAAAUUUAUUGCCCGCCAACUCCAGAAAUUCUAUCUUCUUCCAGCUUUCACUUAACAAUUGAGAGCAACUACCUGUGAGAUUUUUGUUCCAAGAUAAAUCCAAGUGCUACAAGUUAGGUAGUUCCCCAAGACCAGGUGAAAUCUGCCCAUAUAACUGAUUAGAUACAUCAAUGUAUACAAGGCUGCUAAGGUUUAGAAGCCAUAUUGGGAACUUUGACCGGAAAGAGUUGCCACUGAUGCUUAUGACAGACAAUGAAGUAAAAUUGAUAGAGUUUAGAGAUGAAAUUGAACCAAAGAGCCCACAAUCUUCUAGGUGCAACUCUAUUAAAAAUGAAAGGUUGUUGAAUACCUCCAUCCAGUGAGAUCCUACCAUUGACAGGUUGACAUAGUUCAACUUGAGAUGCCUUAAGGAAACAAGAUUAGUCAUCCAUUCAAGGUCCUUAACAAAUAACUGAGAUUCAUUGGAAGAAAGAUCAAGAAAUUGCAAAUUAGAAAUGUUUCCCAAGGUUAGAGGAAUUGCACCUCUGAAUCCACAAUUUGAUAAGUUUAGAUAUUGUAAAUUUUUCAAAGAUCCGAAGAAUUUAGGAAUUGGAAUAUGCUCAAAUGAGUUGCCACUCAAAUCUAAAGAUCUCAAAGAUUUGAGUUCUAUCAAAGAAGGUCGGAUUUCCCCGUUUAAGUUCAUUGAGCUCUAAUUUUCAUAUGCUUCUUCAAGAGAAUAUGGGUUAUGAAGAUUGAUAGAAAUAACAACUCUUGUGUUCUUUUUCACAACCAAUUCCCUCCCAUUGACAACAAUUGCCUCCUAUCCAUGAUGAAAGCCAAUUGCUAGAAGAAUCUUUGAGACCAUUUUUUAAGUCAAGAAGAGCUUCUCGAUCAGCUUUUAAGCAAUUUCCCUUCAGGAUUUCACCUUUACAAGCAAGAUCUCUUGUUAUGAAACAUAGAAUGACCAAAAGGAAACCAAAUUUUGAAAUUUUCUCCAUUUAAGAACACUUAUAAAAACAAGUAAUUAAUGUUAAGUUCCGACAAAAGAAUCAAAAUAACGAUGAAAUUCUAUUAGUAAUAAGAACAUCAAGAUAUUGGAUAAUAAAUAAUACAUUUAUUGUAAUCAAUCGUAAGUUUAAUAAGAUUAAAGAUAUGUCAAGUAAGCAACAUCCUUGAACACAUAUCAAGAAAAAAUAAUUGUGACCUUCUCACCAAUAUCAAAUAUGCUCGGAUAAUUGUUAUCGAUCAAAACUAUAGAAAUCACCGGCCCACAAGAGAAACUUAGAAGCAUUAGAUAAAGGAAAACACUAGGGGAAACUUGGCAUUAUUGGUGGAGUAAGAUCUUACCUAUUAUCUCUUUUUUGUAGUUGUACUCAUUCCUUUGGUUACAAGGGAAUAUUUAUAUAUGAAAGAUUAUUCAAGAACUAUGGGCUUUUAAUUAAAGAAAAGUAAUCCACACGUCAUGAAUUAGUGCAUGACCUAUGAUGAUGAAGCAAGUAUACAAGUCAUGUUUGAAAAAUUAUAAAUAAUAAUAAUAAUGAAUAACACAUCAACAAGUUUUUUCGCAUACCAUUUAAUAAUAUAUGAAAUUUCUUAGACAUUGUAUUUUAGUAAGAAUGUUUCUAACAUUUUUUCUUUCUUUAUUUUAACAUCAGCAAAGCAAUGCACGAGUAAAUAAUUCCAUAUUUAGUAUAAAAUUUAUUUCAUGAAUAGGGCUUUAUCAUCAAUUUAGAAGACAAAAAGGAUAUUACAUGAGAAAAUAUUUCUUCACAAAUUAUGAGAUUUAACUACUAAAUUGAAAGUUUUAUAUACAUCUAUCUUAAUCAUUAAAUACAACUUAAUACCAAGGAAUUAUAAUAUUUUGGAAUUACAAUAAACUUAUUUUUAUAAUAGAGUAAAAAAGAAAUUGACAAAUUCUCUUGAUAAACUUAGUUAAAUAAGUAGUGAGAAUAUUGUUGUCCACACACAUAUAUAUAGAUUACGAUAAAAAUAUUUAUUAAUUUCAAAUUUAGAUAAUAGAUUUCAAACCACUUUGCAUGUUGGAUUAUUAGUCUUAUAGAAUUAAAUAUAAGACUUUUUAUGCACAAUUUUGAAGCAUAUAUUCAUUCAAGUCAAAAGAUAUAAGUAUUUUAUUAGAGUAGGUGGUGAUCUAAUUUAAACUAUAUCAACAAAUUCUUUGCAAGUCAAAAAGCAGCAAGUAUUUGAAUAAAGUAGAUUAGAAUAAAAUUUAAACUAAUUCAUAAGACUUUGACCAUAGUGUAAUUGUCUUCUUAAAAUAGUUUUAAUAAAGUAGAUGGUCACAGUCAUGUUAGAUUGGCUAAAGAAGGUGCUUCUUUUUUUAGUCUAUUGUUCAUGCUAUGAUGUUCAUACCUCUUGCUCUUUAUAAUUUUAAUUUGAUGUAUUAAGUGUUCGGAAAGAAUUCUCAAUGUAUCAUACUAUCACAUCAGAUGAUAUCAAAUCCCUUAAUUCAAGCUUCUCCAAAUAUAUUUACAUAAAUCAUGGUUACCAUGUAUAUAAAGAUAUAUCCUAUGAUGCAUAUUUUUAUUUCUAUUUCUUGAUUUUUCCCAUUUACAUUCAUCAAUUUCAUUGAAUCUUUAAUAAAGUUGGAAACAUAACUUUUUGGAAGGAGGUAUUAAGUUUUCUAGGAAAUUUACAUCAUCCUUUUGUGGAGUCCGACCAAUUUAAAGGUACUUCAAACAAGUAAAAGCUUCCCAUGUGCCCAAUGAUACAAUUUCCCCCAAGUGGGGUUUCCAUGAAUGUAAAUUUUCUAGGAAAUUGACUAGUCAUAAAAAUUGACAAACAUGCAAAAGUUUCCCAUAUGCUCAAUGAUACAAUUUUCCCCAAGUGGGGUUUCCAUAGAUGUAAAUUUUCUAGGAAAUUGACUAGUCAUGAAAAUUGACAAACAUGCAAAAGUUUCCCAUAUGCUCAAUGAUACAAUUUUCCCCAAGCAGGGUUUCCAUGGAUGUAAAUUUUCUAAGAAAUUAACUAGUCGUGAAAAUUGACAAAUAAGCAAAAGUUUUCCAUGUGCUCAAUGAUACAAUUUUCCCCAAGUGGGGUUUCCAUGGACGUAUAUUUUCUAGGAAAUUGACUAGUCAUACAAAUUGACAAACAAGUAAAAGUUUCCCAUGUGCUCAAUGAUACAAUUUUCCCCAAGUGGGGUUUCCAUGGAUGUAAAUUUUCUAGGAAAUUGACUUAGUCAGAAAAAUUGAUAAGCCAUGGUGAAAAUUCCUUAGAUAUGAUGGGAUAAUGGUAUGUAUCCCUCAAUCAUGUCAGGUUCUUGGAAUAAUGUGGAACCUAGCGCAAUCCAACCAAUGCAAUACUUAUGUUCGGCUAGAAAAAAGUAAGAAAAAAUUACUAAGGAAAAUAAAUAGAAAAAAUAAUUAAAUUUUUUUUCUAUUUUCCAAAGGGUGGAGAAAAUGCAUUUAUUAUGAUUUUUUUUUCUUCAAAUUUCUCAUUGACAAUCAAAUAGGAACAAAAUUUUAUAUUUUUAUAUAUUUUUUUUAUGGUAUCCAAAUAUAAGAAAAUAUACUUUUUUAGAGUAUAUUUAGUUCCUAAAACAUUCCAAGAAAUGGAAAAAUAAGAAAAAUUAUGUUUUUCAUGUUUGAAUACCUUAGAGAAGAUUGAAGGAAAAAAUAUGGUAAAAUGCUAAAAGAAUUUCCUCCCUAUUUUAGAUGAAAAAGUAAAGACACUUUGAGGAUAGUGUGUUUUUAUUAAUGUGUUUGAAGGGUGUUUUUGUGUCCAUUUCCAUCUUUUCCUACUUUUUUCCAUUUCCAUGCAUUUCACCAAAUCCUUGGUAAACUCAGAAACUUAAACUUUAUGGGAGUUAGAAAUGAGAUUUCCAGGAAAUUUACGUAGUCCAUUUGUUAGAAAUUUUGUCUUCUCCUUUUUCCAAAGUUGACUAAUUCAAAGGUCCUUCCCAUGUGUUUGCAUACAAAUUUUUCCAAGUGGGAAGGGAUUUCAUGGAUUUCAAUUUUCCAAGAAAAUUGACCUGCUAUGGAAAAUUCCUCAAAUUUGAUGGAAAGUCUUUUGCAUGGCCCAAUAAGCACUUUCCUCUCAAUUUGUAGGACUUUUUUUGCCUUCUCUCAUCUCUCAUGUUUAUAUAUAUAUAUAUAUAUAUAUAUAUAUAUGAAUGAAUAUAAGGUAACUAACCCAUCUGACAAAUCCUCUAAAUAAUCACAAAACCCCAAAGAAAAAUCCAAUAGAAAAGGAGAAAAAGAAAAGAAAAAAACCUAAGUGUUGGAGACAGAGGAAAAAAAUUCAUAAGUAUAUUUUUAAAUUAAAAUAACUAUAUUAUUAUUAUUAUUAUCAUUAUUAUUAUUUUAAAAACAUCAUAAAUAUAUUUUAUUCAUAUUAAUAUUUAUAAUAUUCAUCUUCCUUUUAUUUUUUCUUUUGUAGAUGAAGUAAGAUCUCCAAAAAAAGAAAAAAAAAGAAAGUGCUAGUAGUUUAUAUGAAAAUCAAAAUGAAAGUGUUAGUAUAACUUUUGAAAAUUGGAAAAUUGUAAAUAUAGAGGUAGAGUCAGAUAAUGAGAUAGAAUUUGCAAACAUUAUCACAAGAUAUUUUGUUGAACAUCAAAAUAAUAGAAAAACUAUAUAGAAAUUCCGAGCUAGUUAAUAUAAUUUUAUAAGAAUUUAGUAAUCCAACGUUACUAGAAGAAUAGAUAGAUCAAGAAAACUUUGUUGAUAUAAUGUGUAAAAUCUAUAUAUACGAACAAAUAAUUGAAUAACUUUACAAAACCAAUUUGAUUAAAAAAACUCGUAAAUAUAGAAACAAUAAACCCAUUUACUAUUCAACCAAAAAUUAAAGGAAAACAGAGAUAAUUACAAAUGAGUUAGUAAAUGCAAUAGAAGAAGAAAAUAAAAUAGAAUUUGUAAAUGUAAAAAUUGAAAUAGUAAGGUAUAUGAAAUCGUAAAGCAAGCCAAAAAAAAUUAAAUUAAAAAUAGUAAUACAUUUGGCUUAUGAAACUUUGUAUAGAGAAAAAAAACAAAGUUAAAUAAUAAUUUUAAAAAACUAAAAUUCUUUGUGGCUUGAGAAAGUUUUAUUAAUCAUUUGUUUUCAAAGGCAAAAUGAAAAACCAAAAAACAAUUAAAAUCAUAGUAAAAUGAAUAGAAAUAAUAGAAUGUAUGAAAGGAAAUAUUAAAAUAUUAACAAUUAGAUUAUAGUUUUUAUAUAUAUUCUAAAAUAUAUAAUUAGUUUUUAUUUUUUAUAUUUUAGUUUGAAUUGAGAUGAUAUUUGAAAAUUGUUUAUUAUUAUUAUUAUUAUUUUAUGCUAAUAUUACUUUUUCUUUUCUUUUUAGAUAUUUUCAACAAAUGAUUCGAUUCAAUUUUAUUUGUGUUUUAGUUUUAUUCUUGAGAAAGUUAUUUUUACUCAUAUGAUUAAAAGAAUUUAUUGAAUUGUAAUUUUAAAAAAUCAAUUUGAUUUUAUUUACAAGAAAAUUGUUUUUUUAUUUAUUUUUUUCUAGAAAAAUAAUGAUUUUUAUAACUUUUUUAUGAAGGUAUUUCAAUUUAAUUUUUAUUUUUACAAGUUAUUUAGAAAAAUAAUUUUUAUAAAUUGAUCAACAACUAUAUUUAAAUUAAAUUUUAUUUGCAAGAAAAUUGAUUUUUAUUAUUUUUAUAUAAAACAAGACUUGUACAUUUUAUUUACAAAAAUAUCAAAAUUGGAUCCAAAUUUAUCAGUAAAAAUAAUUUUUAAUACUAAAAAUGGCUUUUUUUACAAUUUUAUUUACAAGAUAUACUUCAAUCCCUUUUUUAUUUACCAAAAAUGAUUUGUUUUAUAUAAAACAAGACUUUUACAUUUUAUUUACAAAAAUAUCAAAAUUGGAUCCAAAUUUAUCAGUAAAAAUAAUUUUUAAUACUAAAAAUGACUUUUUUUUUUACAAUUUUAUUUACAAAAUGCACUUCAAUCCCUUUUUUAUUUACCAAAAAUGAUUUGUUUUAUAUAAAACAAGACUUUUAUGUUUUAUUUACAAAAAUAUCAAAAUUGGAUCCAAAUUUAUCAGUAAAAAUAAUUUUCAAUACUAAAAAUGCCUUUUUUCUUUUUUUUUUUUACAAUUUUAUUUACAAAAUGUACUUCAAUCCCUUUUUUAUUUACCAAAAAUGAUUUUUUUUAUUAUUUGAUUUUUAAAAAAUAUCUUUAUUUGGUUUGAGCUAAGUUUUUUCCAUUUUAUUAUAAGAAGUUUGAAAAUUACUUCAAUUUUAUGAAAAUAAUUUCAACUUUAUUAUUUAAAAAAAGUUUCAAAUUUAUUAAAAAAAAAUUGAAAAUAUUUUUAUCCUUUUAAAGAAGAGAUUUCCAUAACUUUAUCCACAAAAGUAUUCUAAUAUAUUUUUACUUAAAAAAGAAUUUUAUUCCAAUAGGAUUUUAAAAAUAGUUUUUUAUACUUUUAUUAAAAAACGGUUUUUCCAAUUUUAUUUAGAAGAAAAAAAAUUCAGAAAAUAGUUUUUAUUAAUAUAAAAUUAAAAUUUUUCUUUUAACAAAAAUGGUUUCGAACAAUAGUUUUUAUUAAUAUAAAAAUAUAAAUCUUAUCUUUUAUCAAAAGCUGUCUUCCUCGUGGGGCUGUCUUUUCGGUCAAUCUAGCCAUCUCCCAAUCAACCCAUGCAAACAAAGGUCCAGACCAAUAAAAAUCAAUAUGCCAAGUAACAUUCAGCAAAGCCCAAUCAUAUAAAGCCCAAAUGAAUAUAAACUAAUCAAGCCUAAACUCAAUGAAUGAAGCUUAAAGCCCACAUGAACAAAUUUAGGCCCAAAAAUAGUCACAACUUAAUGUCUUGAGAGCCCACCAAUAAAACCCAAUGGUCAAAAUAUCAAUUGUGAAGAUCAAAGGACGGCUUUACUUCACUUUUAAAUUUUGUUUAAAAAAUAUUUAUAUUUUUAUUGUAUAUAUUAAAUAGAUCUCAAAUACAUAUCAUAGAGAGUAGUUUUCAUAAAAAUAUUUAGAGUGAGGGGUUCUUUGUUUGUUUGUUUUAUUUUUACUUAAGUCUUAAAACAAGUUACUUUAUUUAGAACUACUUUUUUAAUUUAUCACAUUUUUUAAGACAAUUUUAUUUAUUUAUUUAUUAUUCUCUUAUAUUACUUUUGAUCGAUAAGAUAGGAUAAGAUAUAUAUAUAUAUAUAUAUUUCAUGUCCCAGAAUAUGAAAUAAUAAAAUAAGAAUAACCUACAAAUAAUAAAAUAAGAAUUAACUAAAUUUUUUUCUUGGGUCAAGUUUUUUACUUUAAGCUUUUCAUUUCAGGCAGUUUUUGUUUUAAACUUUACUUUUAGACUAAAUUUGAUAUUUUUAUAAUAUUUAUAAUGUAUUUAUGUUAUAUUCAUUUUCUUUUCAUGUAUAUAUUUUCUUAAAUAUUGAAUUAUAUUAUUUCAUAUACUUUUUCAUUUUUUUAGAAAUAUGUACAAAUUUAUUUUUACUUUUUUAUUGCUAUAUUGAAACUUUUUUUUAAUUUACUAAUUAAUUUUUCAUAUAAAUAUAUUAAAAAAAAAUUAAACAUUAUAGAUGGAUUUUGAAUUAUGCAAUUCCAUCAACUUGUUUAUAUAUAUGAAUAUAAGGUAGCAAACCAGUCAAAUAAAUCCUCUACACAAUCACAAACCCCAGAGAAAAUCCAACAAAAAUAAAGAAGAAAUAAACCUAGCUAAGUGUCGGAGACAAAGGAAAAAAAAAUAAAUCAUAAGUAUAUUUCAAAUUAAAAGAACUAUUAAUAUUAUUAAUAUUUCUAUUUUGAAGAGAAUCGUAUUAUUUUUUAAUGGGAAGAGUUUUUAUUAUUAUUAUUAUUAUGAUUUUGAUACAAAAAGGGAGAGUAAGGUUGCAAUUUUCAUUUUCUAAAAACAAUUUUUAUUUUUAUUUUUAUUUUUUCUUGAAAAUAAGCAUGAUUAAGAUAAAGGAAAAUUAUUAAUCAUGGUUCUCAGUAUAAAAAGAAAAUCCAAAAGAAAAUAAAGUUAAAAUUGUAAUAAAAUGAAUAAUUUCUCAAAGAAAAUAUUAAAUAUUACCAAUUAUAUAAUAUUUUAUAUAUUCUGAAAUAUAAAAUAAUUUUUUAUUUUGGUUUGAAUCAAGAUGACAUUUGAAAAUUUUUUAUUAUUUCAAAUUUUUUGUUGUUAACUAUUAUAUUUCUAGUUUUACCCUUGGGUGAAGAGAAAAAGGGCGGGGUUCCUUGGCCUAGAAAACCCUUGCAAGAUUUUGACCUAGGUUGGGUUUCAAAAUUGGGCCUUCAUGCAUGAUUCAGCACAGAAGGUUUUGGGCUCACAGAUGAUGCGGGUGUAAGAUAAAUCAUAAUUAAUGGAUGUGUAGACCCCAUUCUGGGCUUGCUUUUAUGCAGCCAUUUUUGACAGGUGUAGCCAUCUAGGGUGGCCACGUGUCAAUCUCUGGUUGGCUGUUAGGGGCACCGGAGUAGUGUUUUUUAUGGCCAACCAGAGGUCGACACGUGUCCAAAGAAUCUGCAAAAAAUGCUGCAGACAGUCAGAGGAGCAGGGUUGCCAGCUGCUUGGUCUCGCUUUUCCUGGCCGUUGGGGGAUAUUCUGGAGGGGGUGCUUUUUCCAUUGUGGAGGGGAGGUCUCCAGAGGGGUUUUUCUUUCAGGUGGAGGAGAUAUUUUGAUUCAGAGAUGCCGUUAGGAUUUUUUGGAGAGAUGGAGGUUUUUCUUGGGAGCCAGAGGAGAUAUGUUGGGGGUGUUUCUUUCUGGCAGUGGGAGAGGAAGAAAAAGCUAGAGAAAGAGCUUGAGCUGAGAAGAAGGGAGAGAGAAAGUUAGUGCGGAGGGAGAGAAUUCCAUUGACGACUGUGGGAAAUUGUGGAGAGCUUUUGGAAGUUGCUUGGACAGGAGGGGAAGUUCACUGAGAAAGCUAAAAUUUGAUUCUCGUUGAUUAAGGAACCAGGUAUAUACACAGUUUUUCCCUCGUCUCUCGUUAUUCAUUGAUUUUCCUUAACAUAAUGCUGUUUGGGGUGGAUGUUGAAGGCCACUGAUUUGUUUGUUGAUAUAUAUGCCUGCAUUUGUGUGGUUACGAAAUGCUUGAGAAUCAUAAGGGUGGUUACAUUUGAUAUGGUUUACCCACCUACACAGAAUGAUUCAUGAAGUGGAUUUUCUGAGAUUUUUCUUUAUUUAUUCAUCUUCUUUUACACUCUGUUUCUCUACUUCCCCUGUUUCCUGGUAAGUUUUCCUAUCUCUGCUUGAAGAAGUAAGAUACUGCAAGAGAUAUGUUCUCAAGCCAUGGAUAUGGGAAGUUGUAAUGCGUUUAUUGUAGCCGGGUGAUUUUAUGCGCAUAUUUAGUGGUUUAUGAGAAAAAUCGGAUGAAGAAGCCGCAAAGGGUCAGAGCUCAUGAGGAUAGAGCAUGAAAACGGGAUGUAAAGGAGGUUUAACAAUCGAUUGUCAACUCACGACCCCUGACAAUGCUACUGCUAUUUCUCAUAUUGGUUUGGUUAUUGCAAGUAGUAGCAUGUAUAGGAGGAACAGACAAUUGUGGGGGAAGGAUUUCUCGGGAUAGAAGGUUUUUCUAUACGUCAAGAUCAUGAAGUUUUGGGUCCUGAUGCGUAAAUUGGUGUGUUUGGGUCUAAGCUACAAGCGAAACAUUGGAGAACGAUAUAGCGUCAUUGGUGGAUAGGAUAUUUGAGCUCGACAAGGAUUCUGGAGUGAUAAUGGUUGCUUGUAUAAAUUCGUAGGUUGAAACACUCCCUAAGGACCCUGUGAUCUGCAAUUGCUGAGAUCUCCGCGAUGCAGGAAAUCAGAUAUUUGCGCCAUGUGUCUCAGAUGGAAAUACACAUAAGCAUCAGCGCGAGGGACUUAUAAUGGUCACGAUGCAUGAAACUGAUUUAGAUGCUUUCAAAUGGGCAUAAUUUUUGGGUAUAGUCAGAAUGAUUCUAUGGACGAGGCUCCAUGCUUGUUCCAGGCAAUGUCUCUUGAUGUUGGGUUGUUGAAAGCCAUGCUUGUGACUAAUGAAUGCUAUCCAAAACCGCCAUACCCAUCAAGCUCACAUAACUCUUCUUCACGCCCAUGUUCAUGCUUUUCUGCAGUGGCCCAAACCACCUUGUUCAUCCCACCACCUUUUCUCUCUCUAGUUUUUCAUACCCAUUUCUUGAUACCCACUUCAUUCAUCCAUCUCUCCUUUCCACCAUACCCUUCACAACCGGUUUCUAGACCCAUUAAUACCCUCACAUGCCUACCACUGCCCUUAUCUCUCUAUACCACAUGCCGUUCAUUGCUCACGGUUCCCCCAUUGGCCUCCAUCAUCUCAUGCUAUCAAUCCCACGCCUAUGUCCUCCUACAUCAUCCACAACCGUGUUCCAAUGCUACUAUAAAACCCAUUCUUCUCUCAACCUUUCACUUACUUCGUACCCACCAAGCCCCCAAGACCCACUUCGCACUUCACUCAUGGCUGCGCCUCAUGCUGAUCCCGUGCGUACAACCGACUUCAUGACUACUCCUCCCAAUUCAACGUUUCCAGGUGCAAUGUUACAGGGUUUCAACAUUUACCAGGGAAAACACCUAUGUGUGCAGCCUGCAUGUGUGCUCACUAAUGAAUAUGCUGGCCGGCACAAGACAUGCAAAAGCCGAGCCUAUGAUAGAAAAUGGGGUUUAAAAGAUCUGUAAGGAUUCAUGGUUCAAAUGAGGGUUCUAAAUCAGAUUGAGUCCCAUUGGGUGACGCGUCAAUAUCUUCUUGGUACUAGAGAAGAUGAAAGAGAAGGUGCAUAUGUAGUGUUCACAAUUCUCUAUCAGCCAUGGACACUAGCAGAGAAUAAUGAUGAUAUUCUCAUUAUUGAGAUUGCUAAAACGAACAAGAAUGUUGUUCAUGACGUCAUUCACGUUGGCGGGUCCGCUAUCGUUCCCAUUAUGCAAUAGCUAGCUAUUGUAAGAUCCCGACUGUCCAUCCCACCACUAGGGUGAAAGCACGGCGACGACCCUACUUAGAGAUUCCGUUGAUGCUAAAGGGUUAAAGCAGUUUAAGGAUGAGAUGAUCCGAAUGAAGAUGAUGAUGAACGGGCUGGUGAAUUGCAGGAGCAUGCAGAAAUGGUUAAUGUAGAGAGGUCAAGUUUUCACCUGCAUGAAUUCCCGUUCCUGUCUUGAGAUGAAUGCCUACAAAAUGGGUUGUAGACAUCAAUGACGUAAAUUGUGGUGAAGUCCAUACCCUGGACAUUCUUGGUGAGCUCUCUGCUUUUAAGAUACCUGCCAAGUGAGAUAAAUUAUGGUGCCUACAAGGAAGUUCCGGAUGCUGAAUCCCCCCAGAAUGAAUUCCCGAUAGUUCCACUGCUGUUUGCAUAUAGCGCGCUGCUCUCUUCACAAUCCUUACAUGCGGAAGACAUCAUUAUCGGUUUUUUUUUAUAAGGGAAUAUUCUGUAGAGCAUGCACUUGAGAAUGCUUGCAGCCGCACCUUACAUUAUUGCAACCCAGAUCCUCUUUACUGAAUAAUAUACACCGAGGACGAGUUCUACGAUGUGGAGAGGUCAAACCCAGUUUAUAAAUAUGCUUUUGUUAUGAAUGAAGAAGAGAUGUAUUAUACUUACGAGCUUGUUAAUAGCUCUGUUACUUUGAGGCUGGUUUUAAAUCCACAUGGAUGUGUGCGGUGUUUCAUAUGGAUUGAUCGAACACGUGGGUGGAUCAUUUAUUCAUUUGCACAGAAGGACGACUAUGACAGUCAUGUUCUGUGUGGUGCAUAUGGCAGCUGCAACAUUAACCAUCCCCGAAAAUGUACAUGUAUGGAAGGAUUUGUGCCAAAGUUCCUCAAAGAAUGGAACAUGGUGGGUUGGUCAAAUGGAUGUGUUCGGAGCACUCCACUGGAUUGUCACAAGGAUGAGAGGUCGUCGCUUGGUUCUUCUCUGUGGAGCCGCGACGCUCAACACUAUAUUACUAGUGCAGUUGCAGCGGAGGUAGAUGCUUCCGUGACCUCAACUGCAUCUAAACCUGAGCAUGAGCUUCCAAUAUUUGAAGUCCUUCAAGUGGACUUAGACGAGUAAAUGGACAAGGAUUCCCGAGUAUGCAUGCUGGGUGAAGACGUGGGUCACUAUGGAGGUUCCUACAAGGAGACAAAAGGGCAUGGCUACAAAAUAUGGGAUCCCAAGGGCUAGUAGGGUCCACAACAUCAUGGUCUGAUUUGGUGACCUAUACAGCUUCAAACCGCACCUCUAGGGCAGGUAUUGCAUGGCCACCUUUUGGACAUGCUACUUUGGCCACGAGCUUUUCCUAUGUGUCUUCACUUCAUCUAUUCUAAACAUAAUUUCUAGCACUCUCAUUCCUCCAAACAAUUUAUUUAUUUUUUUUAAAUCCCAUUUUAUAAAUAAUUUUUCACAUUUCAAUUUUCAAAUAAAUUUCAACUCUUUUCCUCUUCAUCUUUAGGGACUCUUUAGAUUUCAAAGUCUCAUUUUCAAAUAAAUUUUUGCUGCCACCUCUCUUCGGCAUGCAACUUUCAAGACUUCCCUGAUUUUAAAAUGUUUUAAAAUAAGCAAGAAUAAAAUUCCGUAAUUCUAAGCAAAGGAAUUUAUGGAAUUAAUUCAUGCAAAAAUGAAUCGGACUAUGGUGGAGGCCCCACAUAUGAGUUUUCAUGACUAAUUGACUGUUUGAUUGAUUUAUCUGUCAUGUGUGAUUGAUUUAUUCUGUUCCUUGAUAUACAUAUAAUCAUUCUGUGUUCAUUCACUAACCCCGCUUUUGAUAAUGCAUUACAGCUCGUGGCCCAAGUAUGCACUCUCUAUACCUAUUCUGAUUUUCAUAUGUGCAAGUUUGAUUUGAGUAUCCACUAAUUUUCUCAUUGAUUGCCACGUUAACUUCAAUCUAUUAGUAGAGACCCGACUCUAGGGACUUAGAGGGGUGCUACGGUUUAUACCGUACCUUCCCGAUAAGUAACUUGACCCCCGAACCCAAUCUGGUUUUUCACAGACCACCUUUUCCAAAAAUCAGGAGUUGUACUUAAGGUUUUCUUUCUUAUUUUGUUUACCCUUUAAAAUAAAACAAAAAUAAGUGGCGAAUCUAAGUCAGUUUUUUUUUUAAUUAAUAAAAAAUCAUUUUUUUUUCAAAAUAAAAAAUCAAGCUGGCCAUUCGAGUGGGAAACGCAUUGAGCAUGAAAUGCGGGGUCCACAGUAUGAUUAUUGAUUUUUUUUUUUUUUAAGCAAGUUCAAAAUCAUUGAAUUGGAUAGAAAUUUGCUAGCCCCGUUUGGAUUAAAAGAAAAUGCUAGGAAAAAUAAAAGUUGAGAAAUAAAUUUAAAAUUUUAAAUUGAUUUUUUCAUGAAAAAUGUGAAGAAAAAUAAUAAAAUAUAAUGGAAAAUACCAUAAAAUAUUUCAAAAUUUUCAAAGUCUUCUUUCCAUUUUAUAAAAGAGAUAAAUAAAUUUGGAGAUUUAUUUUAUAGCUCUAAAUGUAAAAAGGGAAUAGAGGUGUUGAAAUGGUAAUCAAUAAAAACUUACAAAAGUUUUCAAUAAAGUAAUUUUUUCCUUAUCACUAACUUUAAAAAAAUAAUAAGAAGAAAUAUUGAAUAAAUAUUUGGAAUAUAUAUAUAUAUCCAAUUUUAAAGGUUUAUUUUCAAGUUUGAUAAAUAUAUUUUCAAAGUUUUGCUGCUUUUAAUAUUUAAUUUCUUUAGUAAUAAGCAAUUUUUCUGAGAAGAAUUGUACAAAGCAAGAAUAAAAAUAUAAAAAAUUUACAAAAUAUUGGUAGUUAGAUUUUAUGAAGAUAUCCAAAAAUAUUAUAUAAAAAUUCCUAAAAAAUUAUGCUGUGAUCAAAAUUGGCCACAACCCAUAACAAGAAAGGAAAAUCCUCAAUUUUAUUUUCAAUCCUAAACUUCAAAUACUCAAAUCCAAUUUUUCAUAGAAAAUUGAACUAAAUAUAUUUUUGGAAAUUUUAAUUAACUCUUGUUUUAGAAACUAGUUAAACUACCUUCAUGUAGUACAAUUUAAAUAAAAAAAAUGAAUUUACCAUAAAUUAAUGAAAUUAUCAUUCUCAAAAAUUUAAUAUGACUAAAAUAAAUUUUGUUUUUAUCUAUUUUCUCUCUUUUUUUCAAAAAAAUUUAGAUCUAAAACUUUCCCAUGAAAUGAUAACUCAAAACCCACACCAACAAUAUAAAAGUGGAAUCAAUACAUAUAAAAUAAAUCCACAAAUUUCAAAAUCAUAAAACUUAAAUUUCAAGUUUUUUAAUAAGUCCAAUUUAACAAAAUAUAAGUUUAAUAUAAAAUUUCAUCACAAAAUCCAUAAAAACAAACUUCUUAGAUUUUUACAUUUAAGUUUUAGUUCCAAAUUCUACCAAGGCAUAAGUACUUAUAUGUGUUGUUGAUAUAAAUGUCUCUUUGUGGCAUCUCCAAAGUUCCAACUUUUCAUGUUCGUCAUUAUCUCUUCCUCGCCUAAAAAAACCCUAAUAAAUUAAUUAAAAUUUUUUUAUUCACUAAUUACCAUCAUUUUCAUUGUCAAUAUCAAAACCAUCGAAAUGGAAAUUCUCCGAUAUUCAUUAUAAGAAUAAAUUUAUUUAACUUCCACUUUGGCCUUUGACAACAUGAAUAUAGCUUUCAUGUAGGAUUAUCUUUACUCUUUCUCCUAAUAUGAUCAAUUUCUAACCGUUUUGUAUAUAUUUCCUUUAACAAAAUACUUUUGCUAAAAAUUAUGAAAAAUAGCUAAAAGUGUAAAUAUCAUUUUAUCAAGCAUUGGAUGAUGUAUCGUAUAUGUUUCAUAAGAUACACUUAAAAUAAGAUAGGGGUUGCUAAACGCCUCGUAUCAUGUAUCCUAAGUUUUUAACAACUAUGAUCUAGAUAAAGUUUGAUCCAUAUGCUGAAUGGUGAAGUCAAUGUAAAUAUAACAAAGACAAGAACAUUGAUGCCAAAGGUGACCUCUGAAAUGAAAUACUCACGGGUGGAUAGCAUCAGGAGCACGCCUUGAGCUACUCAGACCAUAUGCAAGAAGAGCCUACAUUGUGAAUAUGUAUUAGUUUCUCUGCGUUCAAUAACUACAAAAUCAACACAAAUGUAAAACAAGAGUAAAAGAUAAGAAUGUCAGGAAGAUGAACAAUCAGACUAACAGGAGUACCUGAUUUGCAAAAUCUGCGGCUGAGUGCACAACUUCAGCCAACAUAACAUGGCUAGAGGUUGUUAACCAGACCCCAAACUUGAGAGAAAAGACGAGGAAGUUACACCAUAAUGCAGUUCUGACUGCUCGUUGGCUAGAAUAAACAUGUUAGGCAGAAACAAAAGAAAACAAAAAAGGUCAGAUGGUGAAAAGUGGGAGCUAAAUUUCUGGUCCCUAAUUGCAAAAAAGGCUCAAAAUUCUUGAUAGGUUUGGAUUCAGUGCAGUUCAUUAAUAUGCAGCUAGGAUUGACGUCAUCCACAAUCACUCCACAUCCUAAGAAAGUGAUCACCCAUAAAAUCACACUAGAGGAGAGAAUCAAGAAACAAAGGAAUCAAAAGAAUGAAAAGCUUUCUCUUUCAUGACUGCUUGCAUCAACUAGUUAAUUUACUCUUUUCUUGUAUUAAAUCAAAGAUAAUGUUACAGAAGAUUAAGAAUUUCCAAAACCAUAAAUAUACACACUCCUAAAGGUUUUGUAGCCUAUUUCUGUGAACUGGGACAUUCCAACUAACCCCAUUUUCAUUUUCGGGUUGCUAUAAAAUAGUGCCCCAAAAUAAAACAUUCCCAUAAAUCUUGCCUUACUUUCCCAAAACCAAAAUACAUGUACUCCGACUCUUAUUUGCAAGUCAACCACACAAAUGCUCACAUGAUCAAUCAACAAACCAACUUACAGCCCCAAAAAUGGCCAGAAAACAACUCAAUUUACCUGUCCUAUAGUAAGCCCUUAACAUGAACUGAAUAGUCCCAAAAAUGCAAUUCAAUUCAAUUCAAUUUGUUUAUCUUAUGGUAAACUAUUAACAUGAAUCAAACAGGCCCCAGAAACUUAAUAUACUAUAGUAAGCCAUUAAUAUUUUUUUUUUUUUGAUAGAUAAACACACAGAAAUAUAUUAUAAAGGGGCAAAAAGGCGACCCAGAGUAUACAGGGAGUAUACAAGCAUCACCUACAAAAAAAAACCAGAAACUAAAAGGACAAACCCUUACCAGCCCUCAACAAGAACCCACCCAGUCCACAAAAUUAAACAAGGAAAAGGGGCCUUGAACUAUGGAAGAAUUAGCCCAAGAUAAGAGAUUACACAUGAAGGAAUUUUUCAAUCUUUGAAUUGAUAGGACUUCAUUUUCAAAAACUAUCCUAUUUCUUUCCUUCCAAACCGUCCAAAAUAAGCAAAGAGGAGCUGCCCUCCAAACCUUGCUACGCUUCUUAUCCUUUAAGGGAGCAAGCCAACCUAAAAGAGUGUCUCUAACUGAAAAAGGGAUAACCCAAUUAACACCAAAUAAGGAGAACAAGAGAUCCCACAAGACCUUUGCCUUAGGACAGUGAAUAAGGAUGUAAUUUAUCGUCUCUUCUUCAUCACAACACAAGGGGCACCUGUUAGCUAAUUUCCAGCCCCUCCUCUUUAGUUGGUCUUGAGUGAGCACCUUCCCCCAAGAGGCUUCCCAAGCAAAAAAGCCCACCUUGGAAGGAACAAACGAACUCCAAAUAAUUCUCCAAGGAAACGGGACUGCACUGCUGUGGUCAAGAGAGUUGAAACAGGAUUUUACAGAGAAUAUCCCAUCCUUCGUCUCCUUCCACACCAUCCUAUCCUCCAAAUCAGCAUUCAGCCUUUUUCCUUGAAUGAUCAGAAGGAAACUCUCCACCUCCUCCACCUCCCAAUCAUUGAAAGGUCUAAGGAAGCGGGGAUUCCACCCACCCACUUCCCCUAUUGAGUCCCAACAGUCCGCAACCUUCGCGUCUUUAGAAACCGCUAAAUCAAACAAGGAGGGGUAAGCCAUUAAUAUAGCUCAACUAGGACCCGAAAAUUCAAUUCAAUAUAAUUCCACAGUAAGCUAUAAAAUCCAAUCAUGAUUAGAACAAUAGCAAUAAGGAAACAAUGUAGGUCAAUAAAAGAAACCAAUGAAAACUAAUAAUAUCAAUAUCACCUGUGCUGAUCAUUGAUUUCAAUGUUCUUAACUUCCUUGGCUCUAGUAAAAAAAUCUGUAAAGAUCAAAGAAAGCCAACAUCAACCCACAAAAUGGAAAAAGAAUAAAAAUAAAACCACACCAUUCAUCCACCUUCAAAGAAAAAAAAAUACUCACUACGAUUGAUAUAGUGGCGAUUAGAAUCUAAAGAGGUCCCACAACUGCACAGAAAAUUCCGCAAUAUGGGCCUUGGAGCGAAAAAAAGGGCUCCAUUUUCUGGGAAUUUACAGUAAGAGCUGGGUUGUUGAAGGUUGUGGUUGAAGGAUGGAGAGGAAUGUAGGAACUGGGAGAAAGUGAGGAGGCGAGAGAGGGGGAAAUGGGAGUAGUGGUGGCGCGUGAGGAGAGCUGGAGAUGGGCUAGGCGUGAAUCGAAGAAGGCAAGAGCCUAUCUUCUUGUUGAUGCUUCUCUGCAUGCUCCUUGCUACUCCACCUCCAUGGAAGCCCUCGUUUCAGAGAUUUCAGGGUUUUGAGCUUUUUGGUUUUGUGAGUUGGAAGGGUUUUUGGAGAAAUGGGAGGAGAGGGGUUUCUGGAAUUGGAACAUGCUUUCUGAUGUGUUUUUCCACUUUUGGGUAAAAAUAAAAAUAAUAAAAUAAAUAAAUUUAUUAUUAUUAUUAUUAUAUUAUGACUCUAUAUGUUCAAGUCAAAAUUUAUUUUAUGAUACAAUUUAUUUUAUAAAAUUGAAAAUAUUUAUAUUAUAGAUAAAAUAAAUAUUAUAUAAAAAAUUAUUUGAGAAAAAAGGUAAAAAAGAUGGUAUUUAUGUUGAGGAAAAACUUUCCCAAUUUUAAAUUUUAGGUUUUUUCAUAUAAUAAUUAUAGAAAAAUACUUCAUUAUCUAAAAUACUUCAAAGGUUGGCUUCUCUUGCUACUUAUGUUUUUAUUAUUUAAACAAUGAUUUUUCUUCAAAAAAAAAAAAAAACCUACUCUUAAACAUUAUUUUAAACAAUAAAUAUUGUAUAUAAAUAAAAUAAAUAUUGCACAAACAAUAUAGUAUAUAAGAAUAUUAUAGUUAAAAAUAACUAUAGUACUUUUGUUUUUUUGGAUAAAUAUGUAUACAACAUAUUCAUUAUACUAAUUGUAUUUUUAUCAUAAUAUUAUAAAUCGAUACCAAUUUUAACUUAGUUUUAUGUUUUUUGGUUGUGAAUGAGAAAUUUGCCGGAAAGGAAAUUAAAUUUAUUAGGCAUGACCUAAAAGCAAAGAAUAAAAUCCAUUUUAUCCCCUCAACCUUUUGUGUCUCUUACACUUUGUCCCACAUUCAAAAUCCAACGCACUUCAAACUUCUUAAUGGGUAGCACUCAACUUUUUUUUUGGAUAAUUUUUAUUUUCAUUAAAUGGAUGUGCUCCACACGUGAUGUGAUAAGAGGGUAAAAAUGUCAUUUAAAAGAUAUCCAUGGCCCUAAAAUCUAUUCCUUCAUUUUUCUUUUUCUGAAACCUUGAAAUCCUCAAGUCUAAAAAAACACACCUCCUCUAAUCAAUCUUCCUAUUAUGCUGAGACAAUGAGUCUAGUACAUUAUAUGUUGGCAAUUUUGUUUCAAUAUAUUCUAACUCAUGAAAGUUUUUAAAUAGUGAAUUACUCUUCAUUGAAGAUUCAAGGUUGUUGUUGGUUAAACCAUAAAGUUACAGGUAAGUUUAAAAAUGUUUAUUUAGUGGCAAGUUAAAUGAUUAAAGGGUUAAAGUGGAUUAGUAUUUUUUUCAUAAGCUAAAAAUACUUGAAUUAAUGUUUUGGAAAAAACAAGAGACACUUGAGCGGUGGAACCAACACUCAAGUGCUUAUCUAACACUCAAGCUCACAAGGCAUUCGAGCGAUGGUUAAGUGCAUUCAAGUGGUUGUCCCAAAACUGCUAGAAUAUGGUAGAUUUCUUUUUGAAAUUUUAUAAGUAUUAUUUUUUGGAAAUUCUAUAUAUCGAUCCCUUAGGCCUAUAGGCCUAUAUAAACCCUCUAUUAACCCUUUUUAGGGUUAGACACCUUGAAAGAGUUGACCAACUUAACCUAUCAUUCCUAAUCUCUCAAGAAAAAAUUCAUAAUAUUGAAUUUCGGGUUGUUGUAAGAACUUGCAUCCCCUAAGAGGUUGAGAAGAAUCUACUAGAGCAUUAGAGGUGUUAUGUCGCGGAUGUGGAUCAAGGUAUAGGUGCUAGAGAAUAAGUUUUUAAGGUAAAAUGGUCAAGUAAAUCUGUGUACUUUGAUAUGAAAUAGUGGAUUGUAUAUUAAAGGUCUUAGACCUCAUGGUUUUUAUUUCCACAGUUAGUGUUAGGUUUUUCCACAUAAAAAAUUAUUAUGUCUCUUGUUUGAUAUUUGAUUACUUUGAUUAUCCCUAAUAUCUUCAAGUUUUAUUUUGGGAUAAUUUUUCAUCACUUAUAUUGUAUUAUUUAAAAACACCUAUUCCCUCAUCUCCCCUCUCAGGUGUUAUCCUAAUAGACAAAAGGUUUUUUCAAUUGGUAUAAGAGCAAGCUUUUCUAAAUAAAAAUCAUAUUUUUAUUGAUCUUGCAAGUCUAAUAUGGAACAACCAAGGUCUGAAGCUCCCCUAAAUAGUCCACUCUAUUUCGAUGGGAGUAAUUAUCCCAACUAAAAGGCCCGAAUGAUUUUUUGAAAAUGCAAGGAGAAAAGGUCUAGAAUGCAACGAAAUAUGGAUGAAGACUUCAUUGAAACUAUAUGUGAAUGGGAAAUCUACUUAUGAAUUAAAACCCAAAAAAGAAUGGCAUAAAUUAGAUAAUGAAGAAAGUGAUGCCAAUGCUCGGGUUCUCUUUAGCAUAUUCAAUAGGGUAAGUCCUAAUGAGUUUUGCAAGAUAGCCACAAGAUGCUAAAAAAGCCUAGGACAUUCUCCAGGUUACUCAUGAAGGCACUUUAGUUGUGAGGUUGGCUAAAUUGCAAAUGUUAACCUUCAGGUUUGAAAGCAUUAAAAUGCAAGAGGAUAAAACUUUCUUUGCAUUCUAUGCUGAAUUAAGCGACAUUUUGAACUUCUUUUUUUAACUUAAGAGAACAAAUCCCUGACUUUAAAGUAAGUAGAAAAAUCUUGAGAUUUCUUCCUGAAAGGUUUAAACCUAAGGUCACCACAAUAGAGGAAAACAAGGAUAUUUACUCCAUGAGGGUUGAUGAACUUGUUGGUUUUUUUCAAAUCUAUGAAAUGACCUUUCUAAACUCUCACAAGCCAAAAGAGUCUACUUUUAAGGAUAAUGAAAUUGAAGAAAAAGAGUCUGAAAAUCAUAAUGAGAUAACUAGGGAUGAACUAGCGUUCAUGGCUAAACGUAUUAAAUGGGUUUGAAACUUAACAAUAGACCUAAUAAGAACAAGCACUUGGGAAAGGAAAAAAGAUUUGGUAGGUCUUCUAAAGAAAAAGAUAAGGAAAUUACGAAAGAGAAAAAAGGUAAAGUGUUUUAAUUAUGGAGGUUUGGAACAUUUUUCUAUUGACUAUGUCCUAGUCUCAAUGACAUUAAAAAAAAUUGUGCAAGCUACAUGGAGCGACACUUACUCUGGUGAGAGUGACUCUAUGACUUCUGAAGAUGCAAGGUAUGAGCAAAAUGAUUAUUUAAAUUUUAUUGCAUCUGUUGAUUCUAAGCAUGAUACUAAUAGUCAUGAGAGUGAGUAUACUAAUGAAUAGAAUGCUAGUUUUCUUAGAAAUAUUUCCAUUGAAUAUCAAAAACUGAUUGAACAAUAUUUGAAGACUCAUAAUAUUCUUAACUCAUAAAAAGCUAAAAUUGAAUAUUUUUAGUGAAAAAAGACUAAUUAUCUUGCGAAAAUUUGAUUCAUUGAGUUUGAAUAUCAUUCUCUUCUUGAGAAAAACAAUAUUCUAACUUAAAAAAUUGAGACUAAAAAACCAUCAAUAAGGCUUUUCACCUUGGGACUAGUGUUGGAUGAAAUUCUUGAGAAAUGCAAGUCCCAAGGAGAUAAGAAAGGCCUCGACUAUAUUAGCAAAACCAAGACUUCCACAGGUGGAGGCAUAGUAUUAGUUAAAAGUAAGGAGGAAACUCCUAACCAAGAAACAUCUUCUAGCACUCUCUCACUAUUCACACACUGUAAGAAGUCUGAAUAUACUCAAAGUAGGUGUCACACUAGAUUUCUUGAGAGCAAUGAGUCUCAAUUGAAUAGGCUUGUGAAUGAGUUUAAAUCUCUAAAGAAUAAUAUUUUGAACACCAUGAGAGGGAAGAAAACCAAUACAGAGCUUAAGACUCAACAAAGCUCCUCCGAGUCACCACCUAAAACAAGUGUGGAUGAGAAAAGAUAGGCUUAAGUGUUAGAUUGUUUUCACAGCCCUUAGAGCUAAAGCCCUUAGUGAAGCUCUAGGCAUAUGACAGAUGAUAAGUCUUUGGUCACCUCUCUUGAGGAUUUUAAUGGAGGAAAAAUCACCUUUAGGGAUGGUAGUGUAGCCCAUGUGAAAGGUAAAAGUAGUAUCUCUAUCCCCAUAUGCCUAGAUUUAGAUGGAGUCCUUUAUGCUAAUGAACUUAAGGGUAAUCUUCUUAGCAUUAGCCAAAUUUAUGACAGUGACUAUAGGGUAAACUUCUUUUAAAGUUUGUGCGAAGUGAUAAACAAGGAAGGAGAAGUCAUUUUCAUUAUGCUUAGAACAGUGGAUAAUUGUUAUGCAAUAAAUUCUAGUUCUAAAACCUCUUUGGUUUGUAGUAGGGCUAAGCUUGAUAUCAUUGAGUCAUGGCAUAGGAGGCUAGAUCACAUAAACUAUAGACACUUGGUCCACAUAACUAACAAAGACCCAGUUAGACGUAUCCCUAAGUUGAGUAGUCAACCUAAAUCUAUUUGUGGAGAGUGCCUAAAAGGUAAAUAAGUAAGAAACUCACUAAAAAAUAUUCAAGGGAAUAACACUUCUAGGCCUUUAAGCCUUCUUCACAUGGAUCUCAUGGACCUUAUAUGAAAAUGGAGAGUAAAGGAUGUCGUUGAUUUUUCCAGGUAUUCCUUUGUAAGUUUUCUAAAGGACAAAUCUGAAACAUUGAGCACUUGAAGUCCUUGUGCACUAGAAUUCAGGUGGAAAUAGGUAAUCCUAUUGUUAGGAUUAGGAGUGAUAGUGGGAGAGAGUUUGACAAUGUAGAAGUUGAUCUCUUUAUGAAUUAAAGGAGAUUAAACAUAAUAUUUUGCCUUUAGAACUCCUCAACAAAAUGGAGUGGUAGAAAGGAAGAACCGUGUUCUUUAAGAAAUGACCUGAGUAAUGAUUAACAUGCAUGAUACUUCUAUGUAGUUUUGGACUGAAAUAAUUAACAUGACUUGUUAUACUGCCAAUAGGGUUUUCCUUAGGCAUGGAAAAAAGAAAACAUCCUAUAAAUUGUGGAUUGGAACAAAGAAAACAUCAUAUGAAUUAUGGAUUGGCAGUGAGUGCUAUAUUCUCAAGGAUAGAGAAAACCAAGAUAAAUUUAAUUCUAAGUCUAAUUUGGGUAUUUUCCUAUGUUAUUCCAAUAAAAGUAAAACUUAUAAAGUUUAUAAUCAGAAUACUAAAGUUAUCCAAGAAUCUUCAAAUGUAGUCAUCAAUGAUUUUGGAUAGGACUAGGAAGUCAUUGACUUUGAAAGUUUAACCUAAAAAUCAAUUGGGAAUAACCUUGAAAAAGUUAACUUAGAUGAUAGUCUUAAAAGUAUCCUAAAGAGGUAAUUGACCCCAACAGGGAUGAAAAACCACUUGAAAUUGCUAAGUUGGGCAAAGAGGAAAGUAAACAUAAAUCUAGAGUGCCCAAAAAUUACCCUAUCUCAAAUGUAAUAGGAAACAUGGAUGAUUCCAUGGUUACAAGGAGACAAUCUAGACAAAAUGAGAUAGAUUUUUUUUUUUUUUUUUUGUUAUACCUCCUAAUUAGACCUAAAGAAUGUAGAGGAAGCCUUAGGAGAUAAAUCAUGGACUACUACACUAUAUGAAGAAUUAAAUCAAUUUGUUAGGAAGAAUGUGUGGUACUUAGUCCCUAGGCUUAAAGACAAACCUGUAAUAGGCACAAAAUGGAUAUUUAAGAAUAAACAAGAUGAAAAUGGGUUCAUUGUGAAGAACAAAGCUAGGCUAGUAGUCCAAGGAUAUUCCCAAAUUGAGGGGAUUGAUUUUGAGGAAACUUUUGCACCUUUAACUAGGUUAGAAUCUAUUAAAAUCCUCCUAGAUAUUGCAUGCUCAUUGAGAAUGAAGCUUUUUCAAAUGGAUGUUAAAAGUGUCUUCCUAAAUGGGAUUCUUAGUGAAGAAAUCUAUGUUGAACAACCUAAGGGAUUUGUAGGUCCUAAACUUCCCAAUCAUGUUUAUAGGUUAAAUAAAACCCUUUUUGGAUUAAAACAAGCUCCUAGAGCUUGGCAUGAGAGGCUUACAACUUACCUUUUGGAAAAAGGGUUUGAGAGAAUGAAAGUUGAUAGAACUUUUUUUCAUUUAUAGGUCUAAGUCUAAAUUAUUAGUGGCUCAAAUUUAUGUUGAUGGUAUAGUUUUUAGAGUCACCCUUACCCUUAACUUUGUUGUGGAUAUGAAAAAAGAGUUCAAAAUGAAUUUGGUAGGUGAACUCAAUUUCUUUCAAAGACUACAAAUUAGACAACUCAAAUAUGAUAUCUUUCUAUCUUAGUCUAAAUAUGAUAGGAAGUUAGUAAAGAAAUUUGGACUUGAGUCCACUAAACACUUUAGGAUACCCAUGAGCACCACUACUAAGCUUUGUAAGAACACAUUUGGGAAGGAUGUUGAGAAAAAGCUUUAUAGGAGUAUGAUAGGAAGUUUGUUAUAUCUUACUGCAAGUUGUCAGGACAUCUCCUUUAGUGUGGGAGUUUGUGCUAGGUACUAAGAAAAUUCCAAAAAGUCACACUUAACUUUUGUCAAAAGAAUCAUUCAUUACAUUAGUGGGACCUUAGAUUAUGGGUUAUGAUGUCCUUAUGCUUCCUCUUGUGUUAUUAUUGGAUAUUUCGAUAUUGAUUGGGUUGAAAAUGUAGAGGAUAGAAAAAACACUUUUGCGGCUUACUUCUUUAUUGGGGAUUGUUUAGUCACUUGGCUAAGUAGAAACAAAAUUUAAUUUCUUUGUCCACCGUACAAACGAAAUAUAUGGUCAUAGGAAAUUGUUGUACCUAACUUCUUUGGAUGAAACAGAUGCUCAGUGAGUAUGACAUUGAGUAGGGCACUAUGAGUCUCCAUUGUGACAAUCUAGUGCUAUUAACAUUUCAAAAAUUUUUGUUCUUCAUUCUUGAACUAAAAAUAUAGACAUCUGUCAUCAUUCUAUUAAGGAUUUAGUUGAAGAUAAAGUCAUUUCUCUAGAGUUUGUCUCAAUGAAACAUCAAUUGGUAGAUAUUUUCACUAAACGCUUGGAUUCUCUUAGGUUUGAAUUCCUUAAGAAGUCCUUGGGUAUAUGACUAAUUGACUAAAAGUCAAAAGGGUAUAAACCUAAGGAUUUGUGUUUUUUUAUCUAUCUUAUUUCUUUUAGUCAAUCCCAUCUUCCUCUUAGAGCACUGGUCUUAUACCCUUUUUCAUUUGCCUUAUUAGUAAGAAUUUCAAUCUCUCAAGUUUUAAGUCUAAGUGAAAUAUACUAAACCUACAAGGGUUGAUUUUAUUUUCCCUAGAAUUUUUAUAAUUACUUUUGAGGUAAAGAAUCAAGGUAUAUAAAAAUCUUUGUAUAGUGGGAUAUCUAAAGAGAAAUAAUUGGCAAGUGAUCCAUGAGGAAUCUUCUUAAGUUUAACUAAUAAAAUAGAAUUUGUUUUUUUCUUUGGAAAUAAUAUCAUGCCUAAUUCUUUUUCAUUCACUUGCCUUGUUUGUCUAAGUUCUAUAUUAUUUUUUCCCAAAACGUCUUAAGGCAUUCUUGGAUUCUUAGUUAAAAUAAACUAAAAUAUUAUUUCCAAGAUUCUUUCCAAGUUUAUAUACUUUCACUUGCAACAUUUGGAAACACCCUCCUAAGUGGAAUAAGAAAACCAUAGUGAAAGUAUGAUUUCCAUAAAUGGUGUACAAUGCCUCCAUUUCUCGGAAAAAAAUAAAAUAAAAAAAUCAUGUUAUGAUUAAGGGGGAGUCAAAGUUAUGUUAUAUGUAGAUCAACGAAUGCCGUGUCAAAUAGUCUGAUGAACUUAACACAAAUUGACUGAAUGUGAAUUUAUUGGAUCACGACAUGACUUAGUGACUUUUAGAAAUUCAAAUUUGAAAUAUGAAAUUAGAUAGUAAGUUGUUUUCCCCUGAAAAUCAAUGCCAUUGAAUUCUCUUAGAUUCUUAUAUAUUUUGAUUGUUAUUCAUCUGAUUUCCAAACUAAGAUUAUGAUUAACCUUGUUCUUUAGAUUUGAAAAUAUCAAUCUUGUUUGGUUGAACUAUGUUUUUUGGGCAUUCUAUUUGUUUUAUUACUUUUCUUUCUAAUUUUGCAAGUUAUUUUAUUUGAAUCUUGCCUUAAGUUGAAUGUUUGACCUAUUUCUAAGGUUUUUACAUGUCUCUAUGUUGUUAGUUGGUUUCUUAAUUUGUUUUGUUUUGUUAGUUCACUUUUAGCGUUCAUAAUCCUUCUAGAGUUUUUCACAUAGUCUCGAGCGUUUAUCCUAAUGCUCAAGCAUUGGCUUCAUCGCUUAAGCGCUCAAGUGCCCUAAGUUUUUUCUAGUGUCACUUCAUGUGGUUGUAUCACUCAAGUACUCCUUAAGUUACAUCCAACGCUUGACAUAGAUAUGAUCGAGAAGAAAAACAUCGGUAGGCAGAGAUAUAUCGGUAGAUUCAAUACUUGGAUUUUAAGAAUAAUAAAUAUGAAUUUUGGAAGCGCAUAAAGUUAGAAUUGAGUUAAGAAAUAUUUGAUUUUAUUAAAUAAAAACAUAUUAUGCAUAAAUAUAAUACAUAUGACAUUGCAAUAGUCCUUAGUACCAAAAUAAAGAUCAAUGUGGUUCCAUCAUAUUGUUAGAUGAAAGGAGCCUAUCUUGUUGAAGACAAUAUUUAUUUAAAAAAAAUUAAAUAUUUUUAUUAAAACAUGUUUUAUUACAUUUUAAAUGAAAAAUUAAAUUAAUUUAUAUAAAAUAUUUUAUUUGAGAUUUAAUUUCUAAAAUUUUAUUAAAAAUAUGUGAUAACAACUUUUUCUAUUAACAUUAAUUUAUUUAAAUAAUUAAAAUUAUUAAUAAUUUAUCUUAUCAAAUUAAUUUUAAUUUAUAAAAUAUUAGAACUUUCUUAAUUUUUUAUAUUAUAGCAAUUUUUUGGGUAAAAUUAUAUUUUUAAUAUUUUAAAAUAAAAACAUUUAAAAUUUAAAUAAAAUUGAAAGGAUAAAUGUAAAAAAAUAAUAAUAAUAGUGAAGUGAUAAUAAUUUUUAAAAAUAAGAUUAAUGAGAUAAAUAUGAAAAAUGUUAAAAAUAAAAGGAUAAUAUAAAAUAAAAUGAUAAUAUAAAAACAUGGUUGAAAUUUGGACCAUCUCAAAAAUUCAAAUCUAAUAAUUUUAAAAAAAAAACCCCAAAAAAAUCCCCGAUUUUUCGAAGAAUUUUUUCCGUUCUCCCUCAUAUCGCUCCACUUGCGAUUUUAUCGCCGAUUUAUCAGUUCCAGACCGAUAUAUCGCCGAUAUUUUGACAAUUUGCACAAUAUUUUUUUUUAUAUUCCUCUUGUUCAAUAAUUAGUGCUCAAAAUCGUUUCGGGGCCAUCCGAUAUUCGAUAUAUCGGCGAAAUAUCGCCGAUAAAAACCAACAUUUUAAUUCAUGCUCUUAGCACACCUUUUUGAAUCUAUUUCACUUCUUUAGUUCAUUUGAGCACUUUGGGUUGCUGCUUUUUGGCUUCUAGUGAUCUGUUCAGGGCUUGUUUCAUCUUUUCAUCUUCAUAGUAUUGUUUAAGACUGCUUUCUAAGCAUUUCUAAUGGUUUAGUUUCCUCAUAUAUUUUUCUCGAUUUUCGAGCUUUUUUACUUUUAGUUUUUGUAUGAUAUGACGUUGUUGUCUUAGGGAGGUGUCUUCUCCGAAGCCUUACUCUCACGAAGUUGUUCAGGGCAUCCCUAUCUAGGGUCUUUUCGACUUGAAUAAUCUUCCAUUGGAGCAUUUUCACUCUAAGGAGGCUCAAGAUAGAUACUACUCUGUUCUUCGGAGUCAUCGAGUCAAGGUAGAGCUAUCCAUUGAUCUUAGAGCCUUUAAGGACACCUCUUUCUUGGUUUCUUCCAUGUUAGGGGCUUGGAAACUCUUAUGACUAUUUGAGAGACCUCGUAUCCUCAUUACAUUCAGAUAUUCAAUUCAAACAUCCAUUCAAUAGUUUGUGGUCUCAUAUUUAGUGUCACCAUGUAUGGCUAGACCUUCAUGGUCUCUACUUGAUCUAUCAGGUGUGUUAUGGGCAUGUUUUUUCUUAGUAAUCAGCUAGCUUUUAGUCUUCUUUCCGGAGGUUUAAGCACUCACUAGAGGUGAGCUUGCCUCUAUUCCUAUUACUUUGUAUGACGAGUCCUAUCCGUUGUCGACUUACGUUUCCAUUGCUAACUUCACCAAGUUAGCUUGGGUCCUCGCUAUGUUUAUGUCUUAUUCCUUCUACUCCUCCUUCCAUCGUACUCAGAUUCGUCACCUUGUGGCUUGUUUUAUUCAUACCAUUCUCUUUGGGUAGUAGUUCGACAUUGCCUAGGUGAUCCUUGACAUGAUGACAUCAUACCGCGAUCCCACCAUCCGCAGUGGAGCUCCCCUAUUCACCCUUCUUAUUACUAUGAUUCUAGAGCACAUCAGUUUCAAUUUCGACCUUGCUUUGGUAGCUUGGGUGUCUCGUACUCUCAUUAAUGCGAGUUCUUGGGUCAAGCACUAUAGCCAUGUGUACGGUUGAUAAUCCCUCUGGCCUCAGCUCAAUCAAUCUCCAUUCCUCUAACUUCAAUGUCAUAAGAGGUGGCUCAAGAGACCGCAAUAGAGAAGGAGGAGAUUAGGCCAACGGAGUAAGAUUCUCCCAUUUUAAAGGUGGUUUCAAGAUGGGGAAUAGGGCCCUUGUUUUCACCCGUCUCUAAUUUUGGAUCUUUAACAUUUGUUGACCUCAACCCUAAUUAUUUCUUCCAAUCUAUGCCCCAUUACAAGCAUUUUUUGUUAUCUCCUUAUCCCCACUUUAUGGUGGGCUUAGUCCAGCACAAAUAGGUUGGUGAGUUAGUUAAGGUUUGUCUUAGAGGCCUAAAUGGACCAGACAUGAGCCUAGUUUUUUAUAACACCUACUAGUGGUGGGCCUUUGCUCUUCUAUUGUAAGCUCCAAGGCUUCAUUGACAUAACAAAUGAUUAGGCAAAACCAUUUUAUAUUUUUUAUUGUUAGCUCUUAUAUUUUUACUUUUAACCAUAAGUAAGGAGAAAGGGGCUAGUUUCCUUGGCCUAAAAAACCCUUGUAUUCAAGCUUAUGAUCUAGGCUAGGGUUUCAAAAUUGGGCCUUCUAGCCAAGAAGAAUUUGGGCUCAGGGCGUUAGAUAAAUCAUAAUUAAUGUAUGAUUUUUGAUUUAUUUCUUUUAAGCAAGUUCAAAAUCAUUGAAUGUGAUAGAAAUUUAUUAGACCUGUGUGGAUUAAUAGAAAAUGUUAGGAAAAAUAAAAGUGAGGAAAUGAAUUUAAAUUUUUAAAUUGGAUUUUUCAUGAAAAAUGUGAAGAAAAAUAAUAAAAUAUAAUAAAAAAUACCAUAAAAUUUUUCAAUUUUCAAAGUUUUCGUUCCUUUUAUAAAAGAAAUAAAUAAAUUUGGAGAUUUGUUUUAUAACUCUAAAUGUGAAAAGGGAAUAGAGGUGUUGAAAUGGUAAUCAAUAAAAACCUACAAAAUUUUCAAUAAAGUAAUUUACAAAAUAAGAAUAAAAAUAUAAAAAAAAUUACAAAAUAUUGGUAGUUGGAUUUUAUGAAAAUAUUGAAAAAUAUUAUAUAAAAAUUCCUAAAAAAAUUUGAUGCAAUCAAAAUUGGCCAAAACCCAUAACAAGAAAGGAAAACCUACCUUUUUCUUUUCAAUCCUAAACUUCAAAUACUCAAAUUCAAUUUUCAUACAAAAUUAAACUAAAUAUAUUUUUAGAAAUUUUAAAUAACUCUUGUUUUAGAAACUAGUUAAACUACCUUCAUGUAGUAUAAUUUAAAUUAAAAAAAAUGAAUUUACCAUAAAUUAAUGAAAUUAUCAUUCUCAAAAAUUUAAUAUGACUAAAAUAAAUUUUGUUUUUUUCUAUUUUUUCUCUUCUUUUUCAAGAAAAUUUAGAUCUAAAACUUUCCCAUGAAAUGAUAACUCAUAAACCACACCAACAAUAUAAAAGUGAAAUCAGUAUAUAUAAAAUAAAUCCGCAAAUUUCAAAAUCAUAAAACCAAAAUUCUAUCAUAUUUAAUUCUAGUAGAAAAAAUGCAAUUUAUGGCGCUUGAUUCCUUGGCGCCUCUAAAAAGUGUCAAGGAAUUGGGUCAACCUUGGCGCUUGUAGAAUAUUUAUAAACCGAGGCGCUUCUAAAUAUAUAUGAUUCAAUGACGCUUUUUAAGUUGAUGCUUUUGGAAGUGUCAUGGUUGGAAAUGGAAAGUAACCUUGGCACUUUUAUAAGUGUCAUUGAAAUGGAGUUCAGACAUUGGCACUUACAUUAAGCGUUAUUGAAUUUACUAGUAUAUAUUUCUUUCUUUUUCCUCAUCCUAACACAUUACACUCUCAUCCCAACCCUUGGAGCCCUAAGCCAGGACAAUCACCCACAUCUUCAACCACCACCAGCACUAAUCGAUGAGAAAAUGUUACGAACAUGUUGAAGGUACUCUCAUUUCAUUUCUUUUUGGUUUGUUUGCUUACCUAGAAAAUGCGAGAAAAAACCAUAAAUUAGGUUUAAAUUUUUUGAAUCUAAAAUCUUGAAAUUUUUUGGAUCCAAAAUCUUGCAUUGGUUGAUUAGAUUGUUUCAGUUAUAUAUAACCUUCCGAUUUUUAUGUUUGAUUGAGAAAAACGUGAGAGGGAUUUGAAAAAUGCAGAGACCCUAUUUUCCUAAACCCUAACUCUUUAAACAAUCCAUUAUUGAGGUUUUCUCCAUUGCAAGGAACCUCGGGGUGCACUUGUUUUAUCCAUUAUCAGCUUAUAGAAUUGACUGCAUUUUUUCUUGGUUUCUCGAUCCACUUUACUUAACACCUCUAGUGUUGCUCCUGGAAGGGGCAAUCAGUGUAUAGAAUGAUGCCAGUUGUUUAAAUAUGUUUCACUUGUCCAAUAAAUGGUUGAAUUUUUGUUUAAGGUUUGGAGUAACACCAUUGAGUCCAUUAUGCAGACAAUUUUUAUUUCAGAAUUUCUUAAUUUUCUGAAAUGUUUUAUGUGCAGUGUCUGGGUUGCACGCAGACCACCAGGCUAUGCUUUUAUCGACUUUGAUGACCGUAUGUUUUAAAGAUUUUCUUAUAAUGGUGUUUAUUGUUCUUGAAUUUUCUCUAUGCUUGAACCCCAUGCCAACAACCAUUUCAUCUCCUUUCUCUAAUUUCUGGACAAGUUUGUCUUCCUCUUCACCUCAAUAAUUAUUAUUAAUUUUCAUUGCUAUUCAGGGUUGGAGACCUAAUAAUAAGAAAGAAUAUUCUGUUCUGUGUUGGGUUUUGGGGAUUUUUGGGUUUCAUGUUGUUGUGUUUCGAUCGUGUUGAUGUUUUUGUUUGUAUGAUGAGAGGGAUGCUAGAUAAUGACCAGGUACACCAGGUCCAAAGUAAUGGGUUAUAUCCCAUUGGUCACUGCCCUGUGUGAAGGGAUAUCUGAGUAAAAGAAAUUUAUCUCUUAAUGACUUCAUCAACUGAGUUCAAACAUAAUUUAGUUUUUCUAUUGGCGUAAUUAUGUCGUUAAUUGAACUCACUUUAUGGGACAUCUCACCAUCUCACACAAAAGCCCCCCAAAAUACAGAAGAAAAGAGAUCAGUGCAAGGGGCACGUGAUUCCUUAAAACUACAAGAUGCAUAUCUAGAUUGGUAGUUAUUAUUAUUAUUAAUUUUUGAUAAGCAAAAGAGCAAUAGAAUGGGUAUGAAUUGGAAUUUGCGCUAGCUUUGAUUGCUUUUUUUUUUUUUAUAGUGAAAAAGACUUGUAAUUUUUUUUCCCUUUAAGAUUAUUGGCUACCAAAUUAAAAAUUAUUGAAUUUGCAUUUACCAAACUUGGUAUUAGAUAAGAAUUGCAUAACAAAGUUUUCUCUUAUGUUAAAAUAAUUGUUUUUCAAACUAUGGAAUUGCAUAUAUAUGAGUAAACUGAUUGUACACUUAGAGUGAUCAGAUGGAAAGAUGACGGUUAUAAGUUCCUCAUUACCUAUUUCUUCCAACUUAGCUUAAAUAUAUUAUUUUACUCUUUCUAGUGUGAUUCUGUAUUCUGAUUGUCUUCUAAGCCUCUAUACAACAACUUAAUUAGAAUAUUUUCCAUAUUUUGAAGUAUCUUUUAUUUGAUAAUUCAACUUAUGUUUAUCCUUUAAGUUUCUUUCCCUUUGUCAUCCUCUAAUUUUUCCUUGUUGUCUUCGGCCACUUGAAUUCUUGAUAUAAAUCUUUGGGAGUUUUUUUUUUGCAUAAUGAUAGUUAAAAAAAAUAUUAAUUGAAUUUAUUUUAUUUUAUUUUAAAGAACUAGAUGAUUUUAAUAUUUAAAAAAUCAAAUUUAAAAAAUAAUAAUUUUAUUGUUUAAAAAAAUUAGUGAUUUUAAUAUUUAAAAGUUAUUUAUGAAUAUCUUAUCAACUUGAAAAGGUAAUUUGUAAACUGUUUGAAAAUUAAGACAAUAUUUUUCUAUUAUGGAGAUUAAUUUGAUUUAAUUGUAAAACGAUCAAAUUUUAAAUUUAUAAUUUUAGCAAUUAUUGAUUUUAAUAUUUAAAGGUCAUUUAUGACUAUCUUAUCAAACUUGGAAAUGUAAUUAGGAGAGCGUUUGAAAACUAAGAUAAUAUUUUUCCAUUUAUGAAGAUUAAUUUGAUUUGAUAUUUAAAAUUUUAAAAUAAAAUUUUAAAAAUAUAAUUUUAUCGUUUAAUUAGUUUGUUUUUAUAUUUAAAAAUGUAAUUUUAGCUUUUAAAAAAAUUAGUGAUUUCAAUAUUUAAAAGUCAUUUACAACUACCUUAUCAACUCGAAAAGGUAAUUUGGGAAGUGUUUAAAAAGUAAGACAAUAUUUUUUUAUUUAUGGAGAUUUCUUUGAUUUUAUAUUAAAUAAAUCAAAAUUUUAAAAUUUAAUUUUAUUGUUUGAAACUUUUAGUGAUUUAAUUUUAAAUUUAAAAGUCAUUCAUGACUACCUUAUCAACUUGAAAAGGUAAUUUGGAGAUUGGUUGGAAAGUUAGAUAAUAUUUUUCUAUUUAUGGAGAUUAAUUAAUUUGAUUUGACAUUAAUUUUAAACUUUCCUUUUAAUAUAAAAUUUUAAUAGCUUCUAAGUAAAAGGUCAUAUAAGUCUUUAUACUUUAUUUUUUAAAGAAGUUUCCCCUUUAGGAAUUAUAUUAACUACAAUAUAGUAAAUUAAAACUUGUCUAAUACACUAACAGGCAUAUGAAAAUCAAACCAAAUUUUGAUACUAAUCUUGACUUGGUUGUUUUCAUUUGUGCUCUUGUAGAUCUUAGAUUAGUUUAAUUUCUUAAAUUUGGCAUAUUGGAUUAAGAUAUAUACCAUAAGUUUGGCAUAUAUUUUUUUACUCAUUUUAUAUCUUUUUUUUCAAUGAAAUAAUUUAGAUAAAAUGUGUAAUUCCACCUAUUUACCUAAAAACUAGAUGUUGAUGCAUGUAUACACUAUCAUUUAUUUUUUAAUAAAUAUAAUUAACUUUAUUUAUUUUUCAUUGUCAGGAUUGCAAGGUUUUGUCAUAUGUUGACAAGGUUUGUGGGUUUGUAAAAUAUAGUCUAGAUUAUGUGUUAAGAACAAGAAACCAAUUAUACCAAUUUUAUUAUUUAUUUCUCAAGUUAGUCUACCAAUGUAGGUUUAGAGUACGUCACUUAACAAAAGCUAUCCAAAUUCGUGAGCAUACCAUAUUUAUGUGGAGUUUGUCGUAGAUUUAUAAUAAGUUAAAAGAAACUUUAUUGUCUUUUCAAUGCCUUCUUCAACCUUGCGCACUCCACCUUAUACAAAGAAAAGAAAGAGGAUAGGUCAUUUCUAAUUUUUGUUUUUUAAGUGGACCUUCAUUUAAAGUAUUUGAGGUCUCUUUCAAUAUUAAAUGUAUAUAUUAUUUUAUUACUAAAAGUUACUCUAGAUGGUUGAGUGACUACACAACUAAUCCUAAUUUGAAAAUAUAAAAGUUUUGAGUAUUCUUUAUGUGGGUUCAUAAAUGUGUUCUCCUUCCCUCCUUAUUACGUUUCUAUUUUUUUUCUUUUUUCUUUUAUAAAAAAAACAAGAGAUCCAACUUUCAAUGUUUUUUAAUAAUAUAUCUUCAUUAUUAUUGAAUGGAAUGAGAUGUAGUGAUUAGACAAAGUGGUCUUCUAUUGUUGAUACAGGAAAACAAGUUAUCAUUUUAUAUGACAAUUAGGAGUAGAAGGUAAUGAUUGUGACAACUAGGAGUAGAGGGCAAGAUGCACAUAAGACAUUGUUUUUAAAGGCAAGUAUCUCCUCUAUUUAUAAAGGUAAUCCACCACUACACUAGAAACUUCUCUCUUAAAGAUAGAAUAGCUUGAAAGGAUGACUAAAUAGAAGAUAAAAUUUUAUUUCUAUUACUUUACAAAUUAAUUAUUUACUUUUAUAAUUGCAUAGGAGUUAUAUGUUAUCCUAAACAAGACAAUGAUACAUUUCAUGGUUUUAUUGAAAUAAAAUAUAAAAAGAUGUUUAUUUUCAUAUCCUUGGAUUCUUAUCAUACACUUACCUAAUGAUUUAUAUUUUCAAAAACUUUGAACAAGCACCUCUUAUCAACUCAAUAAAAUUAAAAGUCAAAGGAACUAAAAUAAAAGUAAAAACUAAUCAAGUAAAUAAAAAAUAAAAAUAUAAGAAAUUAAAAAAGAAAUUAAUAUUAACAUAGUGAUAGUAAGAUGGUUUCCAUCUUAUUUGGACCUUGGUAUUAUUUUUAACUGUGCAUAGUAGGUCUUAUGUUAUUCUUUUAUUUGAUAAUGUUUAAAGAGUUCUUUAUUAAAAGUCCAUAAGGAGCUGCCCCAACUCCUAUGCUUUAUUAAUUAGCUUUGAGGUUUGCAUUUGUUAAUAUUGAAAGAAACUAUGUGUUUCUUUCUUAUGAAGUAGGCAACUAUUAUCAUUGUAAUUCUUAAAAUUGAUGCUUUUGAUGUUACUUGUUGGGAACAUGCAAGUAAGUCUGCUAGUUGAAUAUUCAUGUUGAUCCACUAAGGGCAUAUUUGAGUGCAUUUUUUUCUUCUAUUAUUUUUCUUUCAUGAACUUUAUAUCAAUAAAAUCAACAUCGGAAUAAACAAGAGUUCAAGUUCAUUGCAUUGCUUUUCAAAUAUAUAACUUAAUUCAUUCAUCUUUCAUUUGCUUCAAUUUUUGAUUGACUGCCAUUUUUAUUUUUAUUAAUAAGUUUGAACUCGAUAAUGAAUCAAUUUUCAAAUCUCAUGUAUGAUUGUUUGAACAUUCAUCAGCCAGUAUAUGAUUAUGUAAAUUUUGUUGAAUUUUAAAUUUCAUCAUCCGGUUAGAUUUGGUUAAAACUCUUCAUAAUAUACAUUAGUUUUUCUUGUAAAUUAUUUUGAAUUCAUUUUCUUAUAAUUUUCUCAUUUUCUUGUAGUGGCUAUUUUGUGAAAAAUUAAAUUUGUCAAUGUUUAUUUUUAUUUUAUUUAAUUAACCUCUUUUGAUUUAUGUUACUCUAAUGUUAUUGAUAACCUCUUUGAAGCAAAAGCCUAAUGAAGAAGACUUUGACAGGGAUGAUGCCAAUGACAAGGUAAAUGAAGAUUUUUUUUUUUCACUAUCAACAUAGUAUAAAUCAUUUUAAAAUGGAUCUUUUCAAUAAUUAAGGAAACUAAGACAUAUUCAUGUGGUUGUUUACUUAAUGAUUGAGAUAAUUAUCUUACUUAGUAGCAGUAUUUUUUAACACUAAUAAUUUAUUUACUCUAGUAAAACUUUUUACCUUUGACCCAAUAAGAAGAAUAUUAGCAUGUUUGUUUUAUUGCUUUACUUGAACAAAAGCUAAUUAACGUGUUGGAUUAUUUUCUAUUCUCAUAUCCUCUUUGUUUCAAUUAUAUUGGUUGUUAUAUGUAUAAAUUUAAAGUUUUAUAUUUUUUUUUAUUUACAGCUUGCAAAGGAAAUUGGCUUACAAGAAGAAGAGAAAUCAUUACAAUAAAGCGAUGUUGGAAAUCAUGAAGAUGAUAUCAUUUAAAUCUUUAAGAGGUUGAACUAGACUUUUGUUGAUGAUGGUUUCUUUUUGUAGUUAUUGCACCAGUAUUUGUUCUUAUAUUGGAUUUAAAAAUUCUCAUUGAAAUAUUUUGAUCUAAUGAACAAAUUUAUAAUUUGUAUACAAGUAAUUAUACUAAUUAUUGAAACUAAGCCAUUAUAUAUUAAUAUUUGGAGAUAUUUUAAUUUGUACAAUUCAAUUUAAUUUUAUGAUUUUGCUUUUAUUUAAUUAUAUAGGAAAUUCAUUAUUUUAAAAACAUAAUACCAAUAUUAUUAUUAAAAUAAAAUGCUUAAAGAUGACGCUUCUAUUAAGUGUCAUUAUUAACAUAAACCAAAGAUGACGCUUUUAAAAUUGUCAUUGAAAAAUAAUCCAAAGAUGACGCCUUGUAUAAGCGUCAUUAUUGACUAAAACAUAUAAUGACAGGGGAGAAAAGGACGCUUUAGAGAAGUGUCAUCUUAUGCUUUUCUUGACGCUUAAAAAACGUCAUUAAUUCCCUUUUUUCUUGUAGCUACUAUUUUAAACUUAAAUUUCAAGGUUUUUAAUAAAAUUUUACCUCAAUGAAAUAGUGAUUUAAUUUUUUUUUUUACUUUAAUAAAAAAGUUGUUUUUUCCUCGGUUAUCUUUUCCAUCUUCAACUUUAUUAUAAUACUCAAAUCUAAUUUUUUUUAUACAAAAUUAAACUAAACUUAUUUUUGAAAAUUUUAGAUCACUCUUGUAUAAAAAAACUACUUAAACUACUUUAAUAUUAUAUAACUUGAAUAAAAAAAUGAAUUUAUCAUAAAUUAACAAAGAUAUAAUAAAAAUAAAUAAAUAUGACUUAAAUAAAUUUUAUUUUUAUUGAUAUUUUUUGACAAAACCAUAACCUUUCAAUAGCCUGAUUGUGUUGGACCAAGCCCACCUUAAAGUGGGCGUGUAACAGUAAGGAGAUAAUAAGAAAUAUCUGCUACUCAACCAAUAGGGAGAGAUGGUGCCAACUUAUAUUGUGUUUUCCAUUGUACUGGAUUAUUGGUCUUUGACACUACUUUGAAAGUUUAUUUUGGGUGUUUUUUAGUCCUUUUUAGAGUGUAGGAUCAAUAAAAAAAAAAAAUUGCAUGAAUUGAAUCUUUGUUGUGCUCUUAAUUCAUGCAAGAGAAUGACAUCUUGUGGGAUGAGAAUUCUUUGAUCCCUAAAUUUUUUAUAUCACAAGCAACCAACAAACAAAUUCCAUACACCAAUGUUUUAAAAACGUGACCAGCCAAUCAAAUUAGUUGGCUCUACUCGGUUUGGAUACGAUCUUGACGAUUGGUAAACUAGUGGAACCAACUAGGUUUGGAACCGGUCUUGAUUUUUUUCCAUUUAGGUUAGACAAAAAUUUUGGAAAAAAUCAAUAAGUGGAGAUGAUGUUGAAAUUUUAAUAAAAUUUAUCAUUUAUAUUUAUGUUCAACUAUUUUUCGUUAUAAUAUAGUUAUAGAAUGUAGUUGCAAACUAGAAGAAUAUACUUGGAGGAAUGGUGUAUGCUUUAGUGGAUGGUGUCUCAAACUCAAUUCCCAUGGAUAGACGAGUAAGAGUCAGAGACACAACAAAUGGAAUUGGCAUUAAAACGGGUUGUGAAUUAUUGAGAAAUAACUAGUCUCAUGAUGGACAAAGGAAAGAUUGUGCUAAGAAGAAAUGGGGUUUUGUUGCAGUUCUGUGUAGGUUGAUGAGUUCUUCGGUCUAACAUGUGUGAUUUUCUCACUUUUGAAACUUCAUUUUUGGUUUUGAUCCAUUUUAGAGAAGAUAUGUGACACAAUCCAAAAUGGGGUUACAUUGUCUCUUGCUUUUGGCUGUUGUUAUCAUUUGUUGCCUUCAUAUGGUAGAAUAAUGUUUGUUAACUAAAACUUCUAUGACCAAGUUUGAAUUUGAUACAUGGAUGGAGCUGAUUUGUUUAAAUAUUCAUGUUUUGGUGAAUACAAGUCAUUUUAAUUGAGCAAAAAAUACAUAUAAUGUAGAAGAUGGAUAAAAUUAAGUUAAAUACUUACAUAAAAUUAAGAUUUUAAGACUCUUCAAUUUAAUAAAAGUUUUGUUGUACUAAGGAUUAUGGGUUAUGCAUUCAAUUUUGGGUAGAAGGAAAAUACUAUCCAAACAAGGCCUACAUAUAAUCUAAAGCAUUCUCAUCCUUAGGAAGCCUAGGGAAUGGAUUAGAUUAAAUAAGUUAGCUCAAAAGUGAUGUAAAAUGUGGGUAUGUUGUAUAAAAACACACAUAUUUUCUUCUUGUUUUUCACCAUUCAAAAAGUUAUGAUCUGCUUAAUUUGAUUGAAAAAAAAAACCAUACUACUUUUCUUUUCCCAAUUAUAAAUUUUAGCCACUUUUUGUCAAAAUUAACCAGAAUUCUGUAUACACCAAAAAGGGAGAAAAAGGUCAUAGAUUUAGGUUAAUAAAGAAAUAUAGUUGGGACAAAUAAUUAAAAUAUCUUACAUUGGUCGAUCAUCAUAUCGUACUCAAAUUUAAUAAGUUAGUGGAGACAUAACUAAUAAAUAUAUUUUCAAAGAGAAUUUGAAAAUUUGAAAUUGGGAAUUUCUUCUAUUCAUUUUUAAUAAUUUUUAGGGGCUACUAUAAAUUUUAUCCACAAAAGGAUAACGUACUCUUUUUUUAGUAGUUAAACAAGCUAUAACCUUUGAGAAUCACUAUUGAUCUUAAUAAAGGUCCUUUUUAUAUUAAGAAAUUUCUCUUUGAAUAAAUUAAAAGAGAAAUUUUGUCUUUUAUUGCAACUGUAAUGACAUUCACUUUCAAAGCUUGUAAUUAUACAUAGAGCAUAUAAAGAUCUACAAACAAAAUUUAUUACCUUCGCAGGUGAUCUUUGGCAUAGGUUGCUAUUCCUCUCAACAACCAUUUGACAAUUUUAUCCACAAAAUCAAAGUAGGUCUCACUCCAAGAUUUCCUUGUUGCCAAAACAAAAUAUGGAACUAAAAUACCCAUCGCAAAUCCCAAGCCAACACUCAAGUAAAACCAUUGAUCAAUAUAGCCACCAUCAUUUUUGUCCUCAAUAACACUACACUUUUUAUCUAGAUCUUCAUCUUGGCAUUUUGUGACCAAUGGAGCUCCACAAAGAUUAGGGUUUCCAACAAAGGCCGACUCAUUGAAGGUUGUCAUUUGCCCUAUAAAGGGGAUCUUACCAGAGAAAUUAUUAUUCGAUAGAUUCAAAUAACUCAAGAAUGUUAAUGAAACCAUGCUUGAAGGAAUGCUGCCGGAAAGCUUAUUCCUUGACAAAUCAAGAGAUAAUAACUGGUGCAACAUUGAAAUGCUUUCAGGAAUUUGGCCACUGAUGUGAUUCCCAGACAAGUUCAAAACCACCAAACCAAACAAUUUUGUUAUUUCUUGGGGAAGCUCUCCACUUAAAUUAUUGUCGGAUAGGUCUAUGCCUACAACCAAAGAAAGAGUCCUGGUGUAUGCAAGACUUUGACCUUUCAUAAUCACCACCAAUCGUUCUUCAUACUGAGAGUUUCUCACAUUGUCAUACAAAGGAUAUAUAUUCUUGUUAUACUCCGGAACCAUGGCUUUAAGCUCAAACAAAGUGACUGGAAUUUCACCCAUCAGAUUGUUUUGUGCAAGGUCUAAGACAUGUAGGGAGCUUAAAUUUGAAAGCUGGGAGGGAAGUCUUCCAAAAAAUACAUUUGACCUCAAGUUGAGUAUUACAAGAUUUAUGAAAGCAGUUCCAAUCCAUGAAGGAACCUUACCCGAUAACUGGUUAUAACUGAGAUCAAGGAGUUCCAAUCUUGAUAAAUUUUGGAAAGAUGAGUGGAGCUCUCCUGAAAGCUUGUUGUCGUUCAGAUGCAAUGAUUCGAGCCAUUGUAACUGGCCCAACGACUUUGGUAGCAUCCCAGAUAAAUUGUUAUUUCCAAGGUCAAGAACAAUUAGGCUAGAGCAAUUACCUAUGGUAUAAGGAAUGCUUCCAGUCAAAUUAUUCCUUGAAAAAUCAAUGAUUUGAAGAGAGGUGAUUUGUCCUAUGGAAUCUGGGAUGGUCCCUGUUAUUUGAUUUUCCGAAAGGAAAAGGUAAUUCAAGUCUAACAUAGAUUCACCUCUGCUCAGUGGGAUAGGGCCAAAAAAUUUAU
This 176232-nucleotide long non-coding RNA is filed under the name Vitis vinifera (wine grape). Its description in RNAcentral is "long non-coding RNA (VVIN_LNC003021)". The record is from RNAcentral. Lineage: Eukaryota; Viridiplantae; Streptophyta; Magnoliopsida; Vitales; Vitaceae.